GGACCCAGACUUGGAGAAAAACGCUGAUACUGAAGAGCUAAAUAGGAUAUGCAGAGUUGCUUGCUGGUGUGUCCAAGACGAGGAAACUCACAGGCCAUCGAUGGGGCUGGUUGUUCAAGUACUCGAGGGGUUGUUGGAUGUGAACCUGCCCAGGAUACCGAGAGCCCUUCAACUGCUUCUUGAUAAUCAGGAGCAUGUAGUUUUCUUCACUGAGUCGUCAUCAUCGGACCAGAAUUCCCAGACGAAUAGUAAUACCUCAACUUCUUCCUUGCAGAACCCAAAUAGUUCAUCUUGGACGAAGUCCGAGUCUUGAGGAUGAUAAGAUAAAUGCUUAGUACAAGAAGUGCUUCAGUUAUAUAGUGCAUACGCUCCUCUGCUUUUUCUGUAGUCAAGAGCGAAUCUCAGCAUUUGGGGAUUGGCUUUCUUGGGGCUUUUCCCCCUAGCUAUUUAUGUUGCACGUAGAUACAAGCAAGCUUGGAAUAAGUGCGCGGCCAGACCAGUUGUAAAGAUUCUUAAUUCUAUAUAAUGAUCUGUUGUCUGCUUUUUGAGAUCCCAGGUGAGAUCGGUAGUCAGCAUCGAAAACUGUCAUCUCCAUGGGAGCCCGAGAGGGAGAGAGUGCGAGCGAGAGAGGGGGAGAAGCACCCAGAUCCGCGAGUUGCAGAGAGAAAAAAUGGCUCCGACGCCGUCGACGGCCCACCGGACCACCCACCGGACGUUGCAUCCCCUGUUGCGGUGAGCUAGGGUUGUCCGCCUUUGUUUGUUUGUUUGUUUGUGCAUGCUGGGGUCGUCGGGCCAGGACUCGCAGCCGCCGGCUUCACGCGAGUUCCGGCCCCCGACCGUCCGUAGUCCGCCUCCCCGCCGGUCCCCGUUGUUCGCCUGUUCGGAGCCCUGUCGCGAUCCCGAGCCUGAAGGGCUCCGCCUUGUCCUCCUCAACCGGUGCCCGCCUGGCGUUCGAUGGAAAUCCCAGGCGAGCGCCGGAUCUGCAGUGACCGGCGGUGACGGGUGGCGACAAGCGACGGGAUCGGCUGCAACGGCCGGCCGGACGGAGGUCAAGGCGGUGCCGGCGGAGGCCCGAGCUCGGACCGAGACGAGCUCGGCCGCCUCCGCCGCAGAUCGUCAAAUCUCGAGGGCUCCCGCGGCGAGGGAGAAGAUGGGUCGAAAUCGGGCGGAUCCGGGUCGUCGAUCGGGUAGGUUGUUUAGGAUUCGGGUCGCGGUUACUGAGUCGGGUCGAACCCGAGUCGUCGUUCGGGUAAGGUUCCGCCUGGGUUGGGUUUGUACGCGUGGGCCGGGUAGCCUUUAGGCUGUAGUUUUUUUUUUUUUUUUUUAUAUAUGAAAACGGGCCAAAUCGUUUGGGCUUUUAUGUUUUAAGAAAAGAAAAAAUCCCGGGCCGGGCCUGCGUUGCAGGCCGUCCGGGUCUUGGGUGGACGACCCGGGUCGGACCCAACCCGGGGAUCCGACCCGGGUCAUUUUUUUUUUUUUUUUUUUAUAUAUAUUAUUAUAAUAAUAUUUUAAUAAAAUAAAUUAUUAUUAUUAUUUUCAGAAAAUAAAAAAAAAUCCCAAAAUAUCCUAUGUUUUACACAAUUUUCCAAAAAAAAAAAAUCAGAAAAAGCCAAAAAUGAUUUAUAUCUUCAAAAAAGACCAACAAAUCCAAUAAUCCCUUUUAUGUUAAAAAAAUAGAAAAAGACCAAUGUUUUUCCUCCACACAUGGAAAAUCCCUCGAGAAUCCAAAAAGUCUUAGGGUUUAAACAUGAUUAGGUAUUGGAAUGACAUUAGUGAUUAACUAGUGUAAUCGAGUCCCCGAACUUAGUUUCUCUAGUGUGAAUAUUCCUCCUAAUAUUUCGCUUGGGUUUCUAAUCGACCACCCUAAAUUGAUUAGUGGUGACUACAUUUUAAAAUUAACUUAUAGGCAAAAAAUAUCAAACCAUUAAGUGAGCUUGGGAGAGCCCAAGCUAAGCCUAAUAAACUUAGCCAAAUCAUUAGCCUUCGCAAGCACCCGCGCAUAAUCGAACGUCGAAAAAAGAGGUUGCGAUGGUACUUCCAUUCAUUUGUUUUUUGCUUACCCUUUAAUAUUUGUGACAUUGCUUUAAAAGUUUUGUAAAACCAAAUUCAUUAUCUCAACGUUGCUCAUUAAAAAUCUCCACUUUGUUCAGGUUGGAAAUUUAUUGAAUUCUCAUUUCAAUUAGGUUGAUCCAAACGGUAUUUUCCAUUGCAAUAGGAAAUUGUUUUGGAAGGCCUAGCUUUUAUUUUCAGUUCAUAAUCCAUCCAUAUCAAGGCUAAUCAGUGGACCUUUGCGGUACCAUAAACCCCUAAGGGUGCGUUUGGGAAGCCUUUUGGGAAAAGUCCUUAAGAAAAUGCAAAGGCAUUUGAGUUAAGGGUGUUUUUCAAAAUGCAAAGUGUGUUUGGUAAAUUUAUUUGUGAAAGUCCAUUGUGAAAUAUCCUUAUGCAAAAUAGUGUUUGGGUAAAUCAAAUUUGUAAAAGGCUUUUUAUUAUUAAAGAAAAAAAAGGGAACGUUGGCCGGCCAAGGCUUCGCCGGUUACCGCCGGCCAAGGGCUUCACCGGUCACCGCCGGCCAAGGGCAGGCGAUCUGGCGAGAGUCGCGGCGACCCUCGUCGCGCCGCGGAGGUCGCCGGCGAUCCAUCUGGUAGCGCGCGAAGGUCGAAGGCCGACGACCACAUCUGGUCGCGACCAGAUCUGCGACCAGAUGGGUCGCGACCUUCACGGAGGUCGCCUGAAGCAUGGCCGGCGACGCAGAUCUGGUCGCUACCAGAUUUGCGUCGCGACCUCUGCGAAGGUCGCGGUGGCGACCCAUCUGGUCGCAGCGCGAAGGUCGCGACCAGAUUGGGUCGCGCGAAGGUCGCGACCUCCGCAGAGGUCGCUUGAAGCACAGCCGGUGACGUAGAUCUGGUCGCUACCAGAUCUGCGUCGCGACCUCCGCGAAGGUCGCCUGAAGGUUGCGGCCGGCGACCCAUCUGGUCGCAGUGCGAAGGUCGCAGCUGGCGACCAGAUCUGCGACCAAAUGGGUCGCGGUCGCGACCUCCGCGGCGACCUCUCGAGCGGGGUCUUGCUUUCAAGCGCAGAAGGGUCGCGCGGCGGCGACGAAGGUCGUGGCACGACGGGUCGGCGUGGCGGGCGCGACGGUCGCCGGCGACUGCGUGCCCUUCGUCGGCAACCGCCCACGAAGAAGAAAGAAGAAGAAGAUGAACAGUUAGGGCAAAAAGGGAAAAACGAAAAAUCAACGAGGACAAUUUGGGAAGAAAUUUUUCUUUUUUAAGCUUAGCUCUCAGCAUGCCGAGAAGGCUGAAAGCCCAAGGCAGCCCCCCACCUGCCUUGGGCUUUCAGCCUUGAGAAGGUUUGGCAUUCCCCAAAUGGGGCUUGAAAUUUUUUACCAAACACUCAUCAAUUAGCCUAAAGAGCUUUGGGGGUUCAAAGUGGCUUCCAAAUGCCACUCCCAAACGCAGCCUAAGUUCUUCCAAGCUUCCCCUCAUUUGUUUUUCCUUUAUACCAUUGCCACUUUUUCUUGUACACAAUUCUUAAAUACUUUUCGAUCUGACGCAUUGUUUCACUUUUCUUUUGCUGCAGUUAUUUUACUCUAAUCGUGGAUCCUUCUCUGGUGCUAGAGGUGCUACUAUGAUGUCUUGACUUCCUUCAACAAUAAAAAAGGGUGCAAUCUGCUUAUAUCUUUAUUUAGUGGUGUUUCUAAAAAAGGGUAGGCAAAUAUCUUUGGGAAAUGCAAAUACAUUUAGGUUAAAGGAGUCUUUCGAAAUAUAAAUAAUAUUUGGUAAAUUAUAAUUUUAAAGUGUAUUGCAAAACAACUUUAACUUAAAUGCAAUUUGGUAAAAACUACAUUUUGCAUAUGACUUUUAUUGAUUUUUUUUUAAUCUAGCCACCGGUGGGUUUAUCUAGCCGCCACCAGCCUCGCCUGAGGUUGUGCAACCUCAGGCAACACCUAGGGUUCGCGACCUAGGUGGCCAUCUGGGUAGUGACGCCUAGGUUUGCGCGGCCCAAACGGCUGUCUAGGUUGCGAACUCCAAGCAAUCAUCACUUGGGUCAUGCGAACCCAAGCGAUCGUCACCUGGUUCACGUGAAUCGAGGAGACCACCUCCUGAGGUCGCAUGACCUCAAACGGUGGCCACAACCCUCAAGCAGCAGGUUGCUAGGGUUGAACGACCCCUCAAGCAAUGGUCGCCAGCACAGGCAACUCCUUGACCGGCGGUUGUCGGCCUCCGUUUGUUUCCCCAGAGAAGAUAAACAGUUCCUGUGGGACUUGCAUUCCAAAGAUGCAACUUCCCAAAGUAACUCCAAAACUAUUUUGGUUAAAAGCCCUUAGAGCCAUCUGGAGUAAUUAUAUCUUGCUAAAGUCGUCCAAAAAAUUGAACCAAACACGUUUACAUUUGGUUAAACCCCUUUAGAGUCCAAAAGCCCCUUCCAAAUACUGAACCAAACGGGCCCAUAGACUAUCCCUCCCUCCCUCCCUCCUAUAGGUUCUUCUUCAUUUUAUUAUGAAAAUAAAAACCCACAAAAACUAUUAUUCGUACCGACUCACGACUAGCAAUUGAGUAGUUAUGGUCAAUGAGCUCCGUGGCUCAUGACUUGAGCGAAUGAAAACGCUACAAGAUUAAAGCUCAUGUGGCAACGCGGCAUGCUCAAAGAUCAAGUAGCCAUGGCUCAAGCUUUGCAGCUCAAAUAGAUAUCAUGGCUAUGGCCAUCCGUGAGCUUGAGCAUGAAUGGGCAUGGCCAAUGCUAACUUAGAGUUGGAGCCCACGGUAAUGGCGGGUCAUAAUGGAGCUCUCUCUCAAUUGUCAUUUGUUCUUUUUAUGUUUAUGUUGUCUAAUUUAGCACCUAUGUGGUGUCAUGCUAUGUAAGCAUAAUAUAGCACGAUACAUGUGUUCCAACAUCCAUGUUAGUAAAAUUUGAUUGGUAAGAGAAAAAGUACAGCAGAUAGAUUAACCGUGACACUUUCUAUGUAAUAUAUGAGCUUUGAGAAAAAAUAAAAUAAAAGAAGAGGGUUUGAAAAGUCAACAAAAGAAGCUGAAGGAGAGGAGUGGAAGCUUCCGCUGUUUUUAAAGAGAAGAGAGAGGGAGGGCUUGGGCAUAAACGAAACAGGGGAAAGGAAGAAAAAAAGGGAGGAUAGAAAAGAGGAGAAAGGAGAAAGAAGAAAGGAGGAAGGGAAAAUUUUUGGCGCGCUCACAACCCGGAAGCCUCACCAAGCCGACUUAACCCCGUUUUGAAAUGCCGGUAGGUGAUCGAAGCCUAUAAUCAUUUAUUCGAACAAAUCGUCACAAUUAGGGCUCGAAAUUUGAAUUUCUUGGAGAUUUGUGCGGCGAAAUCCGAUUUUUGAGUUAUUGAACUGCAUAUUUGGAUAGAAAUGAUAGUUUAGAGUGUUGUGAAGCUAUAACAUUUUACGAAUUGUAAUUUGAACCUACAGUUUGCCCAGAACGGAAUUUUCAAUUUUGGCACGCAUUUUGGAACAAUAUUGAACAGUACCGAACAUUAGCUUUGGCUUUGAAUUUUAGCCGUUUUCGGUGAGGUUUUGGGACGGCUAAGUUGGGGUUGUUGUAGCGUAUCAAGAAAACUAUAAGAUGGCUCGAAAUGGAAUAUUGUAGAGGAAGUUAUGGCGCAAUGAAAUUUAGCGUACGAGCUAUGCCUAGCAGACAACAAUAGGUUUAUGCUAAAUACGAGCUUUCGUUGGCAUGUAGGUGUCGUUUUAUCAACAAAUAGGCUUAGUAUAAGCGAAUCAUUAUAAGAAUUUUUUUUUUAUUUGGCCUUUUGAUAUUGUUUUUCAGUUAAUUGUUAGGGAUCCAGGUGAGUGACACUAUUUCUUCUUUGUGUUUUAAACUCAUGUUUUGUAAAGAAAAAACAUUAUGGAUUAUAUAUGCUAUGAGUGAAUAAAUAGCAUCUUUUGUUAUAUAAAACUGGAUCGAGCUUUCACUGCCAUUUUGUUGUUGAAAGAGAUAAUUAUCCUUUGAAUUGGGUUUGAAUGAUUGUUUGAAAAUGGUUUGUGAAACCCUUUUAUGAAAGAAUUUCCAAACAUUUGUGGUUCUUUAAGAAUGCUUUAAAAUUUAUAUAUCAAAUGCCUGAGUUAUGAGAUGACUCAUUCUGAUGUUGGAUUACUAGAUAUUUGUGAUUAGUGAUUGAUUCUCAAUGUCUCUGUAGACCCUCGGCGGUGUAUAGGUAUACACAUACUAGUCUAGGAUAUCCUUGUGGGCUAAGCUACCAGCUAAUAAUAUGUGGAGACCUAACUAGGGAGAAUCUUGGUCGUCUUGUCACAGGUGUCAUGCAUGACCAUGAAUAGACAUUUGAGCAUUAGUUGGUCAAUGGAGUGGACCAUUGACAGGUGGUUUGAGUUUGGUCGAUGGAAUUGAUCAUCGACGUAUGUUUUGAUGAGAUUAAUCAAUGGAAUAGACCAUCGAUACAGGUUUUUAUGAGAUUGACCUGGACCAUUGGUGUCUUCCAUAUUUAUGUUAUGAAUAUAUAUUAUUUUAGAAUGAGUUAUGGUUGCAUUUUAAAUGCGCAUAGUGAUUUCUCAAUCCGCUUGAAAGAAAUGUGUUGCUUGCUGAGUCGUGAUAGCUCACUCCUCUCAUCUACUUGUUUUUUUUUUUGUUAGGUUCUUCAGCAAGGCACAAGAAGGCCUAAGCAUUCGUUAUCAGGCAUGACUUUUUGUGGUAGGGACUUUUUGAUAUGAGUCAUAUAUAGUUGAUAAGUUUGUGAGUAAGCUUUUGGUGGAGGUGUAUAUAUUAAUUUGGUGGUUUAUAGAAAACUCUGAUAUUAUAACCAAAUGCAUUUUUUGUCGUGUGCGUGUGCUUGUGCGUGUGCGUGUGUGUGUUGACUUUUGGCUGAAUUUUUGUUAUGUUGAGGUUGCAUCCUUUGGUGAAAGGAUGGCAGUGUCAUGCCCUUAUUCUGUUGAAUUAGGGUGUGACAUUUGUUGGUAUCAUUGUUUAGGCUAUGAUCUAUUUGGGUAGAUCUUUCAAGAUGUGGUGAGAUUGUGUGAUAGUCUCUAACGCGUUAAUCUUUUAAGUAUUAGUGGUGGACAUAAAUGGGAGGAUCCUCUAGUGAGACGCAAAGCAUUUUGAGUUUAUAUUGUCUCAAAAGCAUUUUGAGUUUACAUAGAGAUCCUCUUACUAAAGUAGUUCUAAGACAAAAACAUAGGUGUAGUUUAUGGAAAUUAUGACUAUGGUUUUGACAUAUCAAGAAGUUCAGCACUAGGAGCUCAAUGACGAGCUUGAGAUGAAGAUUAAUGAGUUAAAAAAAAAGAAGAAGAAAAAAAGCUCUUUACAAAACACAAGCUUCGCCUUUACAUAGAUCAGUCCAGCUUUGCUCAAAGGAGUAAACCUACUGAUUCCCGAAUAGCACCAGUGGUGUUGCAGCACCAGAAAUCAAUGGUCCAAGAGAUAGCUCCUGUUAAACUGCAUGUGAAGAACUUUGCAAUUGACUUAAGAGGGAACUCAGAUAAGGUGAUGGGUUUCCAUACUCAUCCAUCAAUGAAGGUGUUUGAUAAUCAGGAUGCCAAUUCUCUCAGAAGGAACUUCUCCGACCUUAGUUUCGCUGAUGAUUCUAGAGGAAAGUUUCUACGAAAAUUACAUGUUGAAAGCAGAUGCAAAGUUGAGGGAAGGGUGGGGAUUCGAGAGAGCAUAAAGGAGGCGAAACUGAAAGCCAUGCAGCAGUGACUUGAGUGAAGUUGAGCUGAAAUGAGGGCCAACUUUCCUAAUGCAGCAGAGAGACGUUAAUAACUCUUUAGUACUUGUCAACGUACUGAGAGGCUGAGAUCACUCAAUAUGCGGCCAAAAGUGAAGGAGAAGUAAACUGAUCUUGUUCAAAGUGAAGAGGAGGAAGUUGAAGCAUAUCCAAAUGAUGGUGUUCUAGGAGCUACCAGAUGAAGAAGCCUUUUCUUAAUCGUAAGUUGUCUUCGUCAACUCCUCUCAAUUCAGUAGCAGUGGCUUCAAGGUCUUCGACCAGAGCUUCCAACUCUUUUCAGGUAGACGAAGGGCGCCAUUAGAAAACCCUCUUGCGUAGUUCGUCCCCUGACUUCUUUGAUUUAAAGAAAAAAAAAACACUAAGCCCUCCCCCGACAUCAGCAAAGCAUCAAAUCGUUCACAAGCGAGAAGCUAUGCUUGAAGCAAGAGUAAUGGUGAAGAUUUGCCUCUUGUCAAGGAAGAGAGAACUCGACGAUCUGAGUCUUUUGGGAAAAGUUCUGCUGGUCCUAUAGUAUUUAAGGACAUGUUGGAUUUGCAUGGUAAUUGGCUAUUUUGGUUUCACUGGAAUUUGAUCAUGGACAGAUGGAUCAUAGUGUUCAAGACAAUUCAAAAAAAAAAAAAAAAUGGUAAUUUAUGGAGUUGUUCCUGGUGUAAGAUCUAGCAUUGCAAGGAAGGCUUAAAUGACAUCUGAAAAUUUGAUGAAUGAUCACGAUUUUGAUGACUCAGAUUUUGUGGCUGAUGAUUUGGGGGACAUGCUAAAAGAGGAAGAAGAUGAUGAUUCACUGAGAUCGAUUUCCCAAGUUGACCUUGUUUCUCUUAGUGAAUUUGCUGCCUCCAAGCCAUCAAAAUUCCAUCCGACAAGUUCUCUAAAGGAUUCACCCUGUGAAAGCCAGUCUCAUGGAAUUUACGCGUCCAAAAUUUGGUUUCCUGCCCACACGAGACUUCAGAUUUUGAUGCUUCCAUCAAUUCUCCAAUUGGAAGCCCUGCAUCAUGGAACUCUAUACCUUGGGCCAAGCAGGGGUUGAUGUUGCAUGAAUGAGAAAGAAAUGGGGGAGUGGGCCGGAACCUUUUAUUGUUGGCGAUCAACAAUCCUUGGUUCACUUUCCCUCCUUGGGCUGGAUGACAAGUGUAGAUGGGUUAAUAUUGACAGUGUAGUAAUCUCAAGAAGAACUGGUUCUGGAAAGGCUGUAUUAUUUACUAAACUGCCCAAAUGGACAUUUGAGUCUGAAUGAAUCAGAUCGGGCUCAAUAAAUACUCCAGAAAUGGAAUCUUGAAAAAGUCCGUUCAUCUGCCACUCUUUCUUUAGCAAUUCCCUAAAAGCAAUGUUCAUGAAGAAAAUAUCAAUGCUCCUCUUCAAAGAGGUAUCGUGCGCAUCUUUCAGCAACUUGGAGUAGAAACCCCUAGUGAUGAAGAUGACUUCAUUGAAGUGAGGUCAAAGAUGAAAAUGCUAAAUGAUAAGCGUGAGCAAAGAGAGAAAGAGAUCAAGACAAAGUACUAUGUCGCAAACGUGCCAAGGAAGUCUUGUCCAUUGCAAAGUACUAACCUCCCCAGUAGCUCCAAGAGGAUCUUUUCUUUGAGAAGUGGAGAAAUUGUGACCAUGGUUACACUAACUUUGCCACUGCAGAUGGAUGUAAUUUGGCAAAUAUCUAAAUAUCAAUUGGCUUCAAGGCCUCCAUAGUGUCGCAACCAUUGGGUCCAACUGGGACACUUGCAGCUAAAACAGAAGCUCAGGUUGAUUUGUUUCCCCAAAAGAUUGUGUCCUUUCCAGCUAACAUUGGAAAGAAUCUUGGGCCAGGCUCAAUAUUUUAGAGCAAGAAUAAGGUUGUGCUUUCGACAUAAAUGGAAUCAUAUUACUAUGGAAAAUAACGAAAUUGUUUGACAAUGGUUUGAAGUGUUUUGAAGCCUUAGAUGCUAUCAUAGAUGCUUUAUACUGUAAAACAUAUGUCAAGCUGUUUUAUAGUACAAAAAGAUAUUCAAACAACAUGAAUAGCCUAGGGUAAGGGGAGGGGCACUACAUGGCGGUGCUGAGUAUUCAGAGAGAUACUUCCAUCUAAUAUCUUUUGCAACAUAUCUUGAAAGUAGGUACAAGUAAUUGGGAAGAUAGUGAAAUUAUAGUUAAAAGGAUUACUACUCCAACAUCUUCUGGUUCUUCUACUUUCAAUACAACAUUUGACAUGGGCAGCAGGCCAAACAUUUCUCGGAAUAGUUCAAUAUCAAUGGAAAGAGGGAAACCUUCUACUUCAUGGAGAAGGGACGCUUUGAGACCGGGAGUAGCUCAACCUUUAGUCUCGUAGAACAAGAGGGUGGUUAUCAUGGCCCUAGACGAGAUGCAUGACAUGGAGAAAGAACAUAAUAGAUGAAAGAGUUCAUCGCAGCUGGAUAUGCCUUAUAGGAGUUGCAAUAAAAGAGGGAUGUCAGAGCCUCAGAUGGAAAAUUUCCCUCGCGUAAGAGGGCUCAAGAGGAAUCUUGUUGAUGGAGAUGCUGAUAAUAGGAAUCCUAAGCUUGAUCCUGAGUUUCAUGAGAAUUUUAGUGAGAGGUUUGCUGGUGAGGUUGGGCGGGGGCAUAGUUUGUCUCGUAACUAUUCUUGUCCACUAUCUUUUGUACAAUUUUUAUCAGAAUUCUGAGGCUGAUGGCUCUUAUUCUUUUGGGAGGUUAAGGUAUUCCAUGAGGCACCCUCGUGUUCCCCAUCCUGCUUAAUUAUCUGCCAUGCAUAAAGAUACACAUAGAGGUGAAAUUGAACAUCCAGGAUCCUCAUCUUUUUGAUAGCGAGGUGCGUCAUACAGGUUUUGUAAGAAGUGAAUCUUCUCUGAAUGUGGAUCAUGGGGUGGGUAAUCAAAAAGAUGUGGUUCAUGAAUUAGUUGGUAUCAAGCAAAAGAGCAUUGAUGAGAAGAAAUUAGAUCUAUAAAUUCCACCAAGGUGUGACUUCCAAUCCUCUCUCAAUGUCUCAAGCCCCCAAUUCUCCGAUUCAUUUUUCUUAUGAUGAUUUGGAGAAAUCUGGGGACUAUUCUAUGGACGCGCGGACCCCUGGAGUGCCUUAACUUUGGCCAAAGGGACACUUAAGUGCCAUAACUUACAAAAGGUACACUUAAGUGCCAAAAUCGGAGUAAAAUGGAUCACUUGAGUGCCAAUCCGGCGAAAAUCCGGCCAAAAUGUGACGUGGCACUUUUCCGGCGAACGGAGCUCAAAAUAACACCGUUUUUCACACUGACGUGGCCAAAACGGCGUUGUUUUGGCUGACGUGGCAAAAAAAAAUAAUUAAAUUAAAUUUAUUUAAAAUAUUUAAAAAUAAUAAUUUUAAAAUUAAAUUUAGUUAAAAUAUUUUAAAUUAAUAAUUUUGAAAUUAAAUUUAGUUGAAAUAUUAAAAAAUUAAUAAUUUAAAAUUAAAAAAAAAAGUUGGGGAGGCUCUCUCAGCCGCCGCUGCCGCCGCCGCCGCCCCGCCGCCGCCGCCGCCAGGAAGGGCCGGCGACGGCGAGGCGAGGGUCGGCCAGGGUCGCCGGGCCCUGGCCAGGGGCUGGCGACCCCGGCCGACCGGCGGCGAGGCUCGGAGCCCUCGCCCCAGAUCGANNNNNNNNNNNNNNNNNNNNNNNNNNNNNNNNNNNNNNNNNNNNNNNNNNNNNNNNNNNNNNNNNNNNNNNNNNNNNNNNNNNNNNNNNNNNNNNNNNNNGACCCUCCCCCGCAGUUGCCGGCCCCUUCCCGGCGGCGGCGGGGCGGCGGCGGAGGCAGUUGAGGGAUCCCUCAGCCGCCUCCCCCACUUUUUUUUUUUUAAUUAUUAAUUUUUUAAUAUUUCAACUAAAUUUAAUUUUAAAAUUAUUAUUUUUAAAUAUUUUAACUAAAUUUAAUUUUAAAAUUAUUAUUUUUAAAUAUUUUAACUAAAUUUAAUUUUAAAAUUAAUUUUUUAAUUUUUUUUUACCACGUCAGCCCAAAACGACGCUGUUUUGGCCACGUCAGCGUGCAAAACGACAUCGUUUUGGGCGCGCUUCGCCGGAAAAACGCCACGUUGGCGUUUUGGCUGGAUUUUGGCCGGAGUGGCACUCAAGUGAUCCGUUUUUCUUCGAAUGUGGCACUUAAGUGUACAUUUCGUAAGUUAUGGCACUUGAAGUGUUCUUUUGCCCUAUUCUAUGAAGUCGUUAGCUGGAUAGGACGGAGAUUUUCAUCCCCCCCUGCAAAAAAAGAAGAAGAAAGAAAAGGAAACUAUUGUCUUAUUGACUAAAGUUCUGCUUGAUCACUCAAAUGUCUGAUGUCGAGUUUGAUUGUUCACUGCUCAGAUUCAUUGCAUGUUAUUCCAGUGUAUGACAAGGACAUGUCCAAGUUGCACCACUAGCGUCUUCUUCACUCCGGGAUAUGCACAUCCUUGUCCACUGGUAUGAUGCCUGCUUAAAUGCUUCUAUCUACAUACUCGAUGACAAUGUGCUAGUCUCACUUGAAGUUUCCACACAAGACUUUGCGCAUUCCUUGACCCGUUCUUCUUUGAGAUCUCUUACCUCGCCCUCAUUCCGAGCACAAACGGGUAUAUAUACUUUUCCUUGUGAAUCUUGUUUCUACACUUGUCUGCUCGAACCCUAUAUGAUACAACCAUUACACCUUUUUCUUUUCCUUUCUCCUAUACACAAUUCUUUAAAUACUUUCGAUAUGAUGUGUUGUUUCACUUUUCUUGCGGCAAUUAUUUUACUCUUAUCGUUAAUCCUUCUUAGGUGGGGAAAAACACCAAAAAAGUCAUAAAUAUAUUGCAUUGGUACCGAUUUAAUGUCAAACCCUUUCAUAUUAGUAUUAAUUCAGUUAAUCAAUCCGGCCAAUUUUGGCCAGCCAAUGUUGAUGUGCACACCAGCCAAAAUUGGGCUGAUGGAUUGAAUUAGUACUAAUGUAAAAAAAAAAUUAGGAUUGAAUUGGUCUAAUUGAAAGAUUUAGAACUGAAUUGGUAUCAAUACAAUAGGUUUAUGACUUUUUUGAUAUUUUUCCCUUCUCAGGUGUUAGAGGUGCUAUUAUAAUAUCUUAACUUCCUUUAGCAAUAAAAAGACGGUGUAAUCUGCUUAAAUCUUUAUUUAGUUGUGCUUCUACAAAAAUCAACCCUCUCUAUGAUUAUUUAUGUUAAAAUUAUAUCUUGAAUUUGAAUUCGUGAAAGAAAUCCGACUAGAGAUGAAUUGAAUUGUAAGAAACUAGGUCAAUUAAGGAAAAUCCUAAAGCCGAAUAUUUCUGGACGUCGGUAAUGGAAAUCUAGAUUUCAUAUUUGGCGUCAGAGUCCAAAGUGCAGAUUUGGACCUUAAGCUGCCAAUUCGCUAACUCCAACAAAAGGCCAAAACUUGUGGAUUACAAAAAUCAAUUUCCGCAUGGGAGUUGGUCAACACAACAACCGAACAAGAAAGAUCGGAGUUGGACUGGGUUUCCUUCUUCAAUCGGUCAACUUGGCUAUAUUAUGUACGGAGUAACACCUUGAAAAAUCCAAAAUUGACAUUUUUAUAACAAAUUUACCAAAAUUUAAAUUUUUUGACCAUAAAAAAAUCCAAAUUUGUACACCUAUGAUAAAUUCACCUUAAAGAAAUUUUUAACCAUACAAAAUCUUAAACUAGCACAUCCGUUACAAAUAGAGAGUAAAACCCCAAACCGAUACAACAUUAAUUGCCAAAUGUCAUUCAAUUCAAUAAUUUGAUGAGAAAAUUUGAAGGAAAUUAAUGGAGGCUAAAUUUGUUAUGAGUAUAUCAAAGUAUUAGAUAAAUUUAUUACAAGUGUAUCGGUUCAUGAUUUAUUAUGAAAUUACCCUAAAUAUAAAUAUACAAUUGUGGAUUGCUCGUUGGUUAUGAAGAAAUAUUAAAGUGUAGUUUUUGGUGAAUGUCGAGGGAAGUUCUAUAUUUGUUAGUGACGGCCAAUUGGCACUGGAGGUUUGGUAGUGGAUUCUUCAUGGAAUAACAUUAAUAGCUUAUGUGUUGGACUCAAUUAAAUCUUGUGAGGAUUUAUUUAAUUCGUUUUUUGAGAUUGAGGGAUCAUUUCGUGAGGAAUUGUAAGACUAAAUGCUGCAUGAAUUAUUGAGUAUAAUUGGAGGUUGGAAAACAUGAGAGUGUUUGAGUAACUUGAGUAUGGUUGUAAUUUUCAUUGGAUUGCUUGAUCUAGAGUGGAAUUCUUUACUACUCUCCCUAUGGACAUAUGUCACAUCGACAUAAUCAUUUAAAUUUGAUGUUCAAUUUAUUUUCUUAGUUUGUCUAUUUUAUUGUUUGAUCAGUUAGAUUCCACAAUAAUUUAAAAGAUCAAGGCAUUGGUAAAUGGUCUCUCUACUUUUGCUCAACAAUCAAAGUCAUUCUUUUAAUUUCUUUUAAGGAAAAAAAUCACAAAAACUCCAAAUUUUGUCGACUGUGGUACAUUUAUUCUAAACCAUUUUUGGUGACACCAAAAACUCUAAAUUUAUACCCGUAUGACACAUUUACCCUAAAUUUUUUUUCUAUAACACCAAAUUUUUUGGGGUUAAUAUGUCACAUCAUACAAAUUUGAAGUUUUAGGUGUCACAUUAUAUAAGAUUAGAGUAAAUAUGCAAAAUAAGUAUGAAUUUGGAGUUUUUGGUGUCAUAAAAUAAGUUUGGGAUAAAUAUAUUAUAGUAAAUAUAAUUUAGAGUUUUCGGUGAUUUUACAUUUCUUUUUAUUCGAAACCAUUCUUGCACUUAAGUGCCAUUGGUCGUCCCUGUGUUGGAACACUAUUAGCUAUUUUCUAACGUGGAUUUGUAUUUUAUUUGUUGGGGAUUUUUCUUUCUUUCUCCAAAUGUAGACUCUCUCUCUCUCUCCUUUUUAGGUUCUUCAUUUUAUGAAACCAAAAACCCACAACCUUACCAAAAAAAAAAAAAAAAAAAAACCAAAAACCAAAACCCACAAAAUAUAUUGCCUAUACUAAUGCAAAAACACUAUUAUUUGUAUCGACUCACGACAAGCAAUUGAGUAGCUAUGGGUCGUGAGCUCUAUGGCUCAUGACUUGAGCAAAUAUGACUGCUACAAGAUCAAAGCUCAUGCGGCAAUGCCACGAGCUCAAAGAUCAAGUAGCCAUGGCUCAAGCUUUUUGACUCAAAUAGACAUCGUGGAUGGCCAUUUGCGAGCUUGAGCUUGAAUAGCCAUGGCCAAUGCUAUAGAGUUGGAGCUCAUGGUAAUGGUGGGUCAUAAUGGAGCUCACUUGUAAUUGUGCCCAUUUUUUUUUAAUGUUUAUGUUGCCUAAUUUAGCAUCUGUUUUUCCUAAAAUAAUUAUAUGAGCAGAGUACCACAUAAUAGGUAUGCUGGCAUCUUGUUCAUAAAAAUCGAAUGGCAAGAGGAAAAAGUAUAAUAGAAUGAUUAAUGGUGAUACUUCUAAGGGAAAAAGCCACAAAAAAAAAAUCUUAAACUUUAUCAAUUGUGACACAUUUAUUCCAAUUUUUUCUAACAUCAAAAAUCCCAAACUUGUACACAUGUAGUAAUAUAUUUGCCAAAAAAAAAAAUUUUACACCAAAAAACCCAAACUUAUACUUUUGUGACAGCAAAACCCUAAACUUUUGUUUUGUAACACCAAAAACCUCAGACUUAUAGUCAAGUCACACAUCUACCCCCAAAUUUGGUGUCAUAGAAAAAUGUUUUAGGUAUUUUGUGUCACAAAAGAAAAGUUCGGGGUUUUUUAUGUCAUAAAAAGAAGUUUGGAAUAAAUGUGCGACACUACAACAUUUUGAGAUAAAUGUGUCACGUAGAUAAAAGUUAGGAUUUUUUAUAUUACAAAAAAAAAAGUUUGGGGUAAAUAUUUCACAAUGGUCAUAAUUUAAGGUUUUUGGUGGCUUUUUCCAUACUUUUAAAUAGUAGAGAGAUGCUUUAAAAAAAGUAGAGGGGAUUUUGAUUUUCUGGCAAAAACAUAAGGGCCACCGAUAAAUCUAAUCCCAUAAAGAAAGUGGCAUAUGUAUAGGAAUUGAUAAAACAGUAAAAAAAUUAUAAUGGACACAGUGCCAAGUACCAAUCGCUCCAAGUCCAACCAGAGAGGUCUCUUCACACCAACAUCUAUGGCCAGGACAAAGUCUAUAAGGUUUUUCCAAUAAAGGCAGCGACCAUGAUGUUACGUAAAUAUGAAUUGGGGGAAUGAAUCAAUGCGUCGCUCUAGAGUUUAGUCCCUCGACAAACAGGUCAACUCAGCAUGCGUGGAACGAGCACAUUUUGUUGAAGAUACUGACCUCAAGUCUACCUUAGACAAGAGUAGGGACCACAAGAAUAAUGGACAAUGCUACAUGAAAAUCAAAUCUUAUCGGUCUAGCUUUUCAAAUAUAUGAAUGACUUUGACACUUGGAUUUGUUCCUUUGUUGUUGACUAAUGCUGGUAAAACUAUGUUUUAAGUCCUGCUUGAUCGUUCAAAUGUCCGAUGUCAAGUUUGAGUGUUUAGAUUCAUUGUAUGUUAUUCCAGCGUAUGACAAGGACAUGUCCAAGUUGCACCACUAACGUCUUCUUCACUCUGGGAUAUGCCCAUCCUUGUCCAUUGGUAUGAUGCCUGCUUAGAUGCUUCUAUCUACGUACUCGAUGACAAUGCACUAGUCUCAGUUGAAGUUUCCACACGAUACUUUACGCGUUUAUUGACCCGUUCUUCUUUGAGAUCUCUUACCUCGCCCUCGCUCUGAGCACAAACGGGUAUAUAUACUUUUCCCUGUGAAUUUUGUUUCUACACCUAUCCACUCGAACCCUAUACGGUACAGCCAUGGAUAGCAAAAACAGUAGUCCGUGGUCGUUCAUACUCCCAAUUUUCUUGCUUUGCUCAUCUCUGUACACCCACCUCUGUCUUGGCACAGACAAGCUCGACGCGAAUCGAUCUAUAUCUGGUGAUCAAAUCUUAACCUCCUCGGGUGGCCACUUUACGGUUUCAAACGAAAAAAAUGAAAGCCAAGCAAGAGCAGAACGGUUGAAGUCUUUAGCUGAAGCGAGAAUCGCUCGACGAAGAUAAAGACCAGCAGAGGCGUGCACGGGAAGCUUGGCAAAAAGGGGGAAAAGUCAGCAAAUUUUAUCUCUUCCAUUGAUGGCUUUGUCUCCUAAUACUUUCCAACAUAAUUUCCACCAAUUAAUCACACUUUGAUGCAAAUGUUGCACCCCCUCAUCCUAAACUCCAAAUUUAGCUCAUAUUGAACUUCAAUUUCCUCAUUCAAUUCCUCAAAUCGACGUCCAAAUUUUCCAAGAAAAGAGCCCAUACAAUUUUUUGCAAGUCCCCAACACCCAAAGGCUCGGUAUAGAAGCCAAAAUUCCCUUCAAAUGAGCCCAUCCAAAUUUCCGUUAUUUUCUGAUUCGUCCAAAACGAUUUUCCGUAAAAAUCUCGGAAUCUCCGAAAAUUCUUCAGAAGAUGAGUCGACGUUCCUAAAAUGAAUCAUGACACGGCAUAACUUUCAAUUUCUAAAAUUGGGUUCAAAUUCGCGGUUAAUUUCAAUUCGACGCGAUUUUAUCAUAACCUAAUCUACCAUGUAGCUUUUAGGAAUUUUUGGUGCAAUUGUCCUAUGGUCAAUUACUUUUUAGCCAUAUUGUACAUCUUCGACUCAUGGCAACUCUCGGUUGUCGUGGAAAUCUCGAGGUUUCAAAUGCGGACACAUGGUACAUAAAUGACAAAAAAAAAUCAGUCUAGUGCCGUUUGAUGAGAAUUUUGCAAUUAGGUGGAAUCACCCACGCACUAAUCACAUAUCUCCAUUGAAUCGACCUAUCUCCGGUCUCUGAUCGUUUUUUACGGUGCCGUAAUGACCCUUGCAAAUUAGCAUUGUCAAACAAUCGAUUCAUGAUCGAAUUCUUAAGUCCAUUGCGUUAAAAUCCCUUAAUGACUUCCCUAGAUAGUCUAGUUAUUUCAUGAGUGAUCAGUUCAGAGAAUAACACUAUAGACGCGUCGAUGAAAUGUCCGAUUUAUUUAAUUGAAAACAAAAUUUGAAAAUUCAGGCUGUCAUAGUUUUUGGGCUUUUCCAAGGUAAGUGACACUAUUUCUUCUUUGUGUUUUAAACUCAUGUUUUGAAAAAAAAAAAAACAUUAUGGAUUAUAUAUGAGUUGAUAAAUAGCAUCUUUUGUUGCAUAAAACAAGAUCGAGCUUUUGCUGCCAUUUUGUUGUUGAAAGAGAUAAUUAUCCUUUUAAUUAGGUUUGAAUGAUUGUCUAAACCAUUUUAUGAAUGAAUUUCAAAAUGUUUGUGGUUCUUUAAGAACGCUUUGAUAUUUAUAAAUUAAAUGCUUGAAUUAUGAGAUGACUCUCAUUCUAAAGUUGGAUUACUGGAUAUUUGUGAUUGAUGGUUAAUACUUAAUGUCUCUAUGGACCCUAAGGAGUUCUAUGGACCCUAAGGAGUUUAUGGGUAUAUCAUAUUAGUCUAGGAUAUCCUUGUGAGCCGAGCCACCGGCUAAUAAUAGAUGGAGAGCUAAUCAAUGGGGGAAUCUUGGUCGUCCUUUCAUGGGCGUUACGCGUGACCAUGGAUAGACAUUUGAGCAUGAAAUGGAGUGGACCAUUGAUAGGUGAUCUGAGUUUGGUCGAUGAAAUGGACCAUCGACUUAUGGUUUGAUGAGAUUAAUCAAUGGAACAAACUAUCGGUACAGGUUUUUAUGAGAUUGACCAAUGAACUGGACCAUUGAUGUAUUCAGUAUUUGUGUUAUGAAUAUAUAUUAUUUUAAAGUGAGUUAUGGUUGCCUUUUAAGUGUGCAUAGUGAUUUUUCGAUCCGUUUAAAAGAAAUGUGUUACUCCUUGAGCCGUGGUAGCUCACUUCUCUCAUCUAUUUGUUUUGUUUUGUUUUGUUUUUUUCCAGGUUCUUCAGCGAGGCACAAGUAGGCCUGAGCGUUCAUUAUUAGGGAGGACUUUUUAUGGUGGGGAUUUUUUGGUAUGAGUUAUAUAUAAUUGAUAAGUUUGUGAAAUAGCUUUUGGUGGAGGUGUAUAUAUUAAUUUGGUGGUGUAUAGAAAACUCUGAUAUUGUAACCAAAUGCUCUAUUUGUCAUAUAUAAAUAUGUUGAUUUAUAUAUGUUGACCGACGCGCGGACCACUGGAGUGCCUUAACUUUGGCCAAAGGGACACUUAAGUGCCAUAACUUACAAAAGGUACACUUAAGUGCCAAAAUCGGAGUAAAAUGGAUCACUUAAGUGCCAAUCCGGCGAAAAUCCGGCCAAAAUGUGACGUGGCACUUUUCCGGCGAACGGAGCUCAAAAUAACAUCGUUUUUCACACUGACAUGGCCAAAACGGCGUUGUUUUGGCUGACGUGGCAAAAAAAAAUUAAUUAAAUUAAAUUUAUUUAAAAUAUUUAAAAAUAAUAAUUUUAAAAUUAAAUUUAGUUAAAAUAUUUUAAAUUAAUAAUUUUGAAAUUAAAUUUAGUUGAAAUAUUAAAAAAUUAAUAAUUUAAAAUUAAAAAAAAAAAGUUGGGGAGGCUCUCUCAGCCGCCCCCAUCCCCCCCCCCCCCCUAACUCUGGGAUCGUAGACGCAUGUCGCCACCUCUAGUCAAUGCACAUGGAAGAUGGCACAGAUUGAUCAUCNNNNNNNNNNNNNNNNNNNNNNNNNNNNNNNNNNNNNNNNNNNNNNNNNNNNNNNNNNNNNNNNNNNNNNNNNNNNNNNNNNNNNNNNNNNNNNNNNNNNNNNNNNNNNNNNNNNNNNNNNNNNNNNNNNNNNNNNNNNNNNNNNNNNNNNNNNNNNNNNNNNNNNNNNNNNNNNNNNNNNNNNNNNNNNNNNNNNNNNNNNNNNNNNNNNNNNNNNNNNNNNNNNNNNNNNNNNNNNNNNNNNNNNNNNNNNNNNNNNNNNNNNNNNNNNNNNNNNNNNNNNNNNNNNNNNNNNNNNNNNNNNNNNNNNNNNNNNNNNNNNNNNNNNNNNNNNNNNNNNNNNNNNNNNNNNNNNNNNNNNNNNNNNNNNNNNNNNNNNNNNNNNNNNNNNNNNNNNNNNNNNNNNNNNNNNNNNNNNNNNNNNNNNNNNNNNNNNNNNNNNNNNNNNNNNNNNNNNNNNNNNNNNNNNNNNNNNNNNNNNNNNNNNNNNNNNNNNNNNNNNNNNNNNNNNNNNNNNNNNNNNNNNNNNNNNNNNNNNNNNNNNNNNNNNNNNNNNNNNNNNNNNNNNNNNNNNNNNNNNNNNNNNNNNNNNNNNNNNNNNNNNNNNNNNNNNNNNNNNNNNNNNNNNNNNNNNNNNNNNNNNNNNNNNNNNNNNNNNNNNNNNNNNNNNNNNNNNNNNNNNNNNNNNNNNNNNNNNNNNNNNNNNNNNNNNNNNNNNNNNNNNNNNNNNNNNNNNNNNNNNNNNNNNNNNNNNNNNNNNNNNNNNNNNNNNNNNNNNNNNNNNNNNNNNNNNNNNNNNNNNNNNNNNNNNNNNNNNNNNNNNNNNNNNNNNNNNNNNNNNNNNNNNNNNNNNNNNNNNNNNNNNNNNNNNNNNNNNNNNNNNNNNNNNNNNNNNNNNNNNNNNNNNNNNNNNNNNNNNNNNNNNNNNNNNNNNNNNNNNNNNNNNNNNNNNNNNNNNNNNNNNNNNNNNNNNNNNNNNNNNNNNNNNNNNNNNNNNNNNNNNNNNNNNNNNNNNNNNNNNNNNNNNNNNNNNNNNNNNNNNNNNNNNNNNNNNNNNNNNNNNNNNNNNNNNNNNNNNNNNNNNNNNNNNNNNNNNNNNNNNNNNNNNNNNNNNNNNNNNNNNNNNNNNNNNNNNNNNNNNNNNNNNNNNNNNNNNNNNNNNNNNNNNNNNNNNNNNNNNNNNNNNNNNNNNNNNNNNNNNNNNNNNNNNNNNNNNNNNNNNNNNNNNNNNNNNNNNNNNNNNNNNNNNNNNNNNNNNNNNNNNNNNNNNNNNNNNNNNNNNNNNNNNNNNNNNNNNNNNNNNNNNNNNNNNNNNNNNNNNNNNNNNNNNNNNNNNNNNNNNNNNNNNNNNNNNNNNNNNNNNNNNNNNNNNNNNNNNNNNNNNNNNNNNNNNNNNNNNNNNNNNNNNNNNNNNNNNNNNNNNNNNNNNNNNNNNNNNNNNNNNNNNNNNNNNNNNNNNNNNNNNNNNNNNNNNNNNNNNNNNNNNNNNNNNNNNNNNNNNNNNNNNNNNNNNNNNNNNNNNNNNNNNNNNNNNNNNNNNNNNNNNNNNNNNNNNNNNNNNNNNNNNNNNNNNNNNNNNNNNNNNNNNNNNNNNNNNNNNNNNNNNNNNNNNNNNNNNNNNNNNNNNNNNNNNNNNNNNNNNNNNNNNNNNNNNNNNNNNNNNNNNNNNNNNNNNNNNNNNNNNNNNNNNNNNNNNNNNNNNNNNNNNNNNNNNNNNNNNNNNNNNNNNNNNNNNNNNNNNNNNNNNNNNNNNNNNNNNNNNNNNNNNNNNNNNNNNNNNNNNNNNNNNNNNNNNNNNNNNNNNNNNNNNNNNNNNNNNNNNNNNNNNNNNNNNNNNNNNNNNNNNNNNNNNNNNNNNNNNNNNNNNNNNNNNNNNNNNNNNNNNNNNNNNNNNNNNNNNNNNNNNNNNNNNNNNNNNNNNNNNNNNNNNNNNNNNNNNNNNNNNNNNNNNNNNNNNNNNNNNNNNNNNNNNNNNNNNNNNNNNNNNNNNNNNNNNNNNNNNNNNNNNNNNNNNNNNNNNNNNNNNNNNNNNNNNNNNNNNNNNNNNNNNNNNNNNNNNNNNNNNNNNNNNNNNNNNNNNNNNNNNNNNNNNNNNNNNNNNNNNNNNNNNNNNNNNNNNNNNNNNNNNNNNNNNNNNNNNNNNNNNNNNNNNNNNNNNNNNNNNNNNNNNNNNNNNNNNNNNNNNNNNNNNNNNNNNNNNNNNNNNNNNNNNNNNNNNNNNNNNNNNNNNNNNNNNNNNNNNNNNNNNNNNNNNNNNNNNNNNNNNNNNNNNNNNNNNNNNNNNNNNNNNNNNNNNNNNNNNNNNNNNNNNNNNNNNNNNNNNNNNNNNNNNNNNNNNNNNNNNNNNNNNNNNNNNNNNNNNNNNNNNNNNNNNNNNNNNNNNNNNNNNNNNNNNNNNNNNNNNNNNNNNNNNNNNNNNNNNNNNNNNNNNNNNNNNNNNNNNNNNNNNNNNNNNNNNNNNNNNNNNNNNNNNNNNNNNNNNNNNNNNNNNNNNNCCGCAGUUGCCGGCCCUUCCCGGCGGCGGCGGGGCGGCGGCGGAGGCAGCUGAGGGAUCCCUCAGCCGCCUCCCCCACUUUUUUUUUUUUAAUUAUUAAUUUUUUAAUAUUUCAACUAAAUUUAAUUUUAAAAUUAUUAUUUUUAAAUAUUUUAACUAAAUUUAAUUUUAAAAUUAUUAUUUUAAAAUAUUUUAACUAAAUUUAAUUUUAAAAUUAAUUUUUUAAUUUUUUUUUACCACGUCAGCCCAAAACGACGCCAUUUUGGCCACGUCAGCGUGCAAAACGACGUCGUUUUGGGCGCGCUUCGCCGGAAAAACGCCACGUUGGUGUUUUGGCUGGAUUUUGGCCGGAGUGGCACUCAAGUGAUCCGUUUUUCUUCGAAUGUGGCACUUAAGUGUACCUUUCGCAAGUUAUGGCACUUAAGUGUCCCUUUGGCCAAAGUUAUGGCACUUGAAGUGUUCUUUUGCCUAUGUUGACCUUAGGCUGAAUUUUGGUUAUGUUGAGGCUGCGUCCUUUGAUGAAAGUACGGCAGUGUCAUGCUCUUAUUAUGUUGAAUCGGGGUGUGACAUUCUAAAUAUAAAGAGAUGCUUUAUAAAAGAUAGAGGGAGAUUUUUAUUUUCGGGUGAACAUAUAAGGAUUGCGGGGACUCUGUUCCUGAAAAAAGUUGCAUAUGGAUGGAAAUUGAUAAAACAGUAAAAGGUUAUAAUGGAGCUCCACUACCAAUCACUUUCAACCAAAAAAAAAAGAGGUAUCAAUCGCUUCAAGUCCACGUAGAGGUCUCUUCAGGUCAUCUAGGCAGAGGUCUAUUCACCCAUCAAGACUAACUUAGACAUGAACAGGGACAACAAGAGUAUUGGAACAUGAAUCAUGAAAUUCAAAUCUUGUUGGUCCAUCUUUCCAACUUAUGAAUGACUUUGACACUUGGUUUUCUUCCUCUAUUGUUCACUAUAACUGGUAAAAUUGUCUUCUUGCUUUGCCCAUGUCCGAGUCUGCCUGUGUUUUUAGUCUUGCUUGACCACUCAAAUGCCCAAUUUUGACUGCUCAAAUUCAUUCGUUGAUGAGGACAUCUCCAAGUUGCACCUCUAGCGUCUUCUUCACUCUAGGAUAUGCCCGUCCUUCUCCACUGGUUUCAGCAUUCAAGCUUAAAUGCGACCUGCGGAUGAGGCCAGUGAAAAUGCACAAGUCCCAGUUGAAGUUUCCACAUAUUACUCUGCGCGUUUCUUGACCCUUUCUUCUUUGAGAUCUCUUACCUCACCCUCACUCUUGAGCACAAACAGGUAUAUAUACUUCCUCCUGUGCAUUAUGUUUCUAAACCUGUCCGCUCGAACCUCGUUUGGUACAGCCAUGGAUAGCAACAAAAGCAGUCCAUGGUCGUUCAUCCUCCCAAGUUUCUUGCUUUGCUUAUCUCUCUGCAUCCACCUCUGUCUUGGCACAGACAAGCUCGAUGCAAAUCAGUCUCUAUCUGGUAAUGAAACCUUAACUUCCUCGGGUGGCGACUUUGUGCUUGGCUUCUUUACACCAGGCAAGUCGUCUUACUCCUACAUAGGCAUCUGGUACAACAAAGUUCGCGAGCCGACCAUUGUCUGGGUCGCCAACAGAGACAACCCUGUCACCGACAGGUACUCCACUGAAUUGAAGAUCUUGGAUGGCAAUCUUAUAAUUGUCAACGGCUCCCAAGUCCCUGUUUGGUCCACGAAUCUGCGUAUUUCUUCAUCUGGGUCGAGCUCCAUGGUAGCGGUUCUUGGGGACGAUGGCAACUUCGCUCUCAAAGACGGGCCAAAUUCUUCCGUGACCCUCUGGCAGAGCUUUGAUCACAUGACACACACGUGGCUUCCUGGUGCGAAAUUAGAGAUCAACAAGCGCAAAAACACGGUCUUGACAUCAUGGAAGAAUGCCGAGGAUCCUUCGACAGGUUUGUUCUCUCUCCAGCUGCAGCCAUCCAAUGAGUACUUCAUAUUGUGGAACAUGUCGUUUCGUUAUUAUACCACCGGGAAGUGGGAUAGUAAGAAUAAAGUGUAUGAAAACGUGCCUGAGUUGAAAGCGAACACUAUUUUCGAUUUCAUCUUUGUGGACAAUGAAAAUGAGAGCUACUUCACUUAUAGAAGGAAAGAUGGCAGCACUACCCCAUCAAGAUUCGUGAUGGAUCUUUCUGGACAAAUGCAGAUGCUUUCCUGGUUGCCCUCACAGCAGUGGAACAUGUUCUGGUCCCAGCCCCCGAAAAAAUGUCAAGUCCGCAAUUUUUGUGGGCCUUUUGGUGUUUGCAGCGAGAGCACAGAUAACUUUUGCAGUUGCUUGCCAGGGUUUAGUAUAACCUCACUAAGAGAUUGGAAUCUGGGUGAUAUGUCUAGUGGUUGUAAGAGGAAUUCCAGAUUGAGUUGUGCUUUGAGCACUUUGGAUGGGGAGAAGGACCAAUUCUUGCUUAGUCCUAACAAAUUGCCGACGGAUUCCCAAUCUUUACCUGUAAGAGACGCCAACGAAUGUCACCUCUCUUGUUUGAACAAUUGCUCUUGCACGGCUUAUGUUUUCAAGGAUAAUGCCUGCUCAAUUUGGUUUGGGCAUCUUUUCAACGCGCAACAGCUCGCACAAGGUGAUUCCACUGGAAAUAGCUUCUAUCUCCGGCUUGCCGCUUCCGACGUUGAGGAUCCAAGCAAGAAGAGCAAUGUAACUGCGAUAGUUGCAGGGUCUUUUAGCUCUGCAGUGGCAAUAUUGGCCAUUGUCUUGUUUGGCGUCUGGAGAUGGAGGAGAAGGGCAACUGUAACAACAAAGACAGCGGAGGGUUCACUGAUAGCCUUUGCACACCGGGACUUACAAGUAGCAACAAAGAAUUUCUCAGAGAAGUUGGGUGGGGGUGGGUUCGGUUCAGUUUUCAAAGGAACAUUACCUGAUUCAAUUCACAUAGCGGUCAAGAAGCUUGAAAGCAUAAGCCAAGGAGAGAAGCAAUUCCGAACAGAAGUAAGCACAAUCGGCACCAUCCAGCAUGUGAAUCUUGCUAGGCUUCGCGGGUUUUGCUCUGAAGGUGACAAAAGGCUUUUGGUCUACGAUUUCAUGCCAAAUGGUUCCUUAGACUAUCAUCUCUUUCAUAGAAAGGAGUCGAAGACCCUGGAUUGGAAAAUGAGGUACCAAAUUGCUUUGGGAACGGCUCGAGGUCUGGCUUAUCUCUAUGAGAAGUGUAGAGACUGCAUCAUACAUUGCGACAUCAAGCCAGAGAACAUCCUUCUAGAUGCUGAAUUAUGUCCAACAGUGGCAGAUUUUGGCCUGGCAAAGCUUGUUGGCCGAGAUUUCAGCAGGGUGUUGACAACUAUUAGAGGCACAAGAGGGUAUCUUGCACCGGAGUGGAUCUCUGGAGUGGCCAUAACAGCAAAAGCUGAUGUUUAUAGCUAUGGAAUGAUGCUCUUUGAAUUUGUAUCAGGACGGAGGAACUCAGAGCUAUUGGAAAAUGGGGCUAUCAAGUUCUUCCCAACAUGGGCUGCUAGGAAGGUAUCUGAAGGAGGUGACCUGCUUGAUCUUCUGGACCCAAACUUGGAGGCAAAUGCCGAUACUGAAGAGCUAACUAGGAUUUGCAGAGUUGCUUGCUGGUGUGUCCAAGAUGCAGAAUCUCACAGGCCAUCGAUGGGGCAGGUUGUUCCAAUACUUGAGGGGGUUUUGGAUGUGAACCUGCCCCAGAUACCGAGAGCCCUUCAAAUGAUUCAUGAUAAUCAGGAGCAUGUAGUUUUCUUCACUAAGUCAUCAUCAUCUAACCAGAGUUCCCAGAUGGAGAGAAACACAUUAACUGCAUCCAUGCAGAACCAAAAUAGUACACCUUCAACAAAUUCCAAGUCUUGAGGAUGAUAAGAUAAAUGCCUCUGUACAAGUAGUGCUUCACUUAGAUACUGCAUAUUGUUCUCCCGCUUUUUCUUUGGUCAAGAAAGAGUCAGCAUUUGGGGAUUGGCUUUCUUGGGGCUUUUUCCCCUAGCUAUUUUUGUUAUAUGGAUAAAAGCAAAGCUUGGACAAGUGCCAGGCCAAUCCAUUCGUAAAGACCCUUCAUUCUAUAUAAUGAUCUAGUCUGCUUAUGAGAUCCAAUGUGACAUUAGUAAUUAUUUUCAAAAACUGUCAUCUCCACUUUCUUAUAAUUUUUGCACUGGAAUUGGGAUCUACGUCGUCAAACAUGGGAUUUCUCAUGGGGUCCACGUCUUCAAGCAUGGGUUUGCUCAAUGUGGGUGCAGAAAACCUUUUAUCUGCUUUUAACAGAUUUUAGUCAACACUCACCAGGUUUUUGAUCCACCACAUUCAGAGAAUUAAGGUUCAGCCUUUAGGUUAGAACCCAUGAUUAAAAACUGAUGUAUGCCUCGUUGCUUGGAUGUACUUUUCUGGUGCAGAAUUUGCAACUAGAUUCCAGGUGAAAUGUUCUGAUGUCUUGUCCUUGUUCAGACGAAUAUCAUUUUGACCGUGUUAUUCUCCAUAAAAUGGAAUCACUUAGUUUGAUUUUGACGAGUGCAUCACAGGCUAACUGAAUGCAGCAUUCUUGUUCGUGGUUUGCUUCAUGUAGGCUCUCCCAUUCCCAGUUGAUGUGCCGUGAUUUCCCCAACUUAAUCCUAGCUUACUCUCACAUUCUUCUUCCACACUUCACGCUAUGGUAAAUAACAUUGUCUCACUUUUCUUAAUUACAGUAAUUUUUAUCAGCCAGAUGUUGGCAUCUCCCAGCAAUGUUUAGUUCAGAGAACUUUCAUCUUGGAUUUCAGCUGGUGUCUCACAUUGUUCUCAAAUCUGCCCCCACUGCAUACAAAGCAGGCUAUAAGGCUUGGCAUUUCUCAGUAUCAACUCCACUUACUACUUGCUUUGUUUAUAAUGAUUCAUGGCACCAAAACCGCCCUUAUAACUACAACUUGCUGGGACCAGGAACUAUAUCAUGAAAAUUACACGGUGAUCUAUGCUGUAGGAUGUUAAUGCCCGCCCCCUUUAUGUCAUGGCAUUUACAUCUCUUCUAAAGUUGAAUUUUUGUGGAUUGCUCACUCGCUCUAUGUUUUGAGUGAGUAAUGCCAGAGAUUACUUGACCAUUUUGCAAAACUGACGUGUAAAGUGAUGAAUUGAGACUUCCAUUGGGGUCGAUGUAACCGUUGGUCUCUCUAUUUUCACUUGGAAAUCAAGUUAUCAACAUGCUACUGUCUCACAUGGUUCUCGGAUCUGCCACUUCUCCUAGCCAUUGCAGUGCCACAAUCUCACUAACUUUUCCAAGUUUUCCAUCUUCAGUUUUUUCUUUACACUAUGACUACAUUUUUUCUCCUUUUUCCUAUAAAUGCAAUAUGAUAAAUUCAGAUCUAAUACCGUUUCACUUCUCUUUCUGUAAGUGUUUUCUCAGUACCAUCUGAUUGUUGAUCCUUCUCUGGUGCCAGAGGUGCUGUUAUAAAGUCUAACCUGCUUCUAUCAAUCAGCACCCUCUCUUAGAUGAAGCAACCUUGACUAGAUCUGGAUUUGCUAUGAUCAUUUAAAACUUCAAGCAUUCCACCUGGACUUGGUAAAAUAUGGAAUAAACAGAAAAUUGAACUGCUCCAAACAAAAGAUAAAAAGAAAGUUGCAUGUGUAAGGGAAUCGAUAAAAAAGGAAAAGGUUAUAGUGGAUGCAACCUCAAAUACCAAUCACCCCAAGUCCAUGCAAGGGACUCUUCAAAACUUCAUCUGUCCAUGUCCACACAGUCUAGAUGAUUUUCUUGUAGAAAUUACAUAGAAACUAACCAUGGAUAUUACAAAAAGAUGAAGUGGAGGAAUAGCAAAUCGCAGUAAUCUAGAGCCUAGACCCUUGGGAUUAUUAUUGGAUGAGCUCGCUGCAUUGAAUGCUCAUUCAAAGUACAGAACAGAAACGAAGAUCAGAGAAAAGAAUAUGCACAAGAUGUAGUAGAUUGUUCUCUAUCAAUUGUUUCACAAUGAUCUCCGUGAGGGACAACAAACUUUUUAAAAGCAUGUAAGCAUUUGUCAUAUCUCAUGAGCCUGACCUAAGGACUUCAACAAGAUACUCUCCUUCCAUGGGUUCUGAAGAUCAGAGCAAAGAAUAUGCACAUGAAAAAUUGAUGUUUUGAUCCGUUCUCUAUCAAUUGUUUUGUGAUGAUUUCUGUGAGGGAAAACUGCAAUUGGAAGAUAAAAACAGUGUCACUGUGAUUCGCAGGGAUUUGCAUUCCAGUAGCUUGUGAAGGUAGUUUUUCCAUCAGAUUUGUGAGAGUAGUUGAACUUGGGUAUGAAAGGAGACUAUAUCUGUAGAGGAAAGCGAAGGGCAUCAGAGUAACGCAUAGAGCUGUAACAAAGGAAGUUGGACCGUGCAUCAUGAAUAUCAAAUCGUGUUGGUCCUGCUUCUGGAUGUGCGAUUAGCGUCGACACUCGGUUUUCUUUUACUGUUGACAAGAUCUGGUAAAACUAUCUUUCUUGAUUUGCUAAUGACCGGUCUGCCUAUGGUUUAGUUGCGCUUGAUCAUUCUAACGGAUGAUGUCGUGUUUAAGCGAUGGAUUUCAUUGCAAAGUUCUCUUAUUGGUUGUGACUGAAAGUUAUCUUCAAGCCUCACCACUAAGGUCAUCUUCACUCUUGGAUAUGCCCCUUUUUGUACGUUGGUUCUGGCAUCCAUCACGCAGCAUGCAAAGACAAAAUGUCUUUGCUAGCAUAACAGUCGAGCUACCGUAAAAAUAAUAGUUUGUUGUGAGUCACAAAUUAUUGAUAGAGUAGACCCUACAAAUAUUUUUGAUUUUUUGUUAUUUGAUUUUUUGUGGUCUAUAAUAAUUUGUUGUUUUUACAGUAUAGCUUUUGUCAUACACAUUCAAUGUAUAGAUGAUAUAAUGUGGCAAAAGAAAAAAAAAUCUCCAUAGGAUAAAAUAUAUGAACGAAAUUUGCACAUACUAUUAGUCGACAUAGUAUAUAUUCUCAUCAUUUAUGAAUGGAUAUUACUAGAGAGGUUACAAGAUAGGAACAUUAACUAAAAUUUGUUCUCAAAGAAGCAAUAAAACCUAGGAUAGGUAUUUUCUUUCUUUGUAUAUCGAUUAUGUGGUUUGUUCAGACCACUUUUGGAACACCACAAUUGAUUCACCUCUCCCGAUAGAUUUUAAAGGAACCUCCUUUUUUAGGAAAAGUAUCAAAAAAUUCAUAAACAUAUUAUCUUUGUACUAAUUCAAUUCUAAAUCUUUCAAUUGGAGCAAUUUAAUCCUAAAACUUUUCACAUUGGUACCAAUUCAAUUCAUCAGGCCAAUUUUGGCCGACCGGCACUGACGUGGACACUAGCCGGUGGCCAAACACUAACGUGGCAAUUUUUAAAGUUUAGAAUUAAAUUGAUAUAAUUGAAAAUGUUAUGACUGAAUUUGUAUCAAUGUAAUAGAUUUAGGACUUUUUUGGUACUUUUCUCUCCUUAUUUCAAUCCGAUUCGUUUAGGAUUUUAAUGUGAAGUGCUCUGAAAAAUAGUCGAACCGGAGUCACACACCACAGGGAAUUGAGCAAACUUAUUUUUCAUCUAAACCAACAUCUUAUCGGUUGCCAGUUGUAUUUAAAAAAUGCUUGACUCACUAAGACUGAUUUAUACUAUUGGUUUAUUAAGUGAUGUGCUAAACCGUUAUUAAUUCUUAAACACGACCCACCUUUUUUUAAAAGCUUAUCCACAAUCUCACCCAUUAUUUAGUUUUUUCAAUUCGCUAUUAAAAAGUCCAGCACUGUUAUUUGUAUUUCAAAAGCCUAUCCAAUUUGCGAAAGAAUUCCAUUUCAGAUCUAAACACUCAUGCCAAUCUUACGACAUUCUUAUUACCCUAACAUUUCCCCUUUUCUAUUGAUACCAACCUGACUUCGAAUUCAAAAUGAAUAUAUAUACAAACCAUAAUUUGCCAGAACGAAAUUCUCGUCGCCAAAAGUCUACUAACUAGCUAGACGCUAAUCUCGAUCUAUCACGCGAGACAGCAUUUUCACGUAAAGGAUUUAAUGCAACAGCGGCCCUCUCUUCAUUUUUUGGGACGGUUCCUUUCACGCAUCCUCCCUAGCACUUCCAUAAAUUGCGCUACAGUCUUUCUUCUCUUCUUCUCAUCUGUCUCUACGUGCUAAACCUUCACUCUCUCCUGUCUUCCUGUCCUCACAUCAUCAUCAUUGUCAGUGACGCUCCAGCAAAGCCGGCGAGUUACCACAAGAAGCCACAUCAACGCAAAGACUAUUGCAUAAGCUCUGCCACACAACACCGUCCCCAUCAGACUAAUGAACAGCAGAUAUGUCACACCCCAAACUACAAGGCAUGGGGAUGACAUGGCCAACCUUAUAUAUAUAUAUACACAUAUCAAAUAACUAACAAAUUUGUUGCAACAUUAGAGUUUCUAUAAUCCACAAAAAAGAAAUAUACAUUUAGAACUCAAUCGGUGCAACCACUAGCAAAGAUUAUGUACACCACUUUCUUAAAUCAUACCCAAAAUAGAACUCCCAAAAGUUUUCCAAAAGCGCUCUCGUCCUACUAGUUGCUAACCCUGGGACCUGAAAACAUGGAAGAUGAAUGGAACGAGCAACCAUAGCUCAGUGAGUAGUACAUACCAUAAAAACAUAUCAAACUUCCGCAUUACACAUUUAAAACUCAAGACAUGACUCGUUAUUGCCUAACAAAAUAUGAUAACUUGCAUGAACAAAAUGUGUUAAAUGUUACCUCAACCUAACUAUAUCAAAUAGCCAAAUUCUCCAUUCAUCCAUAAUAACAAAACCAGCAUGGACUCAUCCUAUCUCAUAUCAAUAGUUCAUUCCACGCUCAAUAUCCAAACUCAAAGCCCUAGAGGUGACUUCCACGAAAUUGCAUUAUCAUGUAGCACUUAGCUCUUGAUCACAUAUAACAAUAGUACAAGGCUCUAGAGGUGGCACACACGAAAUUAUGUUAUCAUGUACCACUUAGUCCUUUACUAUGCAUGUCAGUAGUACGAGACCCUAGAGGUGACUCCCAUGUGACUUUAGUCGCCAUGUAGCACUUAGGGCGCGCAUGAUAAAAUUUUUGUUUCUCGAUUUCUCUGUUUCUCUGUUCCCCGGAAUAGGUUUGUAACAGAAAUUCGUUUGGUAACGCAAUUUGAUUUCUCUAUUUCUGAAACAGAUUUCUAUUCCAGAAAUAGAGAAAUCGAAGAAAUCAAAAGCUGAAAUUUUUAACUUUUCAGUUUCUGAAAUAGAAAUAGAAUUUUUUUUCUCAACUUUUCAAUUUAGUUAAUUUAGUCCAAAAUAUUUAAAUGAUUUUUUAAUAUAAUCAUUUCAAUCAAUAUUGAUUGAAAAUCUUAACCAUUGGCCAUAUGAUAGGAAUGGAAUGAACAUGGCUUCAUUUGUUGCACGCAAGAGAUUUCAUGCAUGGUAAUAGUCAACUUGCCAUAUUCAUAUCUAACGAGUCUUUCUUCACCUACUCUUUCGUAGUACGCCAAACAACGGCUCUAUCUGGCUAACUAUUUUUUUAAUCAUAAACUUCAUAUUGAGGCAGUAAAAAUGGGUCAAAUCAUUAGGGUUUCAUUUGAUUUUUCUUUUAUAUAGUGUCAUCACUUAUCAAGACACGGGUAAAAAAAGAUCUAAUAAGGAAUCUGUUGUUCUUGUAAGAGUGUUGAUGAAAAUAUAGAUUUUGAUAAUAAAUUUUUAAAUAAUCCUAGUGUUGAUAAUUUUAAAAAAAAAAACUAGUGACGAUUUUUUAACAUGGUGAGGAUUUUUUUAACAAAAUUUGGAAAGAAAUUGGAAUUAGACUUGAAGUUAGAAUUUCUUUUAGGAGAUUAGACUAUUAUAAUCAUGGCUAUCAUUAGACUUAUUUGAUUAAUGUGAAAUCAAUUUCGGCAAAAACAUAAUGACAUAUUCACUACAAUUGAAUUUCAAUUGAUUUUUUUUCCACGUUUAUUUUUCGAAAGAAAAUAUUACGUAAUAGGAAACGUAAGCACAUGUAAUAGGAAAUUCCAUGAAAUUGUAUUUUCAACUUUUGUAAUGUAUUAGUAUUAUUUUGACUAUUGUUUUGUAUUUGAGGAUUUCUUAUGUUAUUUUAGUAUUAUUUCGACUAUUAUUUUGUAUUUAAUGAUUUCUUAUAUUGUUAUAUAAUCAAUUUCUAUUCCUAGAAAUAGAAAUUUGUAUUCUGUUGGGGUGCGAAUGGUAACGUUUCUGUUCUUUUUUUGUUCUAGGGAACAGAAACAAAAAAAAAUGUUUCUGUUCCGGGGAACAAUUUUUGAACAAAGACACGUUUGGUAACGUUUGUUCUGGGAAUAAAAAAUGAAUAGAAACACGUUUGGUAAAUUUUAUUCUUUUUUUAUUUCUUUUAAUUUUGUAAACAUUUUUAUUUUAUUUUUCAUUUUUUCCUUUCUUUUUUAUUUUUUCUUUUUUCGGCCGGUCCCCGGCCUCCGGCGACCGACCGACUGGGCCGGCAGCCUCGCCCAGCCACGGCGAGCCUCGCCAUGGCUGGGUGAGCUCGAGUUCGCCCAACCAAGGCGAGGCUCGGCCUCGCCCGCGCCAGCGACGCUCGGGCUCGCCAGGGGCCGGCGACGCUCCGGCGAGGUCGCCGACCCUCGAGGGCGUCGCCGGCCCUCGACGGCCGAUCGCCGGCCAUGGCCGAGGCUGGCGACCGGCGAAAGAAAAAAGAAGAAAAAAAGAAGAAGAAAAGAAGAAGAGAAGAAGAAGAGAGAGAAGGGAAAAACGUUUCUUCAUUUUUGUUUUUGGAACAAGAAACAACAAUUUGUUGUUUCUUUUUUUUGUUCUUAUUUUGUUCCGGAAACAAAAAAACAAAAAAAGAACAAAAACGCAACCAAACGCGUUUCUGUUCUUUUUUUGUUCCCGGGAACAAAAUCCGUACAGAAGUGUUCCAGAAACGUUUCUUUGGAACGUUUCCAUGCACGCCCUUAUCAAACAGAUUUCUAUUAUAGAAAUAGAAAUUUUGAGUCAUUAUCAAAUGGGUUUCUUUGCUCAGAAACUUUUCCGGGGAAUAGAAAUUGAGAAUUCAAUUUCUCGCCAGAAAUCAAUUUCUGGAGCAGAAAUUUUGUCAUGCGCGCCCUUAGCCCUUGACUACAAAGCCCUAGAGGUGACUCACACGAAAUUUCAUUAUCGUGUAGCACUUAGUCCUUUACAUAUUCACAACACGUGAUUUUCUCAACAUGACACAUAUCAUGUUUCAAUAGUCAUCACAUAACCACAUAAAUCAAUUGUACCAAAACAGCAUACAUAACCCUUCAAGAGAGAUUUGUCAAAUCAUCCCAUAAUAACUCAAAAUUUCCGAGCACUAUAUCCAUCAAUAUAUAGCAAAUAGAUCAUCACUUCCUCACAAGUAUAUGUCAAUUAAUCUUAUCUUAGUAAAUGAGUUUCACAAAACCAAAGAAGACAUUAGUACUACUCACCUGGGGAUGCCCCAAAAUCAAAUAACGUGUGUUAUUUGAUUCUUCGAUCUCGCGAUCCGGGUGCUGCAUUAUAAAGUUGAGUCAGCUUGACGAGGCAUCCGUGGCAUGCACGUGCCAAAACCCCUUUUCUCUUUUCCCCCUUCUUCUUCCUCUUCUUCUUCUUCUCUCUCUUUUGGUCGAGGGAGCUCUCUGCUGCCCUUUUUAGCUGAGCCCUUCCCUCCCCUCCUUUUUACUUUUUUGACAUUUCAACUUAUCUUUCUUUUUCUUCUUUUGGGCCCCACCAGCCAAAUAUUACAAGAUAUGCCAUAUCAAGUUUGGCUCGUUUCGUUCAUGACUGAUCUUGAUGAUCUGGACUUAGCUCUUGCUUCAUUGAUGAGCCAUUGUACAAGAAUCCACCGUGAGACCACUGUUCGGACACACAAUCCACGUACUCUAAUGCCAAACUUGAACCUGAAGAAAGAGAGGUAGAAGAAAAAUGAUUUGCCUGAUCAUCGAUAAGCUUCUAAUCGUUGUUAUCACAUAACGACCGCCUUGGUUUGGCAUCCAUUGAAGGACAGUGUUUCGUCAACAAUGAGUUUCAAACUGAACUACUUCUUUUCCGGUAGAUAGUCCGAGCCUGCAAAAAAAAAUGGAGAAAAAUGAGUACAUAUGGAAACCACUAAAAUGUUCUCACAUAGUUCUCAUACCAUAAGUGACAUUUUCACGAUAAUAAUAGUUUCUUCCGCAACAUAACAUGUAAUCCUCGCUGGACAUUUCUUUAAUGGCACAAACUAGAAAAACGAAAAAAGUGGGAUAACAAACCAAAGCGGUGUAGAAGAGAGCGGACUUCAACAUGCGCGAAAAGCUAUGCUUUCUCGAUCGAGCAUACGGUGGUUUCACGCUUGCUCUCUCAUUGUCGUCCUCAUCGAUCAAAAGAUGCAUGAGCUGGUUCCGCCUACGCCUGGGCUCGAGCAUCAUGUCCUCGAUGACGGGCCGUCUAAAGCAAUGCAAGAACUUGAUCCUCGACACAUUCUUCAUGGUCUCUCUCUGACGUUUCAUGCGUUGCAGAUCGCAACCCGUGUUUCAGACUCAAUGGAGAAAAGAAACGAGGCAGGAAAAGAUGGGGAGGCACACGUUAUUUUGGGAUGGCUUCGAGUCGGAAGGCCAUAGAUUUAGUGUAGUUUUGGAUCACUUGUUUUCUUUUUCUUUGGUGCAAGUGUAAGUACAUGAAGACAUCUCUCUUUAUGUAAUAUUAGAGAUUUUUGAAAAAGUCAAAGAAAAGGCGGUGGACCCACUUUAAAUAAAGAAAUAAAAAGAAAACAAAAAGGAGAAGAGAUAUAAAGGAAAGGAAAGGAAAGCCCACGUUCGGGGCGGCAGAAGAAAAGAGGAAAGAAGAAGAAAGAAAGAAGAAGAAAAAGAAGAAGAAGAAAGAGAAGAAAGAAGAGAGAGGGCUUUGUGUGUUCACACCGUAGGCAACUCACCGAGCUUAUUUACAAUGCCCGGUAAGUGAUCGCACCUUUCGUUCUUUCAAUUGGAGUAGUUUCGGAGUUAGGGUUUGAAAUUCGGAAUUUGGGAAAAUCGAGCAGCGAAGUCUGAUUUUGGAGUUAUUGAGCCGUGUAUUUUUGUAAGAAUGAUAGUUUAGAGCGUUGUAGAGCCGUGGGAUUUUAUGGAUCAUGAUUUGAGCUUAUGAUUUGUCCGAAACAAAAUUUCAAAAUUUCUUGAGCGCAGUGAAAAGUACAAGUCCAGCAGUUUUGGGCCCGUAUUUUGUCAUUUUUUGGCUUGAUUGGGACGGUCAAGUUUGGAUUCUUGUAAUAUGUUUGAAGGGCUUCUAUUGAUUAUAAGUAUGUUCAGAUCGGGUUCAGAGGAGAAAGUUAAGGCACGAUCAAGUUUUGCGCUUAAACCCCGUGUUGCAAAUGGCUUGAAUAAUCGCUUUGGUUAUGCGAUUUAUUAGCGCAGAGAAAUCGUUUUGUUAACAUUUAGACAUAUUAUAGAUGUUUCAUGGUUAAAGUAGUGUGUUACCCAAAUUUAAUGUUGUUUCUCGCUUAUUCGAUAGGACCGCGAGAUCGAAUGAUCAAAUAAUGUGUGUUAUUUGAUUUUGGGGCAUCCCCGAGUGAGUAGUACUAAUGUCUUCUUUGGUUUUGUGAAACUCAUGUACUAAGGUAAGAUUAAUCAACAUAUACUUGUGAAGAAGUGAUGACCUAUUUGUUAUAUAUUGAUGGAUAUAGUGCUCGGUAAUUUUGAGUUAUUGCGGGAUGAUUCGACAAACCUCUCUUGAAGGGUUAUGUAUGUUGUUUUGGUACAAUUGAUUUAUGUGGUUAUGUGAUGACUAUUGAAACAUGAUAUGUGUUGUGUUGAGGAAAUCAAAUGUGUUGUGAAUAGAUAAAGGACUAAGUGCUACACGACAACGAAAUUUUGUGUACAUGACGACUUGAGUCAUAUGGAAGCCACCUCUAGAGCCUCGUACUACUGGCAAGCAUAAUAAAUGACUAAGUGCUACACGAUAAUGUAACUUCGUGGGAGUCACCUUUAGGGCCUUGUACUAUUGCUAUAUGUGGUCAAGGGCUAAGUGCUACAUGAAAACACAAUUUCGUGAGAGUCACCUCUAGGGCCUUGAGUUUGGAUAUUGAGCGUAGAAUGAACCAUUGAUAUGAGAUAUGAUGAGUCCAAUUAUUGAACAAAAUUGGUGAUGCUGGUUUUGUUAUUAUGGAUGAAUGAGAAAUUUUGUUAUUUGAUAUAGCUAGGUUGAGGUAACAUAUAACGCAUUUUGUUCAUGCAAGUUAUCAUAUUUUUGUUUGGCAAUAAUGAGUCAUGUCUUGAGUUUUAAAUGUGUAAUGUGGAAGUUUGAUAUGCUUUUAUGGUAUGUACUACUCACUGAGCUAUGGUUGCUCAUUCCAUUCAUCUUCCAUGUUUUCAGGUCUCAAGGUUAGCAACUAGUAGGACGAGAGUGCUUUUGGAAAAAUUUUGGGAGUUCUAUUUUGGGUAUGGUUUAAGAGAGUAGUGUACAUAAUCCUUGCUAAUGGUUGAACUAGUUGAGUUCUAAAUGUAUAUUUCUUUUUUGUGGAUUAUAGAAACUCUAAUGUUACAACAAAUUUGUUAGUUUAUCUGAUAUGUAUAUAUAUGGUUUGAGAUAUAUACAUUUCAUGAAAGGACGGCCGUGUCAUCCCCAUUCCUUGUAAUUUUGGGGUGUGACACUUUAUAUAAAUAUUUCUAUUUCCAGAGUGAGAAUUACUAUCGGGUGGUUAAGGAUUUAAAUGCUUGAAUGAGAAGAUCAGAGAAAAGGGCAAAAACGGAUAAUGGCUUAUUGUCACUGAUGGACAGACAGGAAGAAGGAGAGGGUAUGACUACGCUACGGUUUUAGUGAAGAGAAAUGGCUUUAAAUUUGAAUGGUCCUUAUGAUCGUCAAGACAUCUCUAGAUAAUCAAUCUCUGAGUGGGGCUAAUUGUGAUAGUGGUCUUCCAAGAAAUUCUAAAAUUAUUCCUUUUAUUUAGGAGUAUCCAAAAAAAUCGAGAAUCACCCAGAAUCGGACCAAACCCACCUAGAACCAACGGUUCGCGGUUCUCAUGGGAACCGGUCCGGUUCCAAGGAUGGAACCAUCCACCUGAGUUGGACCGGUAUAUAUAUAUAUAUAUACCGGUCAAGUUUUCUAUCAAUUCUAAAGUCCCUAGCCAUGGACUUGCUUCUUUGAUAUCUUAAUGAGGACAUUGAUGCUCCCUUCUUAUUGUCCAAAUUGAGACCCAUCUCAACUAUUGUCAUCGUCCACCCUUCUACAUCUCUUCCUUCAUUAGGAUCACAUGCUAGUUUGGUGUCCAUACAACACACAUUAGAAACAUUUUGGCUUUAUUCCUUCCUCUAGAAGACCGGUUCCAACGAUCCACUUGAGAACCAGAUUGGUAACCAACGGAUGGUUCUUGGUUCUAGGAGGGAAUAGCCCACUGCCCAUCUUGGAACCAAUCACCCUUGCGUUCAAUUCAAGAAAUGUGUUAGCUUCUUCAAAAUCCCGGGGGUGCCUUGCAAAUGCCUGUGCUAAUAAGCAAUUUGCUUGCACGCAUGCUAUAAGCCAAAAGUUCCACCUGCUUACACGAUCGCAAGAAAUCGAAUCAUGUCGUUUCGGUGGGUGAAUAAAUGCAAUGGUGGUUUGUGGCCAUUCGAGCAGAGAAACAGUGGAUGGGAUAUCUAACGAUUUUGCAUAUGUAACAUCUGCCUUUCCUAUCUACACGUCGAACAACCCUCUCGUGUCCGAAAUUUAUGCAUCACCCUUUGAGCAUUAUCAUUAGAGUCUUCUAAAGAAAUAAGUCGGCUAAGCCUAUUAAAUGAGUGAGUUGAAUUGAGUCGAAAAAAAUGUCUGACCCACUUAACCUGCAUUAACCCAUUUUUAUGCUACACAAUUUUAGAGUUCCAUACCCGACCCGAUUAACACCUAACAUAUAACUGAUACAAUCCAUAUUACUAAAAAAAUCCAUAACUAACCCAAUUUAUGCAAACUCGUACCCAUUCGCUCAAACAACUUUAAGCCUUUCCUAUGAAUCUAUCAUUUAUAUAAAGUUUUAUAUCAAUUUAAAAAAUAAUAAACCAAAUAAAAAGUCGCCACUCGUUGUCGCUUGCCUAACCAACUCAACUAACGUUGUCUCUCCUCCGUCCAAGCCCCACACCGCUGCUGUGGAGACCCCAAACAUAGUCGCCUCUCUCUCGCGCACGCGAUAUCGAAUAAGAGGUCGUGAACCUAUGUCUAACUUCACUGAUCGUUGUGGUUGUGGCAUCGCCAUGACCCAAGCCCAUCUAUAUAAUUUCUAUUUUGAAUGCAAUAACAAAGUAACCAAUGACAUUACUCGGUCAUUGUGGCACCCCGAAACACCUAAGGCUGUCACAGGUACUUAUUACUCCACCAAAUGAAUACUAGUUACAUUUCUUAGCAGAAGCACCAUAGUCCAUAGGCAUUUUUUUUUUAAAUGGUCCCAGCGCAACUCAUUAGCGGAAACAUAAACAAAUCUCACUACUCCUCCUUCCAAUAACCAUAAUGCAACGCACACCAAUUACACAUCAUAUGAAAAGAUGAAGCUGAGCCAUUUUUAUUUACAUAUUUUCAUGAUGGAUUUCUUGGGUCGGUACAACCAAAAAGAAAAGUCAAGAUUUUUCAACUAAACUUGGCUACAACCCAAAAGAGAUCUCGACCCCUAUAUCGAUCACAUGUCACCCUCCAUCUACAAGUGUCGGCUAUCCUAAAAAAAAAAUAUUAGCUCCCACUCCUCACGUGGGCCAUCACACCCAUCCUGGCGCAUUGGGCGGUGGCGGCGGCAAAUUCUCGAGGGGGUGUUGGAUGUGAACCUGCCCAGGAUACCGAGAGUCCUUCAACUGUUUCUUAGUAAUCAGGAGCAUGUAGUUUUUUUCACUGAGUCGUCAUCGUCGAACCAGAGUUCCCAGAUGAGGAGUAACAACCUAAAAUGCUUCCUUGCAGAAGCAAAAUAGUUCAUCUUCAACAAAGUCCAAGUCUUGAGGAUGAUAAGAUAAGAGCUUAGUACAAGAAGUGCUUCAGUUAGUGCAUAUACUCUUCUACUUUUUCUGUAGUCAACAAAGAAUCUCAGCAUUUGGGGAUUGGCUUUCUUGGGGCUUUUUUCCCUAGCUAUUUUUGUUACGUAUAACUACAAGCGAGCUUGGAUGAUCGGUUGUAAAGAUCCUUCGCUCUGUAUAAUGAUCUGUUCUCUGCUUUUUGAGAUCCAAGGUGAUAUUGGUAAUUAGCAUCGAAAAAUUUCUGAUAAUUUUGGCACUGGAAUUGGGAUCUAACGUAUUGGUAUCACCUAGCUUGGAUCCCAGCUAGUGUCUCACAUGGUUCUAAAAUCUGCCCCCAUCGCAUGCAAAGCAAGCUGUAAGGCUUGGCAUUUCUAAGUAAUAACUCCUUUUGUUACUUGCAUGGUUUAUAUAAUGAGUCAUGGUAUGAAAACCACCCUUGAAACUACGGCUUGCUAGGACCGGAAUAUUAGAUCAUGAUAAUUUCCAACUGAUCUAUGUAUUACUAGCAGAUCCUAUUGUUGGUGCAGUAGGAUGUUAAUGCCUGCUCCAUUUUUCACAUAGCAUUUAUAUCUCUUCUAAGGUUGAGUUUUGAAAAUGAGUACUCGAACCUUUUAGCAAAACUGAUUUAUAAAGUGAUGGAUGAGAAUUCUGUUGGGUGCUCUUACUCACUUUAUAAGUUCUGUAAAACCAAAUUCAGCAUCUCAAUGUUACUUGUUAAAAAUCUCUAUUGUUUGUUCUAGUGGGAAAUUGGUUGAGUUUCUCUAUUUCAAUCGGGUUGAUCCAAACAGUAUUUUCCAUUGCAAGUGGGGAUUAAAUGCAAGUCCAAGUCCACUUUAAUUUAUCGUUGAAGAAGCCUGUUUUGGAAGGCCUAGCUUUUAUUUUUCAGUUCUUAAUCUAUUCAUAUUAAGGCUAAUCUUGUUCGGCCUUUGCAGUACCAUAGUCCCCUCACUUUUGCAAAGCUUCCCCUCAUUUGUUUUUCCUUUUUGCCAUUACACCUUUUUCUUUUCCUUUCUCCUAUACACAAUUCUUUAAAUACUUUCAAUAUGAUGUGUUUUUUUUUUUUAUAAGGUCGAUAUGAUGUGUUGUUUCACUUUUCUUGUGGUAAUUAUUUUACUCUUAUCGUUGAUCCUUCUCCGGUGGGGAAAAAUACCAAAAAAGUCAUAAAUAUAUUACAUUGAUAUCAAUUUAAUGUUAAACUUUUUCACAUUAGUACUAAUUCGGUACAUCCGGCCAAUUUUGGCUGGCUAGUGUUAAUAUGCACGCCAGCCAAAAUUGGACCGAUGGACUGAAUUAGUACAAAUGUAAAAAAAAAAAAAAAUUAGAAUUAAAUUAGUCUAAUUAAAAUAUUUAAAACUGAAUUGAUACCAAUGCAAUAAGUUUAUGACUUUUUUGAUACUUUUCCCUUCUCGGGUGCUAGAGGUGCUAUUAUAAUAUCUUAACUUCCUUUAGCAAUAAAAAGACGGUGUAAUGUGCUUAAAUCUUUAUUUAAUUGUGCUUCUACAAAAAUCAACCCUCUCUAUGAUCAUUUAUGUUGAAAUUAUAUCUCGAAUUUGAAUUCGUGAAAGAAAUCCGACUAGAGAUGAAUCGUAAGAAACUAGGUCAAUAAACUAGGUCAAUUAAGGAAAGUCCUAAAGCCUCAUAUUUCUGGACGUCGGUAUUGUAAAUCUAGAUUUCAUAUUUGGCGUCAGAGUCCAAAGUGCAGAUUUGGACCUUAAGCUGCCGAUUCGCUAACUCCAACAAAAGGUCAGAACUUGUGGAUUACGAAAAUCAAUUUCCGCAUCGCAGUUGGUCAACACAACAACCGAACAAGAAAGAUCGGAGUUGGACUGGGUUUCCUUCUUCAAUCGGUCAACUUGGCUAUAUUAUAUACGGAGUAACACCUUGAAAAAUCCAAAAUUGACAUUUUUAUAACAAAUUUACCAAAAUUUAAAUUUUUUGACCUAAAAAAUCCAAAUUUGUACACCUAUGAUAAAUUCACCUUAAAGAAAUUUGUAACCAUACAAAAUCUUAAACUAGCACAUCCGUUACAAAUGGAGAGUAAAACCUCAAACCGAUACAACAUUAAUUGCCAAAUGUCAUUCAAUUCAAUAAUUUGAUGAGAAAAUUUGAAGGAAAUUAAUGGAGGCUAAAUUUGUUAUGAGUAUAUCAAAGUUUUAGAUAAAUUUAUUAUAAGUGUAUUGGUUCAUGAUUUAUUAUGAAAUUACCCUAAAUAUAAAUAUACAAUUGAGAUUGCUCGUUGGUUAUGAAGAACUAUUAAAGUGUAGUUUUUGGUGAAUGUCAAGGGAAGUUCUAUAUUUGUUAGUGACGGCCAAUUGGCACUGGAGGUUUGGUAGUGGAUUCUUCAUGGAAUAACAUUAAUAGCUUAUGUGUUGGACUCAAUUAAAUCUUGUGAGGAUUUAUUUAAUUAAUUUUUUGAGAUUGAGGGAUCAUUUCGUGAGGAAUUGUAAGACUAAAUGCUACGUGAAUUAUUGAGUAUAAUUGGAGCUUGGAAAACAUGAGAGUGUUUAAGUAACUUGAGUAUGGUUGUAAUUUUCAUUGGAUUGCUUGAUUUAGAGUGGAAUUCUUUACUACUCUCCCUAUGGACAUAUGUCACAUCGACAGAAUCAUUUAAAUUUGGUGUCCAAUUUAUUUUCUUAUUUUGUCUAUUUUAUUGUUUGAUCAGUUAGAUUCCACAAUAAUUUAAAAGAUCAAGGCAUUGAUAAAUGGUCUCUCUACUUUUGCUCAACAAUCAAAGCCAUUCUUUUAAUUUCUUUUAAGGAAAAAAAUCACAAAAACUCCAAUUUUUGUCGACUAUGGUACAUUUAUUCUAAACCAUUUUUGGUGACACCAAAAACUCUAAAUUUAUACCCGCGUGACACAUUUAUUCUAUUUUUUUUUUCUAUAACACCAAAUUUUUCGGGGUUAAUAUGUCACAUCAUACAAAUUUGAAGUUUUAGGUGGCACAUUAUAUAAGAUUAGAGUAAAUAUGCAAAAUAAGUAUGAAUUUGGAGUUUUUGGUGUCAUAAAAUAAGUUUGGGAUAAAUAUAUUAGAGUAAAUAUAAUUUAGAGUUUUCGGUGAUUUUACAUUUCUUUUUAUUCGAAACCGUUCUUGCACUUAAGUGCCAUUGGUCGUCCCUGUGUUGGAACACUAUUAGUUAUUUUCUAACGUGAAUUUGUAUUUUAUUUGUGGCCAACAACUGAUUUAUUAAUAAAUUUUAGAUAACAAAUAUCAUUACUUCAACCAAUGGCCUAUAAAUUGAGUUAAACCACAAAACUAAAUAUCUAAACUUUUUUGCCUUAUGAACUCAUGAGUGAUAAUGGAUCAGCUGUCAAGCUUGUCAAUUUGGUUCUUUCUCCAAAUGUAGACUCUCUCUGUCCUUUUUAGGUUCUUCAUUUUACGAAACCAAAAACCCACAAAAUAUAUUGCCUAUACUAAUGCAAAAGCACUAUUAUUUGUAUCGACUCACGACAAGCAAUUGAGUAGCUAUGGGUCGUGAGCUCUAUGGCUCAUGACUUGAGCAAAUAUGACUGCUACAAGAUCAAAGCUCAUGCGGCAACGCCACGAGCUCAAUGAUCAAGUAGUCAUGGCUCAAGCUUUGUGACUCAAAUAGACAUCGUGGCCAUGGCCAUUUGCGAGCUUGAAAUUGAAUAGCCAUGGCCAAUGCUAUAGAGUUGGAGCUCAUGGUAAUGGUGGGUCAUAAUGGAGCUCUCUCAUAAUUGUGCCCUUUUUUUUUAAUGUUUAUGUUGCCUAAUUUAGCAUCUGUUUUUCCUAAAAUAAUUAUAUGAGUGGAGUACCACCAAUAGGUAUGCUGGCAUCUUGUUCAUAAAAAUCAAAUGGCAAGAGGAAAAAGUAUAACGGAAUGAUUAAUGGUGAUACUUCUAAGGGAAAAAGCCACAAAAAAAUCUUAAACUUUAUCAAUUAUGACACAUUUAUUCAAAUUUUUUUUAACAUAAAAAAUCCCAAACUUGUAAGCGUGUAGUAAUACAUUUACCCAAAAAAAAAAAUUACACCAAAAAAUCCAAACUUAUACUUUUGUGACGCCAAAACCCUAAACUUUUGUUUUGUAACACCAAAAACCUCAGACUUAUAGUCAAGUCACACAUCUACCCCAAAAUUUGGUUUCCUAGAAAAAUGUCUUAGGUAUUUUGUGUCACAAAAGAAAAGUUUGGUGUUUUUUAUGUCAUAAAAAAAGCUUGGAAUAAAUGUGUGACACCACAACAUUUUGAGAUAAAUGUGUCACGUAGGUAAAAGUUUAGGAUUUUUGAUAUUACAAAAAAAAAAGAAGUUUGGGGUAAAUAUUUCACAAUAGUCAUAAUUUAGGGUUUUUGGUGGCUUUUUCCAUACUUUUAAAUAGUAGAGAGAUGCUUUAAAAAAAGUAGAGGGGAUCUUCAUUUUCUGGCAAAAAUAUAAGGGCCACCGGUAAAUCUAAUCCCAUAAAGAAAGUGGCAUAUGUAUAGGAAUUGAUAAAACAGUAAAAAAUUAUAAUGGACACAGUGCCAAGUACCAAUCGCUCCAAGUCCAACUAGAGAGGUCUCUUCACACCAACAUCUAUGGCCAGGACAAAGUCUAUAAGGUUUUUCCAGUAAAGGCAGCGACCAUGAUGUUACGUAUAUAUGAAUUGGGGGAAUGAAUCAACGCGUCGCUCUAGAGUUUAGUCCCUCAACGAUAGGUCAACUCAGCAUGCGUGGAACGAGCACAUUUUGUUGAAGAUACUGACCUCAAGUCAACCUUAGACAAGAGUAUGGACCACAAGAAUAUUGGACAAUGCUAUAUGAAAAUCAAACCUUGUUGGUCCAGCUUUUCAAAUAUAUGAAUGACUUUGACACUUGGAUUUGUCCCUUUGUUGUUGACUAAUGCUGGUAAAACUAUGUUUGAAGUCCUGCUUGAUCAUUCAAAUGUCUGAUGUCGAGUUUGAGUGUUCACUGCUCAAAUUCAUUGCAUGUUAUUCUAGUGUAUGACGAGGACAUGUCCAAGUUGCACCACUAGGGUCUUCUUCACACUGAGAUAUGCCCAUCCUUGUCCACUAGUAUGAUGCCUACUUAGAUGCUUCUAUCUACGUACUCGAUGACAAUGCACUAGUCUCAAUUGAAGUUUCCACACGACACUUUGCGCGUUUAUUGACCUGUUCUUCUUUGAGAUCUCUUACCUUGCCCUUGCUCCGAGCACAAACGGGUAUAUAUACUUUUCCUUGUGAAUCUUGUUUCUACACUUGUCCGCUCAAACCCUAUAUGUUACAGCCAUGGAUAGCAAAAACAGUAGUCCAUGGUCGUUCAUACUCCCAAUUUUCUUGCUUUGCUCAUCUCUGUACACCCACCUCUGUCUUGGCACAGACAAGCUCGAUGCGAAUCGAUCUAUAUCUGGUGAUCAAACCUUAACUUCCUUGGGUGGCCACUUUACGCUUGGCUUCUUCUCGCUGGAUAACUCCGCGUACUCCUACAUAAGCAUCUGGUACAACAAAAUCAGGGUGCAAACCGUCGUCUGGGUCGCCAACCGAGACAACCCUGUCACUGACAGGCACUCCACUGAACUGAAGGUCUCAGGUGGCAAUCUUGUGAUUGUUAACAACUCCGAAGUCCCCGUUUGGUCCACGAAUCUGACUACUUCUUCAUCUGGAUCGAGCUCCAUGGUGGCGGUUCUUGAGGACGACGGCAACUUCGCUCUCAAAGCGGCGCCGAAUUCUUCCGUGACUCUGUGGCAGAGCUUUGAUUACCCGACACACACAUGGCUUCCCAGUGCCAAAUUAGGGAUCGACAAGCGCAAAAACACGAGUCAGACCUUGACAUCAUGGAAGAACGCCGAGGACCCUUCGACAGGUUUGUUCUCUCUCCAUCUCCAACCAUUUAGUGACGGUGAGUACUACAUACGGUGGAAUGGGUCUAACCAUUACUGGACUGGUGGGAAGUGGGACAAUCAGACGAAAAUUUUCUCUGGUGUCCCUGAAAUGAGAGCGAACUAUAUUUAUGAGUUCAAAUAUGUGGACAAUGAGAACGAGAGCUACUUCACCUAAUCAAUCAAAAGCUCCUUCAACACCAUAUCAAGGUUUGUGAUGGACCUUUCUGGGCAGAUCAAGCAGGAGUCCUGGUUGCCUUCCCAGGCGUGGACCAUGUUCUGGUCUAAGCCCUCGCAACAAUGCGAGGUGUAUAGACUUUGUGGGCCUUUCAGUGUUUGCAGCGAGCAGAGCGAAGUUUUGUGUAGCUGCUUGCCGCGAUUUAGCAUAAGCUCUCCAAUGGAUUGGAAUCGGAGUGAUUGGUCCGGUGGUUGCAAGAGGAAUUCAAACUUAAAUUGUGCAGCGGAUGUGGAGAAAGACCGUUUCUGGCCUAUGUCUAACAUGAAAUUGCAUGAUGAUCCUCAAUCUUUAGUUGCAGGGAGCGAUCAGGAAUGCCGAACUGCUUGUUUGAGCAAUUGCUCUUGCACGGCUUAUGCUUUCAAGGAUAAUAACUGCUCAAUCUGGAUCGGGGAUCUCUUCAAUGUGGAAUGGCUCAAACAAGGCACUACCCCUGGAAGGAGUUUCUAUGUCCGGCUUGCUGCCUCCGAAAUUAAGGAUCCCAGCAAGAAGAGUAAUGUAAUUGCAACAGUGACAGGGUCUGUUGGUGCCGCGGUAGUGAUAUUAGCCAUUGUCUUGUUUGCCGUUUGGAGAUGGAGGAGAGGGGCAACCGUAACAACAAAAAUAGUGGAGGGUUCACUGAUAGCCUUUGCAUACCGGGACUUGCAAGUAGCAACAAAGAAUUUCUCAGAGAAGUUGGGUGGGGGUGGGUUCGGUUCAGUUUUCAAAGGAACAUUACCUGAUUCAAGUCACAUAGCGGUUAAGAAGCUUGAAAGCAUAAGCCAAGGUGAGAAGCAAUUCCGAAUGGAAGUAAGCACAAUCGGCACCAUCCAGCAUGUGAAUCUUGUCAGGCUUCGUGGAUUCUGCUCUGAAGGUGACAAGAGGCUGUUGGUCUACGAUUUCAUGCCAAAUGGUUCCUUAGACUAUCAUCUCUCUCAUAGAAAGGACUCGAAGACCUUGGAUUGGAAAAUGAGGUACCAAAUUGCUUUGGGAACGGCUCGAGGUCUGGCUUAUCUCCAUGAGAAGUGUAGAGACUGCAUCAUACAUUGCGACAUCAAGCCAGAGAACAUCCUUCUAGAUGCUGAAUUCUGUCCAAAAGUGGCAGAUUUUGGCCUGGCAAAGCUUGUUGGCCGAGAUUUCAGCAGGGUGUUGACGACCAUGAGAGGCACAAGAGGGUAUCUUGCGCCGGAGUGGAUCUCUGGAGUGGCCAUAACAGCAAAAGCUGAUGUUUAUAGCUAUGGAAUGAUGCUCUUUGAGUUUGUGUCAGGAAGGAGGAACUCAGAGCUUUCGGAAAAUGGGGCCAUUAAGUUCUUCCCAACAUGGGCUGCUAGUAAGAUAGCUGAAGGAGGUGACCUGCUUGAUCUUUUGGACCCAAACUUGGAGACAAACGCUCAUACUGAAGAGUUAACUAGAAUAUGCAGAGUUGCUUGCUGGUGUGUACAAGAUGAGGAAACUCACAGGCCAUCGAUGGGAAAGGUUGUUCAAAUACUCGAGGGGGUGUUGGAUGUGAACCUGCCCAGGAUACCGAGAACCCUUCAACUGCUUCUUGGUAAUCAGGAGCAUAUAGUUUUCUUCACUGAGUCAUCAUCAUCGAACCAGAAUUCCCAGACGAAGAGUAAUACCUCAACUGCUUCCUUGCAGAACCCAAAUAGUUCAUCUUCGACGAAGUCCGAGUCUUGAGGAUGAUAAGAUAAAUGCCUCUGUACAAGAAGUGCUUCAGUUAGAUAGAUUGUUCUCUUCCGCUUUUUCUGUAGUCGAGUAGGAAUCUCAGCAUUUGGGGAUUGGCUUUCUUGGGGCUUUUUCCCCUAGCUAUUUUUGUUAUAUGGAUAAAAGCAAAGCUUGGACAAGUGCCAGGCCAACCCAUUCGUAAAGACCUUUCAUUCUAUAUAAUGAUCUAGUCCGCUUUAUGAGAUCCAAUGUGACAUUAGUAAUUAUUAUCAAAAACUGUCAUCUCCACUUUCUUAUAAUUUAUGCACUGGAAUUGGGAUCUACGUCUUCAAACAUGGGUUUCCUCAAUGUGGGUGCAGAAAACCUUUUAUCUGCUUUUAACAGAUUUUAGUCAACACUCACCAGGUUUUUGAUCCACAACACUCAGAAAAUGGCUUCAUGCCAGUACUUGAGAGCGAUGCUGAACGGGCAUUGGGAAGGAGGCAUUCUUCCCUCGGAGGGCAAAAGAUGUUCCAUUUCCCUCAGAGGCUAAAAGAUGUUCCACCCAUGGCUUCUUAAUCUGAUCCAAAUGAAUCGAGAAGAAACAAAAUCGAAGUCUCAUCAAAAGGGUAUUGGGAAGGAGGCAUUAUACAAAAUCAUUGCAUUGGUUUGCUACUACAGUGACAUAAAUGUUGUGAAAAUUUUGAAUACAUGGGGUCUAAAUAGUUAGAUUCCUACGCCGCUUGGCAUUCGAAUUCUCUUUUUAUGUUUUUAUUUUUUGUGAUUAAAGGGAAAGUCAAUUGAAACUACUAAUCAGAGUUGGUUUGCAAUGCCUAUCCUAACCAACUUAAGGAAUUUGAAGGCCCAUAUUGCAGCAACCUGACAAUCUCCAUGAGCAUAUGGUUUUUGGUGUUAAAUGCAAAGCAAUGUCAUCGUAAAGUUGCAUAUUAACUUGCAAAUCUCACAUCAUAGGAUAUUAGAUCUUCUAGCUCAUAUCAGGUGAAAUAGCCGCAAGUUUGAAUACAGAACACAGGAUAUAUUGUAAAACUCAGCCACAUCUGUCAAUUUCAUGAAGUGAAUUCACCUCUUGAGCCCCUCCAUAGAUCAUAGUUCAGAUAGAAUAUGUUGAAUGAUUUCAUCUAGGUGUGUAUAUCAUAUAUAUUUGACCAAACGAAGCAUUAGAUAUUUACUCAUAUAAAUCAAAAUUUCAAAUCACAACUUGAAUAUUGCAAAUAAACUAAACAAAUUGAGCUCAUCCAUCAAUACCAGGAAUCUAUUAAAAUUAAGAUAUAUAGCUCUUUAUGCUUCGCAACAUUCAAAGCAGCUAUUGCUGUUGUCCACAAACGUGUCAUGUUCCCAUUAAACGUACAUUGCUUUUUCAUGUAAUAAAUGACUGAACCCAUGUGUUCGUGUUGAUUGUGCACGUUCAUGUGAGAACUGUAAUUAUACUUCAGAAAAAUUCUCUGUUUGAAGCACAUCAUACACAAGCAGAAUCAUCCUUUCGGUUUUCCGAACCGUUAGAGCGCCCCCAUGCAUCCAACAGAAUACAAACUCCGAAGUAAUUCCUUUCAAAAUAAGGAUCAGAUGAGCUCCAAUAGACAAAGUAAUAUGCAAAAUAUAAGACAAACAGAGUAUAUUUGCCUCUUCCAGCAGCAAAUAGAUGAAAUAUUAAAUGUUUGGUGACAGUCACUAUUUCUUUUUCUUUGCCAAAUUAGUACGAUACCGACAAUGAAACCCUACAGCGUAUAUACAUGGGCCAGCAUUAUAGGCCACCACCCUCAACACACAACAAGGGUAAACACAGGCCGAAAGCUGCUGCUGCUCGUGCUUGAAUCAGUCAGCACACCACACCAACAGUUAAGCCUCCUAAUAAUUGAUAUGUCACUGGGAACUUGAACGAUUCAUACCAAUAAUCCUUUUAUAGGACACUGCCCAUGCGCUUGAACUGGUUCCUUGUCCAUGAAAGUCAUGUUUCUGGAGAAAACCAUCCUUCUUUGUAAAUUUUCCCGUCACUGCCCUCAUUUGCAAUGCUGGCACAUCUGGCAAGUGGUUGCAGAUUUAACAUUAACAUACGUCGGUUCAGCUGGAACCAGCUCGAGUGCUGGUAGUUCCUUUUCCCCUUCCACCUCCUCUACUUGCCUUGCUGCUCCCUCCAUUCUUAGAGCUCGCUGCCCUGCUACAACCACCAUGGGAAUUCACAUCUGAUAGCCCAUUCUCCAAUGCUCUCACGAGGUUGUCAAAGUAGUUUCUGGUCACACUGUAGCAACAAAAACAGAUGUAAGAAAGUCAAAAUGCAUGUCUAUGUGCACACAUGGGUGCUACUUCUGGAAGUCACAACAGAGGCUAUUAAGAAAGUGUCUAUGUAAACUACAUUGCAGCUGAAGUAGAGAGGGCCACCGAUCUUUUAAUAAAAGGAGAGAUGUGUUUGUGAUGGAAAAACAGCUCCAAGAAUUAUUGUUUCCCACGGAUACUCUAUGAACUUAAAUAAAUAAACAAGUAACGGUCCAACAGCCUUAUAACAACCAACCAAUGCCAUAUGCACUGGAAAAUCAUAUUCUUGGUAAGUCCACUGUCCAGGUUUGACUUUCGAAUCAACAAUCUUUUUAGCAUAAAAAUCCAGUCAAAAGAACUAGUGAGAAUGCUUUUGGCUCGAAUCAGCUUUUAAGUUAACAAUAAACUGCAGAGUCAAUAUUAUUCCAUAAAGUAAACUUUGAAAGCUUGACAAUAAAGAGCAGGAUUAGAAAUAGGAAUGCUAUGCUCAGGAUGAGUCAUGAGCUUCACCAGAACUUUUUUACAUAAUAUAAGAAGCCAAAAAGAAGAUUCCGCAGGAAUAUUACAUACACUAAUUUAUCAGGAAGAAGCUGCUCAUUGGUACAUAUCAUGCUCUCUCCAGGAACAAUAAAGCACAUUUUUUUGCGAAAGGAAUGUAAUCACCAAUUCCAAUAUUAGUAUUUUCAUGUGCUAUUCAGAAUAAAAAUGGGCAGGCAUUCGCCUAUAUGACAGAAUGCCUAUCCCCCCUCCUUUACGAGACACUUUUUUUUUAAUCGUAGCCUAACUAUUUCCCAUUUCAUAGAUGGAUAUCUAGGGACUCAAGUCUAAAUAAAAUUGACUGUACACAAUUAUAAUUUGUACCAGACAUAUUUUACUCGACUAAUUAUGAAAAUUGAAUCUGACAAGAAGAUACCUGGUAAGUCCAGCUAACUUGGUGCGGAAGUCAUUAAAGUUACUAGAAGGAUUCUCAUCACUAAGGAACUGGUGAAGUUCCUUCUCUGCACACUAAUGAAGCCUUUCCAAUCCGAACUCUGCCUCACCUGGUAAAGAAACCAUUUCAUGUAAGUAAAUAGGAAAACAAGAAGGAUAUGCAUGGCCAUUGUCUAUCCACAAUCCUACUCUCCAAUACAAACCUUGCAAAUACUCAAAAAAUUGUUUCUUAGCAUGAUCAUAUUCUGGUAGAUAAUAACCAUAUGCAUAUGUCCACUUGAGCACUCGCCUACACUCAACUAUCUGCAAACAUCAAAGAAGCCUAAUUUAGUUUCACAGAAGCAAGUCAGGAUAAUAAAUCAAAAACACUCCAUCAGAUUUUAACCUAUAUAACAGCCGUAUUUACAUUCCAAACUGAAAAUCACAAAUUAUAUUUAAGUUGAAUUAAGUAAUAAAACCUGCUGCCAGGCCUCUAUGAUGAACUUCAACUGUGACUCCGGCUGGCAUUGUGUGUCACUAAGCUUAUUGAGCUGACAAGAAGAAAAGACAAAACCUUAUUUAAUCAAUAGCAAAGGUCAGGAAGCAUCAGCAGCACAACAUAAUUAAACCAGAUGAAUAGAAAAGCCAUGCGUCUUGCUUCCUAUCACAAGAAAACAAAGAUCAAUUUGUUAAUUUAACAUCAUAAGCAGUUUAUCACAACUCAACCUGCCCAGUUGCCACUUAGCAUCAACACAUUUACCCAGUAUAGAUUCUUCAGACACAACUGCAAUCCUUAGUGUACUCAAUACCCAUGACUGUCAGACUAAAAUGUUAGCCCAAGUACAGAGAGGCAAACACAUACAGAAACAAAGAUCUUCCUGGUCUUGUAGCACUCCUUAAUACAGUAAUGUGAACCUAAGAUCUAUUUCUGCAGAAGUUACAACCAGAAUACAUUUGUCACAAAGACUCUUAAGUAAUAUUAUUAAUUAAUAGAAAAUUUGGCUGUUAGUGAUGCAAAAUGCUGUGAAAUUAAAUAACUGAUAUGGAAUACUAUUGAUUUAGUAAGCGCUUCAUCCUCUUCCUCCAAUUUCCUUUCAUGUCACGGCAACAAUUGAAAAUGUUGCCACAAGAAAACAAAAACCAUAUACACACAGCAAUCGCAAAUCAAAGUAUGUUCUACUCCAGAGAGAACAAAAUACUGAUGAAGAAAACGUCAUAAAGAAAGUUUCCUCUUGAUGCUGCAUGUAAAAACUGAGAAAAGAAGGACAAGUUGGGCAUCGCUGAUUCAAUUCACCCUAAAAAUAGAUACAUAUUCACGUGACAGGAUAUGUGCUGACUGCUGAGUAGUUAUGAUGAAUUCGCUUGUAACUGCGGAAAAGCUUUCCUCGAGUCCUACAAGCGAAAUGUAAUCCUGUAUUCUGAUUGGUCUGCCUAUUAAAUACGCUAUAUCUAUAUUACAAGACCACACCCCAAAUUGAAAUUAUUACUGAUGAUGUACCAAUAAAACCUCCCUAUUUUCACGCUCUCUGGUACACCAAUCAACAUCUCUUCCCUCGUAUUCCUUCUAUCCUUCAAAUUCUCUCACAUACCAAACGAGUCAACACGUACCCUCCGCGAAAAGUCGCUCCUUUACAACAAAUCUCAAACAUCAAAGCAACAAGCUCUCCUUCAUUCUUCAGAUAGAUCCCAGGACUACCCCCAAACAGUAAGACAAAGAAGAUCAGAGCCCAGAAAUCCUCUCCAUUUCCACUACCCACUAGAACGACCAAAACAGAGGCAGCCGGAAAAAUCGCUCCUUUACAACAUAUCUCAAACUUCGAAACAACAAGCUCUCCUUCAUCCGACAGAUAGAUCCCAGGAAUACCCCUAUACAGCAAAACAAAAGAAGAGCAGAGCCCAGAAACCCUCUCCAUUUCCACUACCCGCUAGACCGACCAAAACAGAGGCGGCUGGGAAAAGCCCCACGAAUCAAAUCGACACGAGAGGGACCAACUCACCAGUUCCGACCAAGGACCUCGUCGGCCCUGUAGGAAGUGAAGCGGGGAUUGUCGUCGCAGAUCUAGGGCUUCUCGGGAGAGACGGCUUUGACCAUAGCGGAGAGAGCGCGGUCCUCGUCGGAGAAGGCCCAGCGUCAGGAGAGAGCGCGAUUCGGGAAGAAAGAGGUCAGGAGGAGGAGGCCGUCGAGUAGAGAGAGGGGCCGUAGUCGGCAGGGAGAGUCGCCGUCGUCGGAGAGCGAAGAGGCCGUGGAGUAGAGAGAGAGGCCGUCGUCAGGAGGGAGCGUCGCCGUCGUCGAAGAGAGCACGGCCGUCGUCGGGAGGGAGCGUCGCCGUCGUCGAAGAGAGCACGGCCGUCGUCGGAGAGCGAAGAGGCCGGCGAGUAGAGAGACAGGCCGUCGUCGGCAGGGAGCGUUGCCGUCGUCGGAGAGAGCGCGGCCGUCGUCGUCGGAGAGCGAGCGCUAUUUGGGAGAGAGUCGUCGGGUCAGGAAAGAAGGGAUAGAGUGAGAGAGAGGAGAGAGAGGAGAGAGGAGAGAGAGAGAGAAUGCCCGCGCGUUGGUUUGAAUUGGAACGACGUGGGAGAGAAGAGGAGGAGAGACAGCAAGGGCCCACACUUCCACGUGGCGUCGCGUGAGUGGUCCGGGACCACGCUGAUGCGGAGGUCCCGGACCACCCAAUAUUUUCUUGGCUCCCCCCUCUUUCCCUAUUUAUAGGAACACUCCACCGACUUAGCCCAUAUUCUAGGAGUUUCUUUUACAAUUUUUUUCUAGAAAAAUAGGCCUUUUUAAGGCAAAUAUCUCUGCCAUUUGCUAAGAUAAUUCCAUAGAUUCUUCUAUGAUUUUCUUGUAUUUUCUAGCUCAAAUAUUUCAAUAAGUUUCUAGAAAUUGGCUCAAUAAUUUAACAUUCCUCCUUGAUCCAAUUUCGUGUUACUCCAAGCAUUUCCCGCAAUGUCUCGAACUUGGUUAGCGGUAGUGCUUUAGUGAAGAUGUCCGCUACUUGUUCCUCGGUUUUGCAAUAUUUCAGCUCAAUCUCUUUGUUAUUUUGCGACUCUCGUAUGAAGUGAUAUUUGAUGUCGAUAUGUUCUUUCAUGGAAUACUGGAUUCUUUGAUAUUUGAUGUCGAUAUUUGAUUACCGACUUAUUGUCGCAAAGUAUCGGAGUUGAUUCCAUCUGUGUUUCUCCAAUGUCUUCUAUAAUUCUUCGAAGCCAUAUUGCUUGACUAGUAGUUGUAGUAGCUGCGAUGUAUUCAGCUUCUGCAGUAGACUGUGCCACCGAGUCUUGUUUUUUGGAUGCCCAUGAGAAUAUUCCAGAACCCAAAGUGAAUGCAUAGCCAGUUGUACUUUUCCUAUCAUUAGUUGAAUCAGCCCAGUCGCUAUCAGUGUAGUCAAUGAGCUUGGAGCUAGCACUUGGGCAAUACCGAAUGCUGUAAUCUAUAGUUCAUUGUAAAUAUCUAAGAAUUCUCUUGGCAGCUCCAAAGUGUAUUUGACUCGGACUUUACAUGAAUCGUGAUAGUAGACUUGUUACAUACAUAAUAUCCGGUCGUGUAGCAGUGAGAUAUAACAAACUGCCAAUCAGACUUUUGUAGAGAGAGGCAUCGACUUUUUCUACUCCAUCUUCCUUCAAUAGUUUCUCAUUUGUCAUGAGCGGAGUUGAAACUGCUUUGCAAUAGUUCAUCUUGAAUUUCUUCAGGAGGUUCAUGGUAUAUUUCUUUUGCGAGAUAAAAACUCCUUCAUUUUGGUUGAUCUCGAUGCCAAGGAAGUAAUGCAUCAAGCCCAAGUCUGUCAUCUCAAAUGUUUUCAUCAUUUCUUUUUUGAAUUCUUGGAUCAUUGUCUCAUGGUUUCCUAUAUAUAUAAGAUCAUCUACAUAUAGAGAGACAAUGAGAGUGUUAUACUUACCUUGGGUCUUGAUGUAGAGUGUCGGCUCACUCAUACUCCUCCUGAAUCCUUGCUUGAUGAGGUACUCAUCAAUUCUACUAUACCAUGCACGUGGUGCUUGUUUUAACCCAUACAAGGCUUUCUUGAGUUUGAGAACUUUUUCUUCUUGGCCUUUGAGGAUAAAGCCUUGUGGUUGUUCUAUGUAUAUUUCUUUUUCAAGAUAUCCAUUUAGGAAUGCUGACUUCACAUCUAGUUAAUGGAUCUUCCAUUCUUUUUGUGCUGCUAGGGUUAUGAGUGCUCAAAUAGUAUCAAGGCGAGCGACGGGAGCAAAAGUUUCAGUAUAGUCGAUACCUGGUUGUUGCAAUUAUCCUUUCACCACAAGCCUUGCUUUAUGCUUUUGGAUUGAUCCAUCUGCGUUGAGCUUCGUCUUGUAGACCCACUUGACGCCAAUGAUCUCUUUGUCUUCGGGUUGAUCGACAAGCUCUCAAGUUUCAUUUUUCUCAAUCAUCUUGAUCUCUUCCUCCAUGGCUUUUAUCCAGACUUCAUCUUUGGAUGCUUGUUCAUAGUUUUCUGGUUCCAAAAUAGCAAAGUUGCAUGUGUCGUAAAUUCUUCUAAGGGCUUUUACCCUUAGCACUAGAGACUCUGGAGUAGAUUCUUCUUGCGUUACUCUUGGAGAGCUUGGUGGAGUUAUGUCAUGAGUGGCGGAAUCCGGUACAUCUUCUUCUUGUGACGUUGACUCCUCUUGAGCAGGUGGUAUGUCUGGCAAGGUGAUGUACUUUUUCUCGAUCUUCUCGUCCUCCUAAUUCUAGGUAGCAUUCUCGUCGAACUCGACGUCUUUACUAAUCAUUAGCUUUUUAGUUCUUAGGUUGUAAAUCCGAUAGCCUUUUGAUUGGUCACCGUAGCCAAGGAAUAUUCCUUUUUAUGUCUUUUCAUCUAGCUUACUCCUUUUCUGAGCAAGGAUGUGGACGUAGCAAAUGCAUCCAAACACUUUGAGAUGCUUUGCUGAAGGCUUCCGUCCACUCCAUGCUUCGACUGGUGUUUUAUUUUGAACAGCUUUAGUUGGACACCUGUUUAACAGGUAUACUAUAGUAUAAACUGCUUCUGCCCAAAAAGUGUUGGGAAGGCCUUUCUCCUUUAGUAUAGACCUUGCCAUCUCCAUGACGGUUCUAUUUUUUCUUUCAGCUACUCCAUUUUGUUCUAGGGCGUAGCCAACCGUUAGUUGAUGAUGGACUCCUUCAUCUUCACAAAAUUUAUUAAACUCAUUUGAAUUGUAUUAUGUGCCUCUAUCACUCCUUAGGACUUUGAUUCUUUGGCCACUUUGAUUCUCGACGUGGUUCUUGAAUUUUUUGAAGAUAGAGAAAACCUCUGAUCUUUCUCGAAGAAAGUAUACCCAUGUCAUUCUUGUGUAAUCGUCAAUGAAUAGGAUGAAAUAUUUAUUUUGACUGGGUGUAGGUGUCCUCAUCGGACCGCACACGUCCAUGUGAACAAGUUCCAAUGGCUUCUUAGCUCUCCAUGCACCUCCAGAUGGGAAGGACUGUCUCUGUUGUUUUCCAAGAAGACAGCCUUCACAAACAUCUGAAAUUUCUGAAAUAGCUGGAAAGUCUCUCAUCAUAUUUUUUUGAUGGAGAGUUUUUAGCCCAGCAAAAUUGAAGUGGCCAAAUCUUCGAUGCCAUAGCCAUGAAUCAUCAAGUUGAGCUUUCAUGGCUAUAUCUUUGACAUAUUUCCAUCGAAUAGGAAAAUUAUUGUUUUCCAUCUUAACAGAGGUAAUGACAUUUUUAUAUUUAUCAUAGAUAAUGCAGGCAUAUCUAUUAAAAUAUAGAGAAUACCUACUUUGUAUCAUUUGGCCCACACUUAAGAGAUUUUGUGCAAGACGAGGGACUAGAUAUACAUUAUGUAUAUAUUUUGGGCCUUUAUUCGUUUCCACGGUGAUGGUGCCUUUUCCUUUGACAUCUACUAAUGCACCAUUGCCCAACUUUACUUGGGAUUUCACCGACUUAUCAAUAUCAGUGAAUAUAGAUUCGUCCCCCGUCAUAUGAUUGCUACACCUACUAUCAAUGUACCAUGUUUCACUUUUAUUAUUAUUUGCCGCUUGGCCUGCGUAGAAUGUAUUCUCUUCACUUUCUUUUUUUACUACAUAGUUUGCUCGAUUAUUUGUUUUCGAGCGACAAUCUUUUUCUACGUGGCCAUAUCUUUUACAAAAGCGGCAUUGUUUUUUAUUUUUAAACCAAAAAUCAUUCUCCAAAUGAUUUGUUUUCUUGCAAAUACCACAAGCUGGAUAAUUUUCCUUUUUUUUAUAAUUUCUCAUUCUCUUUUGUUUUUCCAUGAGCUCCUUCCACCAUUUUUAGUUUGAUGAGACCGUAUAUUUACUUUAGACUGAAAGGCGUUUUCAACUGAAUCUUCAUCUUGUGCCAUUAGUCUUUUCUCAUGUGCUUCUAGAGAGCCAAUUAAUUCACUCACUAAUAGGGUCGUCAAGUCUUUAGUUCCUUCUAUAGUUGUAACUAUGGAGUUGUAUUUUUUGGUAAGUGACACCAAUAUUUUCUCAACAACCUUUGAUCAGUUAUUCCAUCUCCAUAGGCUCUCAUUUGAUUAAUGAGUUCCUUUAAUUUCCACAAUAUUCUUGUACGGUCUCAUAAUUUUUCAUUUUAGAAUUCUCAAAAUCUCUUCUCAGAGUUUGAAGGCGAAUAGUGCGUACCUUUUCCGAUCCUUGAAAUUAUUCUCGUAGUAUAUCCCAAGCCCCUUUUGCAGUCCUUACUCCAAUUAUUCUCGGAAAUAUGGUUUUCGAGAGUGCUUGCUGGAUAAAGUAUAGCGCUCUUGCAUCAAGUUGAUCCUUCGAAACACUUGCACCUUCUGGCGGAGCCUCGCAACCUUUUUCCACGAUGUCCCAUAAGUCUUGGGCCAUCAAGAAUGUAGUCAUUUUUUUGCUCCAAAAGUCAUAGUUGUUCCCAUCAAAAAUGAGAAUGGGAAAUGAUGAUGAGGUAGAGUUGGCCAUGGUUUAGUUAGUGGGUAUUUGGAAAGGGUAGUUUUAGGAAUGGGUAGGUAGGACAAAUGCCCAAUACCAACCAAAGACGUGGCUCUGAUACCACUGUUGGUAUUUGCAGAGGCGUGUGUUUGAUGUGUGUGCAAGUGUGUUUUGUGUGAGAACUUUCAAGAGGGCUAAGGAAAGAACAAUGUGGGUAAGAAAAUAAUUUGCAGCAAGGGAGCACAAGGGAACAAAAUAAAACCUUUUAUUUAUUUAUUUGUAGUACAAAGUACAAAGGAAGGGGAGGAGCUUACCUUUUUGCUCCGCCUUUUUUCUACGCUCCCCCCUCCUUCCCUAUUUAUAGGAACGCUCCACCAACUUAGCCCAUCUUCUAGGAGUUUCUUUUACAAUUUUUUUUUCUAGAAAAAUAGGCUUUUUUAAGGCAAAUAUCUCUGCCAUUUGCAGAGAUAAUUCCAUAGAUUCUUCUAGGAUUUUCUUGUAUUUUCUAGCUCAAAUCUUUCAAGAAGUUUCUAGAAAUUGGCUCAAUAAUUUAGCAGAAAUGUUCUGAUGUCUGGUCCUUGUUCAGACGAGUAUCAUUUUGACCGUGUUAUUCUCCAUAAAAUGGAAUCACUUAGUUUGAUUUUGACGAGUGCAUCACAGGCUAACUGAACGCAGCAUUCUUGUUCGUGGUUUGCUUCAUGUAGGCUCUCCCAUUCCCAGUUGAUGUGCCAUGAUUUCCCCAACUUAAUCCUAGCUUACUCUCACAUUCUUCUUCCACAGUAUUACUUCACGCUAUGGUUAAUGACAUUGUCUCACUUUUCUUAAUUACAGUAAUUUUCAUCAGCCAGAUGUUGGCAUCUCCCGCCAAUGUUUAGUUCAGAGAACUUUCAUCUUGGAUUUCAGCUGGUGUCUCACAUUGUUCUCAAAUCUGCCCCCACUGCAUACAAAGCAGGCUAUAAGGCUUGGCAUUUCUCAGUAUCAAUUCCACUUACUACUUGCUUUGUUUAUAAUGAUUCAUGGAACCAAAACCGCCCUUAUAACUACGACUUGCUGGGACCAGGAAGUAUAUCAUGACAAUUACCAGGUGAUCUAUGCUGUAGGAUGUUGAUGCCCGCGCCCUUCAUGUCAGGGCAUUUACAUCUCUUCUAAAGUUGAAUUUUUGUGGAUUGCUUACUCGCUCUAUGUUUUGAGUGAGUAAUGCGAGAGAUUACUUGACCAUUUUGCAAAACUGACGUGUAAAGUGAUGAAUUGAGACUUCCAUUGGGGUCGAUGUCACCGUUGGUCUCUCUAUUUUUACUUGGAAAUCAAGUUAUCAACAUGCUACUGUCUCGCAUGGUUCUCGGAUCUGCCGCUUCUCCUAGCCAUUGCAGUGCCACAAUCUCACUAACUUUUCCAAGUUUUCCAUCAUCAGUUUUUUCUUUACACUAUGACUACAUUUUUUCUCCUUUUUCCUAUCAAUGCAGUAUGAUAAAUUCAGAUCUAAUAUCAUUUCACUUCUCUUUCUGUAAUUGUUUUCUCAGUACCAUCUGAUUGUUGAUCCUUCCCUGGUGCCAGAGGUGCUGUUAUAAAGUCUAACCUGCUUCUAUCAAUAUUAUGUCGUGCUACAGCAAAGUCAGCACCCUCUCUUAGAUGAAGCAACCUUGACUAGAUCUGGAUUUGCUAUAAUCAUUUAAAACUUCAAGCAUUUCACCUGGACUAGGUAAAAUAUGGAAUAAACAGAAAAUUGAACUGCUCCAAACAAAAGAUAAAAAGAAAGUUGCAUGUGUAAGUGAAUUGAUAAAAAAGAAACAGGUUAUGAUGGACGCAACCUCAAAUACCAAUCACCCCAAGUCCAUGCGAGGGACUCUUCAAAACUUCAUCUGUCCAUGUCCACACAGUCUAGAUGAUUUUCUUGUAGAAAUUACAUAGAAACUAACCAUGGAUAUUACAAAUAGAUGAAGUGGAGGAAUAGCAAAUUGCAGUAAUCUAGAGCCUAGACCCUUGGGAUUAUUAUCGGAUGAGCUCGCUGCAUUGAAUGCUCAUUCAAAGUACAGAACAGAAACCGAAGAUCAGAGAAAAUAAUAUGCACAAGAUGUUGAAGAUUGUUCUCUAUCAAUUGUUUCACAAUGAUCUCCGUGAGGGACAACAAACUUUUUAAAAGCUUGUAAGCAUUUGUCAUAUCUCAUGAGCCUAACCUAAUGACUUCAACAAGAUACUCUCCUUCCAUGGGUUCUGAAGAUCAGAGCAAAGAAUAUGCACAUGAAAAAUCGAUGUUUUGAUCCAUUCUCUAUCAAUUGUUUUGUGAUGAUUUCUGUGAGGGAAAACUGCAUUUGGAAAAUAAAAACAGUGUCACUGUGAUUCGCAGGGAUUUGCAUUCCAGUAGCUUGUGAAGGUAGUUUUUCCAUCAGAUUUGUGAGAGUAGUUGAACUUAGGUAUGAAAGGAGACUAUAUCUGUAGAGGAAAGCAAAGGGCAUCAGAGUAACGCAUAGAGCUGUAACAAAGGAAGUUGGACCGGGCAUCAUGAAUAUCAAAUCGUGUUGGUCCUGCUUCUGGAUGUGCGGUUAGCGUCGACACUCGGUUGUCUUCUUUUACUGUUGACGAGAUCUGGUAAAACUAUCUUUCUUGAUUUGCUAAUUACCGGUCUGCCUAUGGUUUAGUUGCGCCUGAUCAUUCUAACGGAUGAUGUUGUGUUCAAGCGAUGGAUUUCAUUGCAAAGUUCUCUUCUCGGUUGUGACCGAAAGUCAUCUUCAAGCCUCACCACUAAGGUCAUCUUCACACUUGGAUAUGCCCCUUUUUGUACGUUGGUUCUGGCAUCCAUCACGCAGCAUGCAAAGACAAAAUGUCUUUGCUAGCAUAACAGUCGAGCUACCGUAAAAAUAAUAGUUUGUUGCGAGCCACAAAUUAUUGAUGAAGUGGACCCUGCAAAUAUUUAUGAUUUUUUGUUAUUUGAUUUUUUGUGGUCUAUAAUAAUGUGUUGUUUUUACGGUAUGGCUUUUGUCAUACACAUUCAAUGCAUAGAUGAUAUAAUGUGGCAAAAGAAAAAAAAAUCUCCAUAGGAUAAAAUAUAUGAACGAAAUUUGCACAUACUAUUAGUCAACAUAGUAUAUAUUCUCAUCAUUUAUGAAUGAAUAUUACUAGAGAGGUUACAAGAUAGGAACAUUAACUAAAAUUUGUUCUCAAAGAAGCAAUAAAACCUAGGAUAGGUAUUUUCUUUCUUUGUAUAUCGAUUAUGUGCUUUGUUCAGACCACUUUUGGAACACCACAAUUGAUUCACCUCUCCGAUAGAUUUUAAGGGAACCUUCCUUAUUAGGAAAAGUACCAAAAAAGUCAUAAACAUAUUACAUUGGUACUAAUUCAGUUCUAAACCUUUCUAUUGGAGCAAUUUAAUCCUAGAACUUUUCACAUUGAUAUCAAUUCAAUUCAUUCGGCCAAUUUUGGCCGAUCGGCACUGACGUGGACACCAGCUGGUGGCCAAACACUAACAUGGUAAUUUUUAAAGUUUAGAAUUAAAUUGAUCUAAUUGAAAAUGUUAUGACUGAAUUUGUAUCAAUGUAAUAGAUUUAUGACUUUUUUGGUACUUUUCCCUUUUUAUUUCAAUCUAAUUCGUUCAGGAUUUUAAUGUGAAGUGCUCUGAAAAAUAGUCGAAUCGGAGUCCCACACCACAGGGAAUUGAGCAAACUUAUUUGUCAUCUAAACCAACAUCUUUUUUUUUUUUUUAUUAUUUUUUUUUGGUGCUGGAGGAACCGGCUUGCAGCCGACAGUCGCGCCGUAAACCCCCAGGUGACACUUAAGCAGGAGGACCCACCACCCUUGAGUCACACUUGAUACACCUAGUGCCUCCCCUGGGUUUUGAACCUUUCACCUCUGGGUUGAGGAUCAACAAGGCCUUAUUCAGCGGAGCCACCGCGGCCGGUGGUAAACCAACAUCUUAUUGGUUGCUAUUUGUAUUUAAAAAAUGCUUGACUCACUAAGAUUGAUUUAUACUAUCGGUUUAUUAAGUGAUGUGCUAAACCGUCAUUAAUUCUUAAACACGACCCACUUUUUUUAAAAAGCUUAUCCACAAUCUCACCCAUUAUUUAGUUUUUUUAAUUCGCUAUUAAAAAGUCCAGCACUGUUAUUUGUAUUUCAAAAGCCUAUCCAAUUUGCGAAGGAAUUCCAUUUCAGAUCUAAACACUCAUGCCAAUCUCACGACAUUCUUAGUACCCCUAACAUUUCCCCUUUUCUAUUGAUACCAACCUGACUUCGAAUUCAAAAUGAAUAUAUAUACAAACCAUAAUUUGCCAGAACGAAAUUCUCGUCGCCAAAAGUCUACUAACUAGCUAGACGCUAAGCUCGAUCUAUCACGCGAGACAGCAUUUUCACGUAAAAGAUUUAAUGCAAGAGCGGCCCUCUCUUCAUUUUUUGGGACGGUUCCUUUCACGCAUCCUCCCUAGCACAUCCAUAAUUAACUGCGCUACAGUCUUUCUUCACUUCUUCUCAUCUGUCUCUGCCUGCGAAACCUUCACUUUCUCCUGUCUUCCUGUCCUCACAUCAUCAUCAUUGUCAGUGACGCUCCAGCAAAGCCGGCGAGUCACCACAAGAAGCCACAUCAAUGCAAAGACCAUUGCAUAAGCUCUGCCACACAACACUGUCCCCAUCAGACUAAUGAACAGCAGAUAUGCCAUAUCAAGUUUGGCUCGUUUCGUUCGUGACUGAUCUUGAUGAUCUGGGCUUUGCUCUUGCUUCAUUGAUGAGCCAUUGUACAAGAAUCCACCGUGAGACCACUGUUUGGACACACAGUCCACGUACUCUAAUGCCGAACUUGAAACUGAAGAAAGAGAGGUAGAAGAAAAAUGAUUUGCCUGAUCAUCGAUAAGCUUCUGAUCGUUGUUAUCACAUAACGACCCCCUUGGUUCGGCAUCCAUUGAAGGACAGUGUUUCGUCAACAAUGAGUUUCGAAAUGAACUACUUCUUUUCCGGCGGAUAGUCCGAGCCUGCGGAAAAAAAAUGGAGAAAAAUGAGUACAUAUGGAAACCACUAAAAUGUUCUCACAUAGUUCUCAGACCUAAAGUGACAUUUUCACGAUAGUUUCUUCCGCAACAUAAUAUGUAAUCCUCGUUGGACAUUUCUUUAAUGGCACAAACUAGAAAAACGAAAAAAGUGGGAUAACAAACCAAAGCGGUGUAGAAGAGAGCGGACUUCAACAUGCGCGAAAAGCUAUGCUUUCUCGAUCGAGCAUACGGUGGUUUCACGCUUGCUCUCUCAUUGUCGUCCUCAUCGAUCAAAAGAUGCAUGAGCUGGCUCCGCCUACGCCUGGGCUCGAGCAUCAUGUCCUCGAUGACGGGUCGUCUAAAGCAAUGCAAGAACUUGAUCCUCGACACAUUCUUCAUGGUCUCUCUCUGACGUUUCAUGCGUUGCAGAUCGCAACCCUUGUUUCGGACUCAAUGGAGAAAAGAAACGAGGCAGGAAAAGAUGGGGAGGCCACACGUUAUUUUUGAAUGGCUUCGAGUCGAAAGGCCAUAGAUUUAGCGUAGUUUUGGAUCACUUGUUUUCUUUUCCUCUGGUGCAAGUGUAAGUACAUGAAGACAUCUCUCUAUAUAUAAAUAUUUAUAUUUCCAGAGUGAGAAUUACUAUCGGGUGGUUAAGGAUUUAAAUGCUUGAAUGAGAAGGUCAGAGAAAAGGGCAAAAGGGGAUAAUGGCUUACUGACGCCGAUGGACAGACAGGUAGGAGGAGAGGGUAUGACUACGCACGUCUUGGCUUAUGGUUUUAGUGAAGAGAAAUGACUUUAAAUUUGAAUGGUCCUCGUUAUGAUCGUCAAGACAUCUCUAGAUAAUCAAUCUCUGAGUGGGGUUAACCGUGAUAGUUGUCCUCCAAGAAAUUCUAAACUUAUUCCUUUUAUUUAGGAGUAUUCAAAAAAAUCGAGAAUCGCCCAAAAUCGGACCAAACCCACCUAGAACCAACGGUUCUCAUGAGAACAAUCCGGUUCCAAGGAUAGAAUCAUCCACCUGAACUGGACCAAUAUAUAUAUACUGGUCAAGUUUUCUAUCAAUUCUAAAGUCCCUAGCAAUGGACUUGUUUCUUUGAUAUCUUAAUGAGGACAUUGAUGCUCUCUUCUUGUUGUCCAAAUUGAGACUCAUCUCAACUAUUGUCAUCGUCCUCCCUUCUAUAUCUUUUCCUUCAUUAGGAUCACAUGCUAGUUUGGUGUCCAUACAACACACAUUAGAAACAUUUUGGCUUUAUUCCUUCCUCUAGAAAACCGGUUCCAAGGAUCCACCCGAGAACUAGAUUGGUAACCAACGAAUGGUUCUUGGUUCUAGGGGGGAAUAGUCCACUGCCCAUCUUGGAACCAAUCACCCUUGCAUUCAAUUUGAGAAAUGUAUUGCUUCUUCAAAAUCCCAGGGGUGCCUUGCAAAUGCUUGUGCUAAUAAGCAUUUUGCUUGCAUGCAUGCUACAAGCCAAAAGUUCCGCCUGCUUACACGAUCGCAAGAAAUCGAAUCAUGCUGUUUUAGUGGGUGAAUAAAUGCAGUGGUGGUCUGUGGUCAUUCGAGCAGAGAAACAGUGGAUGGGAAAUCUAACGAUUUUGCAUAUGUAACAUCUGCCUUUCCUAUCUACACGUCGAACAACCCUCUUGUGUCCGAAAUUUAUGCAUCACCCUUUGAGCAUUAUCAUUAGAGUCUUCUAAACAAAUAAGUCGGCUAAGCCUAUUAAAUGAGUGGGCAGAAUUGAGUCGAAAAAAAUGUCUGAUCCACUUAACCCGCAUUAACCCAUUUUUAUGCUAUACAAUUUUAGAGUUCCAUACCUGACCUGAUUAACACCUAACAUAUAACCGAUACAAUCCAUAUUACUAAAAAAAUCCAUAUCUAACCCAAUUUAUGCAAACUCGUACCCGUUCGCUCAAACAACUUUAAGCCUUUCAUAUGAAUCUAUCAUUUAGAUAAAAUUUUAUAUCAAUUUAAAAAAUAAUAAACCAAAUAAAAAGUCGCCACUCGUUGUCGCUUGCCUAACCAACUCAGUUAACGUUGUCUCUCCUCCGUCCAAGCCCCACACCGCUGCUGUGGAGACCCCAAACAUAGUUGCCUCUCUCUCUCGUGCGCGCGAUAUCGAAUAAGAGGUCGUGAACCUAUGUCUAACUUCACUGAUCAUUGUGGUUGUGGCAUCGCCAUGACCCAAGCCCAUCUAUAUAAUUUCUAUUUUGAAUGCAAUAACAAAGUAACCAAUGACAUUACUUGGUCAUCAUCAUAGCCAUUGUCAGCACAAUCACAUUAAUGUUGUUGGAAACUUUUGUAAAUUAAAAUUUUGAAUCUUAAGGUAAACAUUAAAUUAAGAAAAGAUCUAAAUUGUUUCCACCAAACGAUCUCCAAAGUUUGAUAAAAAUAAAAAUAAAGUAAAUUAUAUUAAAGUUGCGCUCCAACUUCUCUUUAGAUGUGCAACAAUCAAUGUAAAUCACUGCAGAUAUGUACCGUGGGCCACAAGGGAGUACAAUGUGCUUGUUGUUCAUAUUUAUUCGCUUCAGUUUUUGAACAAAAGCGAUCCAACCGAAUAUAUUAAUAAAUUUGGACUUGCACUCUAUUCUCGGCCUGGUCUUUGGGCUUUUUUAUGCAAAGAAUGAAGAUGCAUUAUAUUCAGUGAAAUAUUGUUUGAUGCAGUGUAUAUUUUAUUCCGACCUGGAAAAAUGAUAAUAAUCCCCUGUAAAAUUUCAUUAUUUCUAUUUAAACUCGGCCCAUACACUAGACAUUAAUACAAACCAAAUAUCCUCCCAAGCGCACAUUCCUCCUAUCAAUUUUAUGAAAAACUUACAAUAUUUCCCAUCGUAGUUCAUCUCUCCAAGAGCUGUGCGUUUUGCAGAUUUUCCUUUCCAGUUUUCCUUUGAGUUAAGUCCCCAAGCCUGUUUUAGUCUUGGAAGUCCAAGCGAGUUGAAAUAUGGAUCGUUUAAGCGACCCAUCAUCUAUGUAGCACGGACACUCUCCAGAAGCCUUUAUGUCGUGUCCGACAUGCUCCGACACGCGGUCAACGAGUAUUGAAAAAUCCGACACGUGGUCAACUCUCUCCGACACGCUCCGACACGUGAGUCCAGAAUUUUGACAUGCGAUUCCGAUACGCACAGGGUCAAUUUCUAAUACUUGAGGGGUCAAAAUAUAAAUAUACACAAAAAAAGUAAUAAAAAAAGUAAUAAAAUUGCUAUAAAUAUACACGCACGGGGUCAGUUUUUUUUUUUCAGUUUUGUUUUUUUAGAAUUGUUUUAUUUUUUUUAAAAGUCUUUUACUAUGAAAGAAGUAAUAAAAAAUGCUAUAUAUGAUAAAUUAAUAAAUUUAAAAAUAUCAUUUCAGCAUUUUUCUUUAAACAAUGUUUUUUUCCUCUAAGUUUUGUGUAUUAUUGUAACAAAUUAAAAUAAUGAAGAUAUUAUUUAAUAUUUUUCGUGUAAAUUAAUUAUAUGCUAUUAUUUAUUUAUGUAUUUAUAUAUAAAAAUAUAUUUAAUAUAUAACGUGUCGGAACGUGUCUAAAUUCUCUAUUUUUAAGAAAUGACGUGUCGGCGUGUCGUGUCGUGUUGUGUCGUGUGUCGUGUGUUCGUGUCGGUGCUACAUAACCCAUCAUGACCCAUUUUACUGAAUCUUAACCCAUUUUGCCCCGACUUUGUUGCCAAACAACUUACCCAUUCUACAAGGGGCCAUUAAAUAUGGGUUGCAAAAUCAGUUUGUGAUUCAUUUUACCAGCUUUAGUGACCACACGGAUAAUUCUGAUCUAUGACCAAAGAUUUCGAUUUAUGGGUUUAUCAAUAUAGUUUCCUUUAAGACGCAAAAUAAAGCAAUUUAACACGUAGUCACUUUUACCGUUUCCUAACUAGUAAGCUAAAGACCCUUUUUCUGAUUUUAUUUGUAUCACCUUUUCUAAUGUAUAAAAUAAGUGACAGAAUCAUGUAAUCUCGUCCCGAAGCCAAUGUUUUGCUAUAUCAGGCUCAAUGUUAUAUGAUCUGACAGUGCCUAUAUCAUUGGGCUUCGCUUGGAUUCUGAUUAAUUUAAUACAUUGGCCCGUAGUCCUAAAUGGAUCCUACCAUCAUCAAAGGACGGAACAAUAAAUGUUUAUUCCCAUGGAUUAAUGAGAUUUAAACAACGAUUUUUGGAACGGGCCAGCAACGACAGCCAUAUUUCUUUAUGACCGAUAUCUAUUGUUUUCACAAAAAAAAAAAAAAAUACAAAUUGAAACCUUUCAAAAUAUCCAAACAUUGAAAAUUUAGAAUCAUAUGGAAUCUUUUCAAAAUAUUUUCGCAUUUAAAGUAAUUUGUUUUCAGUUUGAAAAUAUAGAAGUAGGGUCACGAAGACAAGUUAGAAGUAGGUGAAUAACACCACCAAAUAGCCCCUGCCUUCAUGAUACAAAACUUAAAUAUUGCUAGACUUUCAUCAAAGGUCAUUGCAAUUUCCAUCUUGAUAUACCAGAUUGGAAAUGAAAUCGAAGCCGAGCUGCAAUUCUAGUGGUCCACUUGAAAGUGAGGAUAUAUGAUGUCAAGGAUGAUGUGAAGUACUUUCUCCAAGAUAAAAAUACCUUAAAUGAAAAAAAAAAGAAAUUCAGACGCAAGGGUUAGGACAAAAACAGAAAAUAGGAACUUGCAAAGAUAUCAGGUUAACCUGUCUGGUCUUCAAUUUCCAUUCGGAAAGAACAAAAAGGAAAGAGAUUUUCCACAAAUAUAGGGUCAAAUUAACCUAAAUCUAUCAUUAGCACCAACCAAAAUUGAUAGUCAAGUGUAGCGAUGAAGCCGCCAUAGUAAUGUUCCAAGCACCAAGAGGACUACAUUGACACUAGUCCUGCAGAGAAAGUUACAUAUGUACGGAAAUUGAUAAAACCGUCAAAGCCUAUAAUGGACGCUACGCCAAGUACCAAUAGCUCCAAAUCCGGGAGGAGGUCUCUUCACGCCAUCACCCGUAGCCAAGGGCCUAGGACCCACCGACAUAGUCGAUAAGGCUUUUUUUGAUAAAGACAUACAACCAAUGUGAUUCGUAUAUAUAGGGAAUAAAUCAACGCGGUAAUCUAGAGUUUAGUCCCUUGACUAACAAGUCGGUUCAGCAUCUGUGUGGAAUGAGGGCAUUUUGUUGAAGAUACUAACCUCAAGAUUAGCUUAGACAAGAGUAGGAAUAUCAAGAAAAUUGGACCAAGCAUCGUGAAAAUAAAAUCUUGUUGGUUCAGCUUUCCAAUGUAUGAAUGACUUUGACACUUGGUUUCUUCCUUUGUUGUUGAAUAGAGCAGUUAAAACUGUGUUCUUGCUUUACCAAUGUCCAGUCCGCCUAUGUUUCAAGUCUAGCUUGAUCACUCAACAUACGAUCUUGAGUUGGAGUGCUCACUGCUCAGAUUCAUUGCAUGUUAUUUAGUUGGACUAGUAGCGUCUUCUUCACUCUAGGGUAUGCCCGUACUCGUCCAUUGGUCUUGGCAUUCGAACUUAAAUAAGACCUAUUGUAUGAUGCCGGCCUAAAUGCUUCUAUCUGCGUAUUCCAUGAAAAUGCCCUGGUCUCAGUAAGUUUCCACAUAUUACUCUGCGCGUUUUUUGACGACUUCUUUGAGAUCUCUUACCUCACCCUCACUCCAAGCACACCCAUAUAUAUACUUCCCCUGUGAAUUAUGUUUCUAAACCUGUCCGCUCGAACCUUGUUUGGUACAGCCAUGGAUAGCAACAACGGUAGUCCAUGAUCGUUCACACGCCCAAUUUUCUUGCUUUGCUUAUCUCUCUGCACCACCCACCUCUGUCUUGGCUCCAACACCAUCUCCACCAACCAGUCCCUCUCCGGCAACCAAACCUUAAUCUCCUCUGGCGGCAACUUCAAGCUCGGCUUCUUCACACCAGGUAACUCCUCGUACUCCUACAUAGGCAUCUGGUACAACAGAAUCAGCGUGCAAACGGUUGUCUGGGUCUCCAACAGAGACAACCCCGACAGGUACUCCACUGGACUUAAGAUCUCGGGUGGCAAUCUUGUAUUGGUCAACGACUCUGAAGUCCUCGUUUGGUCCACAAAUCUGACUCCUUCAUCUGGGUCGAGCUCCAUGGUGGCAGUUCUUGGGGAUGAUGGCAACUUCGCUCUCAAAGACGGGCUGAAUUCUUCCGUGACUCUGUGGCGAGCUUCGAUCACCUGACGCGCACGUGGCUUCGGGGUGCGAAAAUGGGAAUCGACAAGCGCACGAGCACGAGUCAGCUAUUGACAUCAUAGAAGAACGCCGAGGAUCCUUUGACAGGUUUGUUCUCUUUCCAGCUCGAGCCAUCUAGUGAGUACUACAUAUGGUGGAAUAGGAAUGAGCAUUACUGGACCACUGGGGUGUGUGACGAAAAUUUUCUCUUUGGUCCCUGAAAUGAGAUUGAACUAUAUUUACGAUUUCAAAGUUGUGGACAACGAGAACGAGAGCUACUUCACCUAAGUGUACACCAAUGCCAACACCAUAUCAAGGUUUGUGAGGGAUCUUUCUGGGCAGAACAAGAUGGUGUCCUGGUUGCCUUCUUCACUAGCGUGGAACUUGUUCUGGUCUCUGAGAUAGCUAGUAUAAUCACCUAGAGGGGGGUGAAUAGGUGCACAAACAAAUUUUCGAGAUACGAAAGCGAUUUUAGGCAAUCGAUAGAAAAGAAAAUACGAUCAAAGUAAAGUAAAGGUUAGGGAAGAGAGAAAUGAACACAAGAUUUAUAGUGGUUCGGCUUAUUCCAAGCCUACGUCCACUCUUCCGCACUGACAGCCCACCGGCUAGAUUUCACUAUGAACAAAAGAGAAGUUACAGCACCGCUUUUCCUUGAUUCCACAGUGUAGAUGUUUUACCACACUUCCUCAAGGUUUCUCACGAAUAUAGACUCUCUUUUGUUUACACGAUUUUGCUCAACAAAUGAAUUGACUAGGAACAAGAAGCUUCAGACUUUGGAAUUCUUCUAUCGUGCACACUUUCGAACAACUAGAACGUCUUCCUUAUAUACUCCUUCAUGCCAUCAUACCCGUUGGCACUUACCAAAGGAAUUCCUCCAAUCUACCCAUUGGACGGAAUCAAUUAGGAAGAUCAUUCGAGCUAUUAAAGGAACACGUCGAUAGCCCAUCAAUCAUGUUCGCCCAUACAAUCAGGAUCUCGGUUUCCAUAAGUAGAACAUUCCAAGUAUACUUCGUCAAUCAUCGGAUCCUUAAUUUUCGAAUCAAUUAUGAUCAAAUAAAGAAUUCCGUUAUGUUAUAUCCAGCCAAGAGAUCUUUUCCAGUCGAUAAGGCCUCAUCCUUAAUGAAACAUCCAGUUCUGGAUAGCCUUUCUACAACGGAUUAGAAACUGUCAAUGAGGAUAGACUUUGAGUCUUGAGUCUGGCUGUCCGGAGGUCUUCAGACUUUAAAUAGCAGAGUCUGCAAGCCUUCAGACUAGACUGAUGGAAACGUUUUGUCAACUUCAAAACACUUCAAGAGGAAUUUCUCCAACAAUCUCCCCCUUUUUGAUGGUGACAAAACUUUCCUGCAGAUUUGGAAAACUUUGACCUGCAAAACAUUUCUUAAACACAUAUGCAUAUCUUAUAGAUAAAUGGCUAAAUGAAUAACACUAGAAUCUGCAACCACAGAAAAUAGGUUAGUCCAGUAUGCAAUAAAGCCAUCCAUAAGACAUCAAUAGUAGUUAAUAAUAAUCAGUCAAAUCCAAAUCCCAGAUUUAGUCCACAUCCAGACACAAGUCAAGUCAAAACAAACCACAAACCAAACAAGCCAAAAGUUCGACAAAUUUAAGUUCAAAUUUAAGUUCAAAGUUUUUCAAGUCUCGCAACUCUCCCCCUUUUUGUCAGCAUAAAAAAAAUUGAGAUGAAAAUGAAGUCAAGGAUUUUUGGGAACACGAACAAGCUGGAAAUCUCCCAUUGACUGAACGAUGCCUUCCAGCCUUUUAAAGUCUUCCUUUAGCUGAGCAACAUCCUCACCCUUAGCAUUAGCCUGAAUCUAAAGAGAAAGGGCUUGGAUUUGAUCAUUUAAUGAACCCGAAGAGACUUGUCAUGCAUUCUGCAAGUUCUGAACUUCACAUCCCAAUGCAUAUAUCUGACAUUGCAUCUCCAAGAGAAUAUCCAUCACUCUGCGAAAGUCUGCUGAAUUUUCGGUCUGCGUACUGGCAUUAGCACGAUCUGAUGGAGUAAAUGCAGAUGAUGGUAGAUCAGCAUAAUCACGCAGAUUUGGAGAAGAAACCUCAUGACCUUCCUUAGGAAACUGAGAGGCAAAAACUUCCUCUGGAUCUGCUGGGGAUCGAUUGACUCCCUCACUGGUUGCAGGAUUUGAGGUCAUUCCUCUUUUCUCUUGGUCUCCCCCUGUGUCCAUGCCUUCAGGUGGAGAGUGCUCCUCAUGUUCUCCUUCUUCUUGAUCUCUUUUAUCUUCUUCUUAUUUUUCAACUCUCUCUUGCUCAGCAUCUCUUUCUUCUUCUUCUCCUCUUUCCUCUGUUUCUUUUUCCUCUGCUUCUUUCUCUGCUCUUUCUUCUGUCUGCUGUUUUGACUCUUUCUUUGGAACAGAUCGACUGAGAUUCUUCAAAGCAAAAAUAGUGAUGUUUUCCUCAUCAUCUUCAUCCUCAACGAGGAGAGCUCUUCUUCUCUUAGAUGGAGCAUCCAUGGGUUCCUUCCCUUUCCUUUUUCUUGCAGAAGAGAAUUGAUGAGAUUUGACUGGAGUCUUCUCCUUAAAUUUCUCCAAUGCCUUACUUAGUUCCUUCAGACGCAUCUUGGUCACCAUUUUCAGUCCUACCACCAUAUGAUCGCACGAUCGAGCACAAAGAAUUUGCGGAGGCUGAAUGUUCAGAUGUCUGAAUAACUUCGUCACAAGACCUGGAUAAGGAAGUUGUCCUCUGUCCUUCAUCAUAGCUCUAUACAUGUGGAACAUAAUAGUGUGAGGAAGAGAAAACAUUUUCCCAGUGAUGAUAGCAUACAUUAGCUUUGCCUCUGAACUUGAGACAUCAGUCUUGGAAGUUGAUUUCGGUCUGAGGCAAUUUAUUACAAUUUUGUGCAGCAAGAUGUUAAAUGCACUCAUUCUUGAAUAGGAAAUCUUUCCCUCUGUUCUCCUGUCCUUAACCAGUUCCAGAGUAGUACGAGCAAUAGAAACUUUGAUCCGUUGAUAUCUUCCUCUCUCAACUCCUAACACAUCUACCAGCAUAUCCAUAUCCACAACAAAGUCUUGAUCUUUGACACUGAAGGAGAAUCUAUUCGCAUCCAAGAAACUAAGAUUUGAAUAGAAAUAUGCAGUUAGUUGAGGAUAGGCCUCUGUGGAGUCAGAGCAGAAUUUCUCAAGUUGAAGAUGACCUAAUUUUUCCCUCAAGUUCACAUUUACAGCAUCCAGAAAGUCAAAAUCCACACUCCUAGGGUUUAUCACCUCACGCUUCAGCAAUUUUGAGUAUAGAUCCAUCUGUUCCUUCGAUCUAAACAAAUCUCCCAUUUUUCCUUGAUUUUCCGCUGCAAUUCCCAUUCUUGGCUGAAAUUCGCUGUAUAAUUUGUCAUCAUCAUUUCCAUCCACUGGAUUAACUCCCCAAUCACGAGGGUCACUUGGGAUAUUCGCAAGGGAUUCUUCUGCCACACCUUUACGAGCAAUUCCCAAACUUUCCAUUUUAUGCAAAAAGAUAUAUUCAUUUCCAUAUCCUUUGUCCUUAAGAAAAUCAUCCACAUAGUUCAAUGGAGUACCAGUCCCUUUUAAAGCACGAUACAUCUUAUAAAUAAAAGAGGGCCUUUAAACUCUUACAGGGUCUGCAUCCUCAAUGAUUUCUUCAUUUUGAUGAUGAUCAACAUCUUGAGGACUAGAUGGAGGAGAAUGACGCUGCUGAGAAUGUUGUGGGCUCUGCUGCUGAUUUGGAGACACUUCUUCUUCAGUGAGAUCGAAGUGCGUAGGCCCCUCACUCAUUCGCCGUGGUCCCCUGCUUGCGAUCCUUGAUGACUUUCUUGAAAACGACAUCUUUCUUAGUCUUUGAGAGAUUCCUUGCUUGACUUUCCCAAGAAAGAUGACAACUUUUUCGAAGAUUAAACAAGAGAAGAAAACAGGAAUGGAAGAUUGGUGCUUUUUAGGGUUUUGGAGUUAAGCGAGGAGAAAACGACUAUAUAUAAGACAGUCGUAAGGAGAGGAUACCAAUCGUCGUAAUGGUAAGUGAAAAGAUGCCUUUUUAAAAAAAAUAACUGCCUUUUUCAAAAAAUGGUCACAUCAAAAUAACUUCUUUUUAUAAAAGAAAUGAUGCAAUAAUUUCGUCAAUUAAAGAUAGCGAUUGAGAUAACAUACCCUUUUUCAUUUUGAACCUUUUUAGCAAACUUUUCAAAGUAAGAGAAGGUUUCAGACUUACUUGCCAAGAAAUAUACCCAAGUGAAUCGUGAGUAAUCAUCCACAAUUACCAGGCAGUAUUUCUUACCUCCAAUGCUUUGCGUUCUGGUUGGUCUAAAAAGAUCCAUAUGCAGAAGCUGCAAUAUACGGUUAGUGGAAACUUGAUUUAUUGGCUUAAAGAAAUUUCUUACCUGUUUUCCCAAUAUACAUGGUGUACAUAGAUCAGACUUUUGAUACGAUAAAUUAGGUAGACCACGAACAAGCUUCUUUGCUGAGAUUUUGGCUAUUUGCUUCAUAUUGACGUGCCCAAGCUUUCUGUGCCAUAAGUUUGCUUCGUCUUGGAUUGAGAUUAGACAUUGUGAUUCAUCUGGUUUCACAUCCAAGAGGUAGAUAUUUCCAUGUCUUCGACCCAUGAAUGACUGAGUAGAAUCUUUACUAAUUCCAGAACAUAUUCCCUCUUGAAAGUUGAUUUUGAAACCAAUAUCACAUAGCUAACUAAUACUGAGCAAAUUGUAAUUGAGCCCUUCCACUAAGGAAACAUUGCUGAUUUUGAGAUUUCCAAUCUUUACAGUUCCAAAUCCCACAAUUUUUCCUUUGCUGUUUCCUCCAAAAGAAACUUUUCCACCAAUUACUCGAACAAGCUUUAUGAAGAAAUUUGAGUCUCCUGUCAUGUGUCUUGAGCAUCCACUAUCCAGAUACCACUUUACCUUUUUUCUUGAUAGUGGCCUGCAUUUAAAAAAGAAACUCAAGCCUUCUUUGGAACCCAUAUUUUCUUGGGUCCAUUGGUGUUAGUAUGAUAUGCGGUUUUUGCCUAUACAUUUUUAACAGGUUUCCAAAUCAUAGGACAUUCUUUUUCAAAAUGAUCUGCACUAUUGCACUUUGAGCAUCUGAGAGCAUUGCGACCUACUGGUUUUACAAAGAUUCUUUUAAAAUGAUUUUUGUAAGCAUCUCUUGUGGGUCUUUGUUUGAUUCUUUCCUUCACCUUAGGAAAAUCAAUUAAAGGAAUGGUUUCAUCAGUCAUUCCCAAACCAGAUUUAUUAAAAUAAGGUCUUUGAACAGAAAGAAUUUUUUCUAGUUUCUCAGAUCCUAUAGAAAAUCUUUUGGAAAUAUUUGAGAUAUCUCUUUUCAAGAAUGCAUUUUCUUUUAACAAAUUAUCUUCACUUUCUUUAAGAGAAGAAACAUUCUUGUCUAAACUUUUCACUUUUUCUUUCAAAAUAUUUUCCUGUUGUUUUAGAGCAGAAUUUUCUUUCUUGAGUUCGGAAAUCCUUUUAAGAGAAGUCUUAAGACUGAAACACAAUUCAUCAAUAUACUUUGAAACCUUAAUAGGGAUUUUGAAGUUACUUACCUCAAAUUCGCUUUCUGAGUCUGAAUCUGUCUCGGAAUUUGAAUCUGAAUCCGAUUAUGCCAUCAGACAUAUAUUGGCAUAAUCAUCAUCACUUUCUUCACACUCUGUAUCACUCCAUGUUUUAGCUUUAAGAGUUUUUCGGUACUUUUCAGUUUUUCCUUUCUUCUUCCUCAGAAGAGGACAGUUGGGUCUGAUGUGUCCCUUUUUCUUACAUUCAAAGCAUACUACAUCUUUGUUUGAUUCAUCAUCUUCAACAGACUUAGUCUGUUGCUUUUGAAAACUUUGUUUCUUUGGAUUGAAUCUUCUUCAUUUUCUGUUCAGCUUUCUGAAUCUUCUUAUCAUGAGAGCAAGUUCCUCAUCAUCCAUAUCGUUUUCAGAAUCUGUAACAUCAGAAUCAUCAUUAGAUUUUAAUGCAAUGGAUUUCUUACCUUUAGGGUCUUCGUCUUCAUUGAUUCGUUCCACUUCAUAAGACUGAAGAGUCCCAACCAACUCAUCAACAGAUAGAGGCAUGAUUCUUUGGGUCUCUCUGAUUGAGGUCUUUAUGUGAUUCCAAUCAUUGGAAAGUCCACACAGUAGCUUGUUUACUUUCAUGGGAUCAGAAAUUGGUUGACCUUGAUUUUCAAGACCAUUCACAAUUUCAGUAAAGCGACUGAACAUAUCCGUUAUAGAUUCUCCUGGUUUCAUUUUGAAGGCUUCAUAUUGACCGAGGAGAAUGUUGAUUCUGGUCUCUUUCACUCGAUCGCUUCCUUCAUAGGUAAUAUGUAAUCUAUCCCAUACUUCUUUAGCUGUAACAUAAGAAGAUAUUCUAUUAUAUUCAGUAGGGGAUAAAACACAAUAUAAAAAAUAAAUUGCUUUUACAUCAAGAGCUUGUCUCUUGAUUUUCUCUUCCUGAGUCAUUUUGCUAGACUCAACAGCAUCUUUUCCUCUUUCUGAGACAGAUGCAGCUUUAGGAAUGAUUCCUUUUUCUGCAACGUCCCAUUCCAAAGGAUCCUUUGAUCUUAGGAAUGCUUUCAUCUUGUUUUUCCAUAUGUUGUAAUCCUUUCCAUCAAAGUAAGGUAGUCUAGUAUUGCUUUGCCCUUCUACCAACCCUGGAGCCAACAUACUAGCCAUGGAUCUUUAACUCUGAAGUAAAACACUUCAAACAAAGUGAGUACACAGGCUCUGAUACCAAUUAAGAUAGCUAGUAUAAUCACCUAGAGGGGGUGAAUAGGUGCACAAACAAAUUUUCGAGAUACGGAAGCGAUUUUAGGGAAUCGAUAGAAAAGAAAAUACGAUCAAAGUAAAGUAAAGGUUAGGGAAGAGAGAAAUGAACACAAGAUUUAUAGUGGUUUGGCUUAUUCCAAGCCUACGUCUACUCUUCCGCAUUGACAGCCCAGCGGCUGGAUUUCACUAUGAACAAAAGAGAAGUUACAGCACAGCUUUUCCUUGAUUCCACAGUGUAAAUGUUCUACCACACUUUCUCAAGGUUUCUCACGAAUAUAGACUCUUUUUUGUUUACACGAUUUUGCUCAUCAAAUGAAUUGACUAGGAACAAGGAGCUUCAGACUUUGGAAUUCUUCUAUCGUGCACACUUUCGAACAACUAGAACGUCUUCCUUAUAUACUCCUUCAUGCCAUCAUACCCGUUGGCACUUACCAAAAGAAUUCCUCCAAUCUACCCGUUGGACGGAAUCAAUUAGGAAGAUCAUUCGAGCUAUUAAAGGAACAUGUCGAUAGCCCAUUAAUCCUGUUCGCCCAUACAAUUAGGAUCUCGGUUUCCAUAAGUAGAACCUUCCAAGUAUACUUCGCCAAUCAUCGGAUCCUUAAUCUUCGAAUCAAUUAUGAUCAAAUAAAGAAUUCCGUUAUGUUAUAUCCAGCAAAGAGAUCUUCUCCAGUCGAUAAGGCCUCAUCCUUAAUGAAACAUCCAGUUCUGGAUAGCCUUUCUACAACAGAUUAGAAACUGUCAAUGAGGAUAGACUUUGAGUCUUGAGUCUGGCUGUCCGGAGGUCUUCAAACUUUAAAUAGCAGAGUUUGCAAGCCUUCAGACUAGACUGAUGGAAACGUUUUGUCAACUUCAAAACACUUCAAGAGGAAUUUCUCCAACAGUCUCAGCCCCAGCAACAAUGCGAGGUGUACAAACUUUGCGGGCCUUUUGGUGUUUGCAGCGAGGGUACUGACAAUUUCUGCAACUUCUUGCCAGGGUUUAGCAUAAGCUCUUUGAGUGAUUGGUCUGGCAGCUGCAAGAGGGAUUCGGACUUGAAUUGUGCGGCAAAUGCUUCAAAUGCGGAGAAAGACCAUUUCUUGCUAAGGUCGAAAAUGAAAUUGCCUGAUGAUCCCCAAUCUUUAGUUGUUAGGAGCAAUCAGGAAUGCUGAGCUGCUUGUUUGAGCAAUUGCUCUUGCACGGCUUAUGCUUUCAAGGAUAAUGCCUGCUCAAUUUGGAUUGGAGAUCUCUUCAAUGCACAACAACUCGCACAAGGCGAUACCACUGGAAGUAGCUCCUAUCUCGGGCUUGUUGCCUCCACUGUUGAGGAUCCAAGCAAGAAGAGCAAUGUGAGUGCCGUGGUUGCUGGGUCUGUUAGCACCACGAUAGCCAUAUUAGCCAUUGUCUUGUUCGGCAUUUGGAGAUGGAGGAGAAGGGCAAUUGUAACUACAAAGACAGUGGAGGGUUCACUGAUAGCUUUUGCAUACAGGGACUUGCCAGUAGCAACAAAGAAUUUCUCAGAGAAGUUGGGUGGCGGCAGGUUCGGUUCAGAUUUUAAAGGAACAUUCCCGAUUCAAUUCACAUAGUGGUCAAGAAGCUUGAAAGCAUAAGCCAAGGAGAGAAGAAAUUCCAAACAGAAGUAAUCACAAUCGGCACCAUCCAGCAUGUGAAUCUUGUAAGAAUUAUUGUGACCCACAUGAUAUGAUUUAUUAUAUGGUUUAAUAAUUAUUGAAAUGCUAUAAAAUAAAUAAUUAUUGGUUACGAGAAGUUGCGACUUUAAUAAACGAAAUUGUAUAUUGCUUUGAUGGAAGGCACAUUUUCAAUGAACGUAUAUAUAGAGUCCGGUCCUCUCUCCACUCACAAUAAACAACAAUAACUGAAAAGGAAUUUGGUAUUCUCUCCUCCAUCGAUUGAAUACAUUAAGGAAUAGUGGGUUAAGGGAGAGAAAUUGGAUUUCUUCAUUUGGUUCGAGUUCUUUGGAUUUACUACAAUGAUCAUCAUCAAGCAUAGCGCUAUGGAUAAAGGUAUGUCUUCAUCUAAUUGUGAAAAUCAUGAAGAUCAAAAGAUCAUUGUUUAUUUUGAAUUUCCGCAUCAAGUAUUAUAUGAAUUAUCUAACAGUUGGUAUCAGAGAGUUUGGUUUAUGAUAUCAUGAUUUUUCCGUUUAAAGAAAUAUUAUAGUUUAUGUUUGAUGAUUCGUUGAACGAUCCUGUUCGUAUUGUUUAUUGUUGUUAAAAUGUUUUCAGAUGAUUAUGGAUAAAGAAAAUCCGAAUGAUGGAAUGUUCUUCAUGGACGAAAAUGGCAAAUAAAAGUUACUGUGCGCGAGUGGAAAAGGACGAAAAUGGAAAAAUUCGGAAUUUUGAGGGCAAGUAAGAAACUCGCCGAUUUCGGGGAAAAUCCAGUCACCCACCGCUUGAUUUCGGACUCACACCGUCGCACUACCAUGAGGAACAUUAGCCAUGAGUUUUUCCAGUAUAUCGGUGUUCGCCGGAGGCUAAUCGAGUGGCGGAAGCCGUGUUGGUGGACUUUUUGUGUUCUGAAAAUUUUGGUUUGUUUUGGGGCCAAUUUUUUGUCAUUUUCUCCGAAACUUGGACCCAUGUGGUCAUGCCGGCAUGCUCUUCAAAACCCAUUAUUUAUUUGUGUCUGGGAUGGGCUACCGAAGAAGAAACGGCCGGCGAAACCGCGGCGGAACGGCGAAAAACGGCGAAGAAUCGUGUCUGUGCACGAGGAAGAGGGCGUGUGGGCUCCACGCGCGCGCUGCGGUUGUAGGCGCGUGGGACCCACGCGUCACGCGCCGUCACGUGCGCGCAAGCGCUGCGCGCGUGGGAUCCACGCGCGCGGGGCUUCCCGUGCGGUUGCAGGCGCGUGCAACGCAAGCGCCUACGCAUUGGGCACGCGCGUGCCCCGCACGCGCCCGCGGCGGAUGAAGGCGCAUGCUCGGUAUGCGCCUGACGUCCCCGCGCGCCCUUUUUACGUUUUUGCCCCUAUGUCAUUUUUAAAAUUUCCAUUUUGUCCUUCUUGCAAUUUAUUUACUGUUCUGCCCUUGCUUAAUUUAUAAUUACGAUUCUUCCAUUGCUGAUUAUUUACCAUUUUGCCCCUGGAUUAUAAUUUUAUGAUUUUGCCCUUAUGGAAUUAUGAUUUUACAAUUUUACCCUUAUGCUUUAAUUACUGUUUUGUCCUUAUGUGCAAUUUGGUAAAUAUUUGUAUUUUACAAUAUUAAAAAUCCAUAUUAUGAAUGGUUUAUUAGUCACCAAAGUGGCCGAACCUUGAAGUCUUUUGAUAUUUUGAUAUUGUAAAUUAUUUUAUUCAAUUACCCAUGAUUAAUUGAUGCUAUAUAUGAAAUUGAUAUGUUUUAUAUUAUUAUUAUUGGAGUUAUGGGUAUAUUGAAGUUCAUUUAUUAUAAGAAUUUAGUGAUUAACCCAAAGGUUAAUUAUUUUCUUAUAAUUCAUGAACAUGAUGGUUGAUAAUUAAUGUGACUUGUUAAAUUUGUUUAUAUAUCCAAAGAUAACAAAUAAAUUUUAAUAAGAUAUAUUUACAAUUAUCAAAUAAAAGUUAUUAGCAUCAUUAUGGUAUAUAUAUCCUUGUUUAUCAUAGGAUCGGCCAAAGGAGAACUAUGAUGUACAUGUGUCGUUUAGUUUGAAUUUGAUUAUGUGAUAUUCUCAAAGCAUUAAUGUAUGAGUAUUUUCUUGCACAUUUGCAGUAUCUGUACCUAUUUCACUCCAUUCGCACGCCUCAUCUGUUCCUUUAUUCAAUGGGAUAAAUUUUCCUAAUUGGAGUGAACAAGUCUAGUUUCACUUAGGUGUCCUGGAUCUUGAUUUAGCACUUCAAGCUGAGAAACCAGCUGCUAUUACUGAUGAAAGUAGCAAUGAUAAAAAGUCUUUCCAUAAAGCUUGGGAAAGAUCGAACAGACUGAACUUAAUGUUCAUGCGAAUGACAGUUGCUAACAACUUAAAGACUUCUCUUCCCAAGACUAACAAUGCUAAGGAAUUCAUGAAGUUUGUGGAAGAGCGUUCUCAAACUGCUGAUAAGUCACUUGCUGGUACAUUGAUGAGCACACUAACCACCAUGAAAUAUGAUGGUUCGCGUACCAUGCAUGAGCAUAUACUUGAGAUGACGAAUUUAGCAGCAAAGUUAAAGACUUUGGGAAUGAACGUGGAUUAGUACUUUUUAGUACAAUUUAUACUUAAUUCCUUGCCUCAUGAGCAAUAUGGGCCAUUUCAAAUGAAUUACAACACUAUAAAGGAUAAGUGGAAUGUAAAUGAAUUGGCCAGUAUGUUAGUUCAAGAGGAAACAAGGAUAAAAAAUCAAAAGGCUCAUUCUAUUCAUCUCUCAAGUCAUCAAGAAGUUCGAAAGAAUUUCAAGAGGAAAGGUGGAAGGAGCAAGAAGAAAGGACUACACGUCCUGAAUGACUCUUUAAAGGCUUCUCAAAUCCACAAGAAGGAACACAAUCUUAUUAAGUGUCAUUUUUGCAACAAAAUUGGACACUUGAAGAAAGAUUGUCUGAAAUGUAAGGCUUGGUUCGAAAAGAAAGGUAAGCCUUGUGCUUUAGUAUGUUUUGAAUCAAACUUUACUGAAGUUCCUCAUAAUACUUGGUGGAUUAAUUCUGGUGCCAGCACUCAUGUGUCAAAUACAAUGUAGGGAUUUCUUACGAUCCAAACUAUAAAGCCAAAUGAAAGUUAUGUGAUUACGGGGAACAGAAACAAAGCUCCAGUUGAAGGCAUUGGCACUUAUCGUUUGAUCUUAGAUACUAGGCAUUAUUUAGAUUUGUUUCGAACCCUUUAUGUACCUACAUUUUCUCGCAAUUUAGUUUCUUUGCCAAGACUUGAUGUGGCGGGAUUUUAUUGUAAGUUUGGAUAUGAAUGUGGCGGGAUUUUAUUGUAAGUUUGGAUAUGAAUCUUUCAGUCUAUUUAAGAGUGAUAAUCAUAUUGGAACUAGAACUUUAUGUGAUGGUCUCUACAAAUUUAGACUUGAUAAUACUUUUGUUGAGAUAUUAAUGACCUUGCAUCAUAAUGUUGGCACUAAACGAAGUUUGGUGAAUGAAAAUUCUGCUUACUUGUGGCAUAAACGUUUGGGUCAUAUAUCCAAAGAAAGGAUGCAAAGAUUAGUGAAGAAUGAAAUUCUUCCAAAUUUGGAUUUUACUGACCUUGGAGUGUGUACUGAUUGUAUUAAAGGUAAACAAACAAAACAUACUAAGAAAGGUGCCACAAGAAGCAUAGAGCUUCUUGAAAUUAUACAUACUAACAUAUGUGGUCCUUUUGAUGUUCCAUCUUUUGGUAAGGAAAGCUAUUUCAUAACCUUUAUUGAUGAUUUUUCACGUUAUGAUUACAUUUGUCUAUUGCAUGAUAAGUCUCAAUCAGUGAAUGCACUUGAAGUGUAUAUUAAAGAGGUUGAGAGGCAAUUAGAUAGAAAUGUGAAAAUAGUAAGAUCGGAUAGAGGCGGUUAAUAUUAUGGAAAGUAUGAUGAAUCGGGACAAUGUCCAGGUCCAUUUGCUAAAUUCCUUGAAAGACAUGGCAUUUUUGCUCAAUACACAAUGCCAGGUACACCACAACAAAAUUGUGUAGCAGAAAGGCGUAACAGUACUUUAAUGGAAAUGGUUAGGAGUAUGAUGAGUCAUUCAUCUUUACCCUUGUCUUUGUGGAGGUAUGCUUUAAAGACUUCUAUGUACUUAUUAAAUAGGGUUCCCAGUAAAGCAGUUCCAAAGACUCCAUUUGAACUGUGGACGGGAAGGAAACCUAAUUUACGACACCUGCAUGUUUGGGGUUGUCAAGCAGAAGUAAGAAUUUAUAAUCCACAUGAAAGAAAAUUGGAUUCAAGAACGACCAGUGGUUAUUUCAUUGGUUAUGCAGAGAAAUUCAAAGGGUAUAAAUUUUAUUAUCUAAAUCGUAGUACAAGAAUUGUUGAAUCUGGAAAUGUUAGGUUCAUUGAGAAUAGUGACAUCAAUGGGAGUGAAAGAAUGCGUGAUGCUUGCAUUCAAGAAGUAAGGGUAGAAGUUCAUAUGCCUAAAGCUUAUAAAGUUGUUGUUCCUGAUAUUGUAGUACAAUCUAACAAUAAUCAAGAACAACAAAUUAAUGAACAAACACUCGAUAAUGGAGAUGUCAAUAAUGAACCUCCAAUAGCCGAGUCACAAGAAAUAGCAUUAAGGAGAUCUCAAAGAGAAAGGAGGUCAGCUAUUUCUGAUGACUAUAUGGUUUAUCUACAAGAGUCAGAAAUUGACUUAGGAAUUGGAAAUGAUCCAGAUUCAUUUUCCCAAGCCAUGGAAUGUGAAGAUUCUAAUGAAUGGUUUAAUGCCAUGGAAGAAGAGUUAAAAUCCAUGCAUCAAAAUCAAGUUUGGGAUAUUGUUGAAUUGCCUAAAGGAUGUAAGAAGGUCGGGUGUAAAUGGGUUUUUAAGACCAAGCGCGACUCAAAAGGCAAUAUUGAACGACAUAAAGCUAGACUUGUUGCAAAGGGUUUUACUCAGAAAGAAGGCAUUGACUAUAAAGAGACAUUUUCACCAGUCUCUAAGAAGGACUCACUUAGAAUUAUUAUGGCUUUGGUAGCUCAUUAUGACUUGGAGUUACACAAAAUGGAUGUAAAAACCGUCUUUCUUAAUGGGAAUUUAGAAGAAGAGAUUUAUAUGGACCAACCCAAAGGCUUUUCAGUUAAAGGAAAGGAACACAUGGUAUGUAAAUUAAAGAAGUCAAUAUAUGGACUUAAACAAGCUUCCCAACAAUGGUAUCUUAAGUUUAAUGAUACCAUAACUUCAUUUGGAUUUAAGGAAAACACCGUUGAUCGGUGUAUAUAUAUGAAGAUUAGUGGGAGCAAGUUUAUUUUUCUAGUUCUGUAUGUUGAUGAUAAUUUUGCUUGCUGCUAAUGAUCUUGGUUUGUUACACGAAACCAAGAAAUUUCUCUCUAAAAAUUUUGAAAUGAAGGAUAUGGGAAAGGCAACAUAUGUGAUAGGAAUAGAAAUAUUCCGUGAUAGAUCACGAGGAUUAUUAGGAUUGUCUCAGAAAGCCUACAUUGAGAAAAUUCUAGAGAGAUUUAAUAUGAGUAAAUGUUCAGCAGGAAUAGUUCCAAUUCAGAAAGGUGAUAAAUUUAGCCUUAUGCAAUGUCCGAAAAGUGAAUUGGAAUGAGAACAAAUUAAUAAUAUUCCUUAUGCAUCUGUUGUGGGGAGCUUAAUGUAUGCACAAACUUGCACCAGACCAGACAUCAGUUUUGCUGUCGGAAUGCUGGGCAGGUAUCAAAGUAAUCCUGGAAUGAAUCAUUGGAAAGCUGCAAAGAAAGUUCUUAGAUACUUGCAAGGAACGGAGAAUCAUAUGCUCACUUAUAAAAGAUCUGAUCAUCUCGAGGUGAUUGGAUAUUCAUAUUCAGAUUUAGUCGAAUGUGUCGAUACAAGAAAAUCAACAUUUGGUUACUUGUUUCUUCUAGCUGGAGGGGCAAUUUCAUGGAAGAGUGCGAAGCAGUCAGUUAUUGCUACAUCCACUAUGGAAGCUGAAUUUGUGGCAUGUUUUGAGGCCACAAUUCAUGGAUUAUGGCUGCAGAAUUUUAUUUAAGGGCUUGUGAUUGUUGACAGUAUUGCCAAGCCGCUGAAAAUUUAUUGUGAUAACUCUGCAGCAGUUUUCUUCUCUAAGAAUGAUAAGUAUUCUAAUGGUGCUAAGCAUAUGGAGAUCAAAUACUUGUCUAUCAAAGAAGAAGUUCAGAAACAAAGAGUGUCAAUUGAGCACAUUAGCACUAAUCUUAUGAUAGCAAAUCCCUUAACAAAAGGACUGCCGCCCAAAACAUUUAAUGAGCAUGUUGAAAAGAUGGGCGUUAUUGGACGUCAUUAAUGUUUGUAUUAUGAUUGAAUUGAGUUUAUGUAUUUGACACUUUGAGCUCACUUACGUGUUUCUGAUAUUUCCUGUUUUUUAUUUAGUAUACAAUAUGGAAAUAGAUGAAUGUUAAACAGGAUAGUUUCUAAAGAAACAUUAUGGUUGGACUAUUACUGUACUUCUCAUUUAUGGAUCAUGUUAAGUAAAGUGCUAUAGUUGUAGUACAUAGAAGGGACUAUGUCGAUUAAUGACAUACAACCGCUAUGACUCGCAUUAGUUUUCUUUACUUAAUUCUGAUUAUUAUGUGAUUGCCAAUUUAAUGAAAUUUUAUAGCAUAAUCUUAUUGUGCACAUUAUAGUCUUUAUUAAACCAUGAAAGGAGAAUCAUAUGGGCCAAGUGGGAGAAUGUAAGAAUUAUUGUGACCCACAUGAUAUGAUUUAUUAUAUGGUUUAAUAAUUAUUGAAAUGCUAUAAAAUAAAUAAUUAUUGGUUACGAGAAGUUGCGACUUUAAUAAACGAAAGGGUAUAUUGCUUUGAUGGAAGGCACCUUUUCAAUGAACGUAUAAAUAGAGUCCGGUCCUCUCUCAACCCACAAUGAACAACAAUAAUUGAAAAGGAACUUUGUCACGCCCCGACCCUCAGGCACGCACACAUCCCUUACUUUUGGUCGAUUUAAAAAUGCGAUAUCCCAGGACUAUGUAUCGCCGACCCUUUCAUUUAUAUAUGCACAUGCGGAAGCAGUUAUAAUUCCCUAGACAAUAAAGCAAUGGGAUAGAAAAGCAGGCCAUACAUUUUUCAUACUAAAAGUUCACAACUACAACUUUUUACAUGCAAACAAGGUCUGACAAUACUGGACGGGAUCUUAGUCCUCAUCCGGGUCGUACUCGGGGUCCUCCUCCACGUACUCCUCUUCGGGUUCCUCAUCAGGGACCUCCUCAUCAGAUUCAUGCUCCUUAGGCUCCUCAUCCAGGUCCUGAAAUGGUUAUUCAAUAACCACUGAGACCACGUCUCAGCAAGUUCUACUCCCUAAGACCCGAUUAGUAAACUAAUACACCUUAGGGCUGCCUACGCACAACAUGAGUCAGAGGACGUACCUUAGCCUCAGAUUCCACCUGCAUAUUAGUACAGAUUAAAUAGGCACACAAGCAAGCACAUCACAGAUCGAAGCAUCGAUCUAAUCGACUUAGUCGAUUUCACAUCAGGAAGACCACUCACGAUCAUCUCCCUUCAAUCAUUCAAUUCAACACAUCGAACCAAGGCAAUGAAUCAUAUCAAGACAUUCUCAGAUCGAAUCAUCGAUCAAUUGACCUAGUCAAAUCAUUUCUAGGUCAUUCAUCCAACACCAAGCAAUUCCUUAGAUUUAGUGGCUUUACGGUCCCACCCGACCCUCUCGAGAACUAGUGGCUUUACGGUCCCACCCGACCCUCUCGAGAACUAGUGGCUUUACGGUCCCACCCGACCCUCUCGAGAACUAGUGGCUUUACGGUCCCACCCGACCCUCUCGAGAACUAGUGGCUUUUCGGUCCCACCCGACCCUCUCAAGAACUAGUGGCUUUACGGUCCCACCCGACCCUCUCGAGAACUAGUGGCUUUUCGGUCCCACCCGACCCUCUCAAGAUGUCAUACUAUGUCACCGAGCCACGUGCAUUCUCCAGGAAGACAUACCGAGUCUCCGAGCCACGUGCAUUCUCUAAGGCUAUCUUUUCGCCAAGAUGACAUAUCAAAUCACCGAGCCACGUGUCCUUCCCAAGUGAUAUUCCAAUUCACUGGGCCACGUGCAUCCUCAAGGUGAUUUACCAACUCACUUUCGAUACUAACAACCGAUAUCCGACCAAUUCUCAAUCACAAGGCCAAAAUUGCAUUAUUGAAUAACAUACUUAAAAAUGCACCAUUAAAUCAAUUCGACACGAAUUAAAGCUCAAAUAAGUAAACGGACUGCUCCACGACAAUCAGCACGAAAUUCCGGUCACUGGCCAUCCCAGUUGAAUUUCCGGAAAAUAAAUAAUUAAACAAUUAAUUUCGAAAAUUAAAUAAAUAAAUACAAUAAAUUCAAUUUAGCACAAUAUAAAGCUCAAUUAAAUAAACGGACUGCGCCACGAUCAUCAGCAUAAAAUCCUGGUCACUGGCCAUCCCAGUUGAAUUUCCGGGAAAUAAAUAAUUAAAUAAUUAAUUUCGAAAAUUAAUAUUUAAUUCCUAAAAAUACGACAUAAGCCCAAAUCGCUUAAUUAACACCCGAUAAGGGACGGGAAAAAUCCCAAGAAGCAUCCAAUAAAUACUACAAGCAAUUCUCUAUCUAAUUACACUAAUCACACAACUAAUAUGCAAACCAAUUAACUAAUAAUCACUAAUCAAUUCUAAUCUAACAACCUAAUUACACUUAAUUAACACUAAUCAACCUUUAAGUAUAAUUAGCGCACUAAGAAGGCAUUAGUGAGUAAAACUCACUCAAAACGACGGGCUCGACGCGAGGAUCGACUUUCCUCAAAGCGGGCCGAGCAUCCGGGCUCGGGAAGGCGGCCAAAACGGGCCAAACAGUUGCUGCAAACCCAUUUCUGCAGUCCUCUGAUCGCUGCUGGUUGGAGGCGAAGGUGGGCGGAUCCGAGGCUGGUUGAGCUCGGGAAUGGGCGGAGGAGCUGAACAAGACCAAGGCGAGUCUUCACGGUGGCCGGAGGUGGUCGGAGGAAGCUCCGGCGGGUCUUGCACGAGCUGGACAGAGGCGGAACAGGGGUUGGACAGCAGCUCUGGAACAGCGAGCUGGGCGAGAGGGAGACCGAGCUGAGCGAUGCAGCGGCGGAGCGCACGGCGUCGCGCGGGCGGCGGUGCGGCAGCUCCGGUCCAGCAACGCCAGCUGCUGCCUCAACUCCGGUGUCCUCCAAGAUCUGGAACCCCGAGCAGCAAACGGAGAGGAAGACAGAGGGUGGACGGCGUUCAAGCGGGCGGGCAGGAGACGGACGGCAGCAGCGUUCCGGCACGACGGCGAAGGCAGCUCUGGCGUGACGGUGAUGGCGGCUCCUGCUUCGAACAACAUAGCUACUGUCCCUGCUUCUGCUUCGUUCGAACCAGAGGAGGGAGAGGGGGCGGAGAUGUGCAGACAGCAGCACGGCAGCGGGCUUGGGUGCACGGGAGCAGCUCCGGUGGCUUGCGGGCGUGCGACGGCGGCGGCGAGAGGCGGCGACGGGCGAAGCUGCUGUUGCUGCUUCGGCUGCUCUGGUCUUCGCACAGCCAUGGCACGAGCAGCAAGAAGGGGGAGAGAGGGUGUCGACGGAAGAGAGAAGAGAAGAAGAGAAAACCAAAUUUUCUUUCUCUUUCUCUCACUCUCUCUCUCUCUUAGGUCAGCCAUACGUGGGCCACCAUGGCUGUCAUCCACCCACAUUUCUAGCCCAAAACUACCCCUUCUAGAAGCAUUUAGGUAGGCCAAAGUUUGGGGUAGAGGUGGCAUACGAAUUUUGCCAAGUUCUCUUCCCAAUUGGACCUUAAUCCCUCUUGAUUCAAUUUAAAUUGACUCCUAUAAUUUCAUUUAACACCUCGUCAUUCCAAUUGGUAUUUUUCCUUACCAAUAUAGCCCACUUGCAUCCCAAUUCCACAAUCCUUAGCUUCAACUGAACCAAAGCGGCCCUAUUUAUCCAGUCGAAAUUAGGACCCGAAAAUCUGGAUGUCACAAACUUGGUAUUCUCUCUUCUAUCGAUUGAAUACAUUAAGGAAUAGUGGGUUAAGGGAGAGAAAUUGGAUUUCUUCAUUUGGUUCGAGUUCUUUGGAUUUGCUACAACAAUCAUCAUCAAGCAUAGCGUUAUGGAUAAAGGUAUGUCUUCAUCUAAUUGUGAAAAUCAUGAAGAUCAAAAGAUCACUGUUUAUUUUGAAUUUCCGCAUCAAGUAUUAUAUGAAUUGUCUAACAAAUCUUGUCAGGCUUCGUGGGUUCUGCUCUGAAGGUUACACAAGGCUGUUGGUCUACGAUUUCAUGCCAAAUGGUUCUUUAGACUAUCAUGUCUUUCAUAGAAAGGACUUGAAGACCUUGGAUUGGAAAACGAGGUACCAAAUUGCUUUGGGAACGGCUCGAGGUCUGGCUUAUCUCCAUGAAAAGUGCAGAGACUGCAUCAUACAUUGUGACAUCAAGCCAGAGAACAUCCUUCUAGAUGCUGAUGUAUGUCCAAAAGUGGCAGAUUUUGGCAUGGCAAAGCUUGUUGGCCGAGAUUUCAGCAGGGUGUUGACAACCAUGAGAGGCACAAGAGGGCAUCUUGCGCCGGAGUGGAUCUCUGGAGUGGCCAUAACAGUAAAAUCUGAUGUUUAUAGCUAUGGGAUGAUGCUUUUUGAGUUUGUGUUGGGAAGGAGGAAAUUAGAGCUAUCGGAAAAUGGGGCCAUCAAGUUCUUCCCAACAUGGGCUGCUAGUAAAUUAGCCGAAGGAGGUGACCUGCUUAAUCUUUUGGACCCAAACUUGACGGCAAAUGCCAAUACUGAAGAGCUAACUAGGAUUAGCAGAGUUGCUUGUCGGUGUGUCCAAGAUGGGGAAACUCACAGGCCAUCGAUGGGGCAGGUUGUUCAAAUACUCGAGGGGGUGUUGGAUGUGAUCCUGCCCAGGAUACCGAGUCCUUCAACUGUUUCUUAGUAAUCAGGAGCAUGUAGUUUUUUUCACUGAGUCGUCAUCGUCGAACCAGAGUUCCCAGAUGAGGAGUAACAACCUAAAAUGCUUCCUUGCAGAAGCAAAAUAGUUCAUCUUCAACAAAGUCCAAGUCUUGAGGAUGAUAAGAUAAGAGCUUAGUACAAGAAGUGCUUCCGUUAGUGCAUAUACUCUUCUACUUUUUCUGUAGUCAACAAAGAAUCUCAGCAUUUGGGGAUUGGCUUUCUUGGGGCUUUUUUCCCUAGCUAUUUUUGUUACGUAUAACUACAAGCGAGCUUGGAUGAUCGGUUGUAAAGAUCCUUCGCUCUGUAUAAUGAUCUGUUCUCUGCUUUUUGAGAUCCAAGGUGAUAUUGGUAAUUAGCAUCGAAAAAUUUCUGAUAAUUUUGGCACUGGAAUUGGGAUCUAACGUAUUGGUAUCACCUAGCUUGGAUCCCAGCUAGUGUCUCACAUGGUUCUAAAAUCUGCCCCCAUCGCAUGCAAAGCAAGCUGUAAGGUUUGGCAUUUCUAAUUUAUAACUCCUUUUGCUACUUGCUUGGUUUAUACAAUGAGUCAUGGUAUGAAAAUCACCCUUGAAACUACGGCUUGCUAGGACCGGAAUAUUAGAUCAUGAUAAUUUCCAACUGAUCUAUGUAUUACUAGCAGAUCCUAUUGUUGAAGCUGUAGGAUGUUAAUGCCCGCUCCAUUUUUCACAUAGCAUUUAUAUCUCUUCUAAGGUUGAGUUUUUUUAAUCACCUCAUUGCUUUAUGUUUCGAAUAUGAGUACUCGAACCUUUUAGCAAAACUGAUUUAUAACGUGUGGAUGAGACUUUUGUUGGGUGCUCUUACUCAAUUUAUAAGUUCUGUAAAACCAAAUUCAGUAUCUCAAUGUUAUUUGUUAAAAAUCUCUAUUGUUUGUUCUGGUGGGAAAUUGGUUGAGUUUCUCGUUUCAAUCGGGUUGAUCCAAACAGUAUUUUCCAUUGCAAGUGGGGAUUAAAUGCAAGUCCAAGUCCACUUUAAUUUAUCGUUGAAGAAGCCUGUUUUGGAAGGCCUAGCUUUUAUUUUUCAGUUCAUAAUCUAUUCAGAUCAAGGCUAAUCUUGUUCGGCCUUCACAAUACCAUAGUCCCCUCACUUUUGCCAAGCUUCCCCUCAUUUGUUUUUCCUUUUUGCCAUUACACCUUUUUCUUUUCCUUUCUCCUAUACACAAUUCUUUAAAUACUUUCAAUAUGAUGUGUUGUUUUUUUUUUUGGUAAGGGUCGAUAUGAUGUGUUGUUUCACUUUUCUUGUGGUAAUUAUUUUACUAUUAUCGUUGAUCCUUCUCUAGUGAGGAAAAAAAUACCAAAAAAGUCAUAAAUAUAUUACAUUAGUACCAAUUUAAUGUUAAAAUUUUUCACAUUAGUACUAAUUCGGUCCAUCUGGCCAAUUUUGGCUGGCCAGUGUUGAUGUGCACGUCAGCCAAAAUUGGGCUGAUGGACUGAAUUGGUACCAAUAUAAAAAAAUUUAGGAUUGAAUUGGUCUAAUUAAAAGAUUUAGAACUGAAUUGAUAUCAAUGCAAUAGGUUUAUGACUUUUUUUUAUACUUUUCCCUUCCAGAUGCUAGAGGUGCUAUUAUAAUAUCUUAACUUCCUUUAGCAAUAAAAAGACGUGUAAUCUGCUUAAAUCUUUAUUUAGUUGUGCUUCUACAAAAAUCAACCCUCUUUAUGAUCAUUUAUUUUAAAGUUAUAUCUCAAAUUUGAAUUCGUGAAAGAAAUCUAACUAGAGAUGAAUUGUAAGAAACUAGGUCAAUUAAGGAAAAUCCUAAAGGCGAAUAUUUCUGGACGUCGGUAAUGGAAAUCUAGAUUUCAUAUUUGGCGUCAGAGUCCAAAGUGCAAAUUUGGACAUUAAGUUGCUGAUUCGUUAACUCCAACAAAAGGCCAGAACUUGUAGAUUAUGAAAAUCAAUUUCCGCAUGGGAGUUGGUCAACACAACAACCGAACAAGAAAGAUCGGAGUUGGACUGGGUUUCUUCUUCAAUCGGUCAACUUGGCUAUUAUAUACGGAAUAACACCUUGAAAAAUCCAAAAUUGACAUAUUUAUAACAAAUUUACCAAAAUCUAAAUUUAUCCAAAUUUGUACACCUACGAUAAAUUCACCUUAAAUAAUUUUUUUAACUAUAAAAAAUCUCAAACUAGCACAUUUGUCACAAAUAGAGAGUAAAAUCCAAAAUUGAUACAACAUUAAUUGUCAAAUGUCAUUCAAUUCAACAAUUUGAUAAUAAAAUUUGAAGGAAAUUAAUGGACGGUAAAUUUGUUACAAGUAUAUCAAAGUUUUAGAUAAAUUUUAUUACCGGUUCAUGAUUUAUUAUGAAAUUACCAUAAAUAUAAAUAUACAAUUGUGGAUUGCUCAGUUGGUUAUGAAGAAAUAUUAAAGUGUAGUUCUUAGUGAAUGUCAAGGGAAGUUCUAUAUUUGUUAGUGACGGCCAAUUGGCACUGCAGGUUUGGUAGUGGGUUCUUCAUGGAAUAACAUUAAUAGCUUAUGUGUUGGACUCAAUUAAAUCUUGUGAGGAUUUAUUUAAUUCAUUUUUGAGAUUGAGAUAUUAUUUCGUGAAGAAUUGUAAGUUUAAAUACUACGUGAAUUAUUGAGUAUAAUUGGAUCUUGGAAAACAUAAGAAUGUUUGAGUAAUUUGAGUUUGGUUGUACUUUUCAUUGGAUUGCUCGAUCUAGAGUGAAUUCUUUGCUGCUCUCUCCAUUGACAUAUGUCACAUCAAUAGAAUCAUUUAAAUUUGGUGUCCAAUUUAUUUUCUUAUUUUGUCUAUUUCAUUGUUCGAUCAAUUAGAUUCCACAAUAAUUUAAAAGAUCAAGGCAUUGAUAAACGGUCUCUCUACUUUUGCUCAAUAAUCAAAGUCAUUCUUUUAAUAUCUUUUAAGAAAAAAAAUCACAAAAACUCCAUAUUUUGUCGAUUGUGAUAUGUUUACUCUAAACUAUUUUUGGUGACACCAAAAACUCUAAAUUUAUACUUGUAUGACACAUUUAUCCUAAUUUUUUUUCUAUAACACCAAAUUUUUUGGGGUUAAUAUGUCACAUCAUACAAAUUUGAAGUUUUAGGUGGCACAUUAUAUAAGUUUAGAGUAAAUAUGCAAUAUAAGUAUGAAUUUGAAGUUUUUGAUGUCAUAAAAUAAGUUUGGGAUAUAUAUAUAAUUUAGAGUUUUCGGUGAUUUUACAUUUCUUUGGAUUUGAAACCGUUCUUGCACUUAAGUGCCAUUGGUCGUCCCUGUGUUGGAACACUAUUAGCUAUCUUUUGACGUCAAAUUUUAUUUUAUUUGUUGAGGAUUUUUCUUUCUUUCUCCAAAUGUAGGCUGUCUCUCUCCUUUUUAGGUUAUUCAUUUUACGAAAACUAAAACCCACAAAAUAUAUUGCCUACACUAAUGCAAAAACACGAUUAUUUGUAUAGACUCAAGACAAGCAAUUGAGUAGCUAUGGGCCGUGAGCUCUGUGGCUCAUGACUUGAGCAAAUAUGACUGCUACAAGAUCAAAGCUCAUGCGGCAAUGCCAUGAGCUCAAAGAUUAAGUAGCCAUGGCUUAAGCUUUGUGACUCAAAUAGACAUCAUGGCCAUGGCCAUCUGCGAGCUUGAGCUUGAAUAGCCAUGGCCAAUGCUAACUUAGAGUUGGAGCUCAUGGUAAUAGUGGGGUCAUAAUGGAGCUCUCUCGUAAUUGUGCCCAUUUUUUUUAAUGUUUAUGUUGCCUAAUUUAGCACCUGUUUUUCCUAAAAUAAUUAUAUGAGCGGAGUACCACACAAUAGGUAUGCUGGCAUCUUGUUCAUAAAAAUUGAAUGGCAAAGUAUAACGGAAUGACUAGUGGUGAUACUUCAAGCCACAAAAAAAUCUUAAGCUUUAUCAACUGUGACACAUUUAUUUCAAUUUUUUUUUUUGUAACAUCAAAAAUCCCAAACUCGUACACGUGUAGUAAUACAUUUACCCAAAACUUUUUUUUUCGACACCAAAAAACCCAAACUUAUACUUUUGUAACAUCAAAACCCUAAACUUUUGUUUUGUAACACCAAAAACCCGAGAUUAAUAGUCAAGUCACACAUCUACCCCAAAAAUUUGGUGUCAUAGAAAAAAGUUUGAGGUAUUUGGUGUCACAAAAAGAAAAGUUUGAGGUUUUUUAUGUCACAAAAUAAAAGUAUGGAGUAAAUGUGUGACACUGCAAUAUUUUGAGAUAAAUGAGUCACAUAGGUAAAAGUUUGAAAUUUUUAAUAUUACAAAAAAAAAUAGUUUGGGGUAAAUAUUUCACAAUGGUCAUAAUUUAAGGUUUUUGGUGGCUUUUACCAUACUUUUAAAUAGUGGAGAGAUGCUUUAAAAAAAGUAGAGGGGAUUUUGAUUUUCAGGCUAAAAUAUAAGGGCCACCGGUAAAUCGAAUCCAUAAAGAAAGUGGCAUAUGUAUAGGAAUUGAUAAAAUAGUAAAAGAUUAUAAUGGACACAUCGCCAAGUACCAUCGCUCCAAGUCCAACCAGAGAGGCCUCUUCAUGCCAACACGUAUGGCCAUGACAAAGUCUAUAAGGUUUUUCUAGUAAAGGCACACAACCAUGAUGUUACAUAUAUAUAAAUUGGGGAAAAAAAAUCAAUGUGUCGCUCUAGAGUUUUCCCUCGACAAACAGGUCAGCUCAGCAUGUGUGGAACAAGCACAUUUUGUUGAAGAUAUUGGCCUCAAGUCUACCUUAGACAAUAGUAGGGACCAUAAGAAUAUUGGACAAUGCUACAUGAAAAUCAAACCUUGUCGGUCCAGCUUUUCAAAUAUAUGAAUGACUUUGACACUUGGAUUUGUUCCUUUGUUGUUGACUGAUGCUGGUAAAACUAUGUUUAAAGUCCUGCUUGAUCACUCAAAUGUUUGAUGUUGAGUUUGAGUGUUCUCAUUGCAUGUUAUUCCAAUUUAUGACGAGGACAUGUCCAAGUUGCACCACUAGCGUCUUCUUCACUCUGGGAUAUGCUCAUCCUUGUCCACUGGUAUGAUGCUUGCUUAAAUGCUUCUAUCUAGGUACUCCAUGACAAUGCGCUAGUCUCAGUUGAAGUUUCCCCACGGCACUUUGCGCGUUUCUUGACCCAUUCUUCUUUGAGAUCUCUUUCCUCACCCUUGCUCCGAGCACAAACGAGUAUAUAUACUUUUCCCUAUGAAUCUUGUUUCUACACAUGUCCGCUCGAAUCCUAUAUGGUACAGCCAUGGAUAGCAAAAACAGUAGUCCAUGGUCGUUCAUACUCCCAAUUUUCUUGCUUUGCUCAUCUCUGUACACCUACCUCUGUCUUGGCACAGACAAGCUCGAUGCGAAUCGAUCUAUAUCUGGUAAUCAAACCUUAACCUCCUCAGGUGGCCACUUUACACUUGGCUUCUUCUCGCCGGGUAACUCCACGUACUCCUACAUAGGCAUCUGGUACAACAAAAUCAGCGUGCAAACCGUCGUCUGGGUCGCCAACCGAGACAACCCUAUCACUGACAGGCAAUCCACUGAGCUGAAGGUCUCGGGUGGCAAUCUUGUGAUUCUUAACAACUCCGAAGUCCCCGUUUGGUCCACGAAUCUGACUGCUUCUUCAUCUGGAUCGAGCUCCAUGGUGGCGGUUCUUGAGGACGACGGCAACUUCGCUCUCAAAGCGGCUCCGACUUCUUCUGUGACUCUGUGGCAGAGCUUCGAUUACCCAACGCACAUGUGGCUUCCCGGUGCCAAAUUAGGGAUCGACAAGCGCAAAAAUAGGAGUCAGCUCUUGACAUCAUGGAAGAACGCUGAGGACCCUUCGACAGGUUUGUUCUCUCUCGGUCUCCAGCCAUCCAGUGAGUACUACGUAAGGUGGAAUAAGUCUGAGCAUUACUGGGAGCAGUGGGGCGUGGGACAAUCAGACGAAAAGUUCUCUUGGGUCCCUGAAAUGAGAUUGAACUAUAUUUAUGAUUUCAAGGUAUGUGGGACAAUGAGAACGAGAGCUACUUCACCUAUUCAAUCAAAGGCUCCUUCAACACCAUAUCAAGGUGUGUCGAUGGACCUUUCUGGGCAGGUCAAGAUGGGUCCUGGUUGCCUUCCAAGGUGUGGACCUUGUUCUGGUCUCAGCCCCCGCAACAAUGCAUGGUGUAUAGACUUUGUGGGCCUUUCAGUGUUUGCAGCGAGCAGAGUGAAGAUUCGUGCAGCUGCUUGCAGGGAUUUAGCAUAAGCUCUCCAAUAGAUUGGAAUCGGAGUGAUUGGUCUGGUGGUUGCAAGAGGAAUUCGAACUUAAAUUGUGCAGCGAAUGCGGAGAAAGACCGUUUCUGGCCUAUGUCUAACAUGGAAUUGCAUGAUGCUCCCCAAUCUUUAGUUGCAGGGAGCGAUCUGGAAUGCCAAACUGCUUGUUUAAGCAAUUGCUCUUGCACGGCUUAUGCUUUUGAGGAUAAUGCCUGCUCAAUCUGGAUUGGGGAUCUCUUCAAUGUGGAACAGCUCAAACAAGGCACUACCCCUGGAAGGAGUUUCUAUGUCCGGCUUGCUGCCUCUGAAAUUAAGGAUCCCAGCAAGAAGAGUAACGUAACUGCAACAGUGGCAGGGUCUGUUGGUGCCACGGUAGCAAUAUUAGCCAUUGUCUCGUUUGCCGUUUGGAGAUGGAGGAGAGGGGCAACUGUAACAACAAAAAUAGUGGAGGGUUCACGGAUAGCCUUUGCAUACCGGGACUUGCAAGUAGCAACAAAGAAUUUCUCAGAGAAGUUGGGUGGGGGUGGGUUCGGUUCAGUUUUCAAAGGAACAUUACCUGAUUCAAGUAGCAUAGCGGUCAAGAAGCUUGAAAGCAUAAGCCAAGGUGAGAAGCAAUUCCGAACGGAAGUAAGCACAAUCGGCACUAUCCAACAUGUGAAUCUUGUCAGGCUUCGCGGAUUCUGCUCUGAAGGUGACAAGAGGCUAUUGGUCUACGAUUUCAUGCCAAAUGGUUCCUUAGGCUAUCAUCUCUUUCAUAGAAAGGACUCGAAGACCUUGGAUUGGAAAAUGAGGUACCAAAUUGCUUUGGGAACAGCUCGAGGUCUGGCUUAUCUCCAUGAGAAGUGCAGAGAUUGCAUCAUACAUUGUGACAUCAAGCCAGAGAACAUCCUUCUAGAUGCUGAAUUCUGUCCAAAAGUGGCAGAUUUUGGCCUGGCAAAACUUGUUGGCCGAGAUUUCAGCAGGGUGUUGACAACCAUGAGAGGCACAAGAGGGUAUCUUGCGCCGGAGUGGAUCUCUGGAGUGGCCAUAACAGUAAAAGCUGAUGUUUAUAGCUAUGGGAUGAUGCUUUUUGAGUUUGUGUCGGGAAGGAGGAACUUAGAGCUAUCGGAAAAUGGGGCCAUCGAGUUCUUCCCAACAUGGGCUGCUAGCAAGAUAGCUGAAGGAGGUGACCUGCUUGAUCUUUUGGACCCAGACUUGGAGAAAAACGCUGAUACUGAAGAGCUAACUAGGAUAUGCAGAGUUGCUUGCUGGUGUGUCCAAGAUGAGGAAACUCACAGGCCAACGAUGGGGCUGGUUGUUCAAGUACUCGAGGGGUUGUUGGAUGUGAACCUGCCCAGGAUACCGAGAGCCCUUCAAAUGCUUCUUGAUAAUCAGGAGCAUGUAGUUUUCUUCACUGAGUCGUCAUCAUCGAACCAGAAUUCCCAGACGAAUAGUAACACCUCAACUUCUUCCUUGCAGAACCCAAAUAGUUCAUCUUCGACGAAGUCUGAGUCUUGAGGAUGAUAAGAUAAACGCUUAGUACAAGAAGUGCUUCAGUUAGAUAGUGCAUAUGCUCCUCUGCUUUUUCUGUAGUCAAGAGCGAAUCUCAGCAUUUGGGGAUUGGCUUUCUUGGGGCUUUUUCCCCUAGCUAUUUAUGUUGCACAUAGAUACAAGCAAGCUUGGAAUAAGUGCGCGGCCAGACCAGUUGUAAAGACCCUUCAUUCUAUAUAAUGAUCUGUUGUCUGCUUUUUGAGAUCCCACGUGACAUUGGUAGUUAGCAUCUAAAACUGUCAUCUCCACUUUCAAAUGAUUUUGGCACUGGAAUCUGGAUCUAACGUAUCAGUAACUCCUAGCUUGGAUUGCGGCUGGUGUCUCAUCGUUCUCGAAUGUGCCCUCAUUGCAUGCAAAGUAGGCUAUAAGGCUCGGCAUUUCUCAGUAUAAAUUCCUCUUGCUAGCUACUUUGUUUAUUUAACGAGUCACGGUAUGAAAAUCGCCCUUAAAACUAUGACUUGCUAGGACAGGGAUAUAUAUGCGGAUAAUUUCCAGCUAGCAGAUCCUUUUGUUGGAGCUGUAGGAUGUUAAUGCCCGUCCCAUUUUUCACAUGACAUUCAUAUCUCUUCUAAAGUUGAGUUUUCAUGAAUCGCCCCAUAACUUUAUGCUUCGAAUAUGUGUUAUGCUAGAGAUUACUCGAACCUUUUAGCAAAACUAAUUUUAAAGUGAUGUAUGAGACUUCUGUUGGGUGCUUCCAUUCAUUUGUUUAUUGCUUACCCUUUAAUAUUUGUGACAUUGCUUUACAAGUUUUGUAAAACCAAAUUCAUUAUCUCAACAUUGCUCGUUAAAAAUCUCCACUGUUUGUUCAGGUGGGAAAUUUAUUGAGUUCUCAUUUCAAUCAGGUUGAUCCAAACAGUAUUUUCCAUUGCAGUGGGAAAUUGUUUUGGAAGGCCUAGCUUUGAUUUUCAGUUCAUAAUCCAUCCAUAUCAAGGCUAAUCCAGUGGGCCUUUGCAGUACCAUAAUCCCCUCAGUUUUUCCAAGCUUCCCCUCAUUUGUUUUUCCUUUCUACCAUUUGCCACUUUUUAUUUUCCUUUUUCCCGUACACAAUUCUUAAAUACUUUCGAUCUGACUAUCGUUUCACUUUUCUUGCUGCACUUAUUUUACUCUAAUCGUGGAUCCUUCUCUGGUGCUAUAGGUGCUAUUAAGAUGUCUUAACUUCCUUCAGCAAUAAAAAAGGGUGUAAUCUGCUUAUAUCUUUAUUUAGUGGUGUUUCUACAAAGUCAGCGCUAUCUAUGAUCAUUUAUUCGAAUUUGAGUUACCGAAACAAAUCCGACUAAGAGGAAUUGUAAGAGACUAAGUCAAUUAAGGAAAUUCCUAAAGCCGGAUAUUUGUGGAAGUCGGGAAUGGAAAUUUAGAUUUCAUAUUUGGCGUCGGAGUCCAAUGUGCAUAUUUGGACCUUAAGUUGCCGAUUUGAUAAUCAAAAGACCAGAACUUGUAGAUUACGAAAAUUAAUUUCUGCAUGGGAGUCGGUCAACACAACAACAGAAUAAGAAAGUUCGGAGUUGGACUUAGUUUCCUUUUUCAAUCAGUCAAUUUGGCUAUUAUAAACGGAAUAAUACUACAAAAAAUUUGAAAUUGAUAUACUUAUGACAAUUUUAUCUAAAUCUAUUUUUUUUACCACAAAAAACUCAAAUUUGUACAUCUAUCAUAAAUUUACCUCAAACUAAUUAUUUGACCAUUAAAAAAAUCCUAAACUAGUACAUUUGUAACAAAUAAAGGGUAAAAUCCCAAAUUGAUACAUCCGUCAAUUAUCAUGUGUCAUCCAAUUCAGCAAUUUGAUAGUAACAUUUCAAGGAAACUAACGGGGGGGGGGGGGUAAAUUUGUUACAGAUGUACCAAUUUGAGAUUUUUGGCUAUCAAAAAAUUAGUCUUAGGUAAAUUUUUCACAAAUAUAUAAGUUUAGAAUUUAUUGUGAUAUUAAUCCUAUAAAUAAAUAUUGAGUUGUGGGUUACUCCGUUGGUUAUGAACAAAUAUUGAAGCGCGGUUUUGAGUGAGUGUCGCGGGAGUGAAAUAUUUGUGAGUGACAUCCCAUUGGUAUUAGGGGCUUGGCAGCGGGCUCUUUGGGGAAUUACUUCAAUAGUUUAUAUGUUGAACUUAGUUAAAUCUUGUGAUAAAAUUGGUUUGAUAUUUUGGUGAGAUUGAGAGAUUAUUUUGUGAGAAAUUGUGAGACUAAGUACUAUGUGAAAUAUUAGGUGUAAUUGGAGUUUGGAAAACAUUAGAGUAUUUAAGUAACUCAAGUGUAAUUGUAAUUUACGUAGUAUGGCUUGAUCUAUCAUGGAAUUCUUUACUACUCUCCCACGAAUGCAAGACACAACGAUCAAACCAUAAAAUCCGAUAUUUGUUAUUUUCAUGUUUGUCUAUUUUAUUGUUCGAUCACUUAGAUUCCACAAUCAUUUAAGAGAUCAAGGCAUUGAUAAAUGAUCUCUCAACUUUUGCUCAACAAUCAAAGUCAUUCCUUUAAUUUUUUAAAGGGAAAAAUUCACAAAAAACUCCGAAUUUUGUCCACUAUGGCAUAUUUACCUAAACUACUUUUUGUGACACUAAAAAUCCUAAAUUUGCACAUGUGUGACACAUUUAGCUUAAUUUUUUCAAUAAUUGUAAAAAUUUCAAACUUAUAUUUGUGUGACACAUUUACCCCAAAAAAAUUUUGUGACACCAAAAACCACGAUUUCUUCUACGACACGAAAUUUUAGGGAUAAAUAUGUCAUAAGCAUAUAAAUUUGGAGUUUUUGGUGUCACAAAAAAAAUUAGGAUAAAUGUGUGACAAUGGAUAUAGUUUAAGGGUUUUGGUGAUUUUACCCUUUUUAUUUUAUAUGAAACUGUUCUUGCACAUAGAGUGCCAUUGGUCGUCCUUUUGUUGAAACACUUCUAGCUAUUUUCUAAUGUGAACUUUUAAUUUAUUUGUUGAUGUGGAUUUUUUUUUUUUUUUUUCGUUUUUACAAAUGUCGACCUCAUUUGGUUCAAUUUUGGGCAAAUGUCUUUGGGAAAAUGCAAAUACAUUUAGACUAAAAAGGCCUUUCGAAAUACAAAUAGUGUUUGGUAAAUUAUAAUUUUAAAAUGUAUUGCAAAACAACUUUAACUUAAAUGCAGUUUGGUAAAAACUACAUUUUGCAUAAGACUUUUAUUAAUUUUUUUUUUAAUCUAGCCACCGACGGCUAGAUCUAGCCGCCACCAGCCUCACCUGAGAUCAUGCAACCCCAGGCAACGCCUAGAGUUCGCAACCUAGGUGGCCGUUUGGGUCGUGACGCCCUAUGAAGUACGGACACGUUGUCUAUGCUUCCGUGUCGUGUCCAACACGUGUCGGAGGGUGUCGGACACAUCGACACGUAGUCAACACAUGUCAUAUUUUCCGACACGCGGUCAACUUUUGCCCGACACGUUUGGACAUGCGUGUCCGGUAGACGAUGGAGGGUGGAAGCAAUGGUGAGGAAGCAGAGACGAGGCCACAAGUGACAGCGAGCCCGCGGCGGUGAGAGACGGCCAAAGAAAGAGCAUAGAUUGAGGCGAGGGCCACCAUUGUGAUGUUGCAAUGGAUCCGAUGAGGCUGCAGCUGUGAGGGAGAAGGCCCGAAGGCGAGAGGAAGAGGAGAGGAAGGCGGUCGUGCGAUGAGGAGGAGAGGAGAGGAAGGGGGUCGUGCGGCGAGCGGCGAGGAAGGAGAAGGAUCGAGAGGAGGAGAAGAGGAAGGGUUGUGCGGCAAGCAGCAAGGAGGAGGAGGUAAAGCUAGGGUUUUUUUUUAUAGGAAACUCAAAAGUAAUUAAAAAAGGGGAUGGCCAUCAUGUAUUUUGGGGGGAGGGGAAGUGACGGGAUAGCCUGUCUGUCAGUGGUGGGAAAAAGAAAGUGGUGGGAAAUGGAGAGGGAAAGAAAAAUAAAGUGGGGGGAAAUGGACGACGGUGGGGAGGGAAAGAAAAAUAAAUUUGGGGGAUGGACGAGGGAAAUAAGAUUUCUUUGUUAUUUGGAAAAAUAAAUAAAUGAGAUUAAAAAAUAAUUUUGAAAAAUAAAAAUAAUGAAUUUGAAUUAAAUUAAUUAAAAAUAAAAAUAUUUAUUUAAUAUACAACGUGUCCCAACGUGUCGGAAUUCUCUAUUUUUAAAAAAUGACGUGUCGACGUGUGGUGUCAUAUCAUGUCGUGUGUCCAUGUCGUGUGUCGGUGCUACUUAGGUGACGCCUAGGUUUGCACGGCCCAAACGCCUGCCUAGAUCACAAACUCCAAGCAACCAUUGUGACAUCCUGAUUUUUAGGUUCUGUUUUCGAUUGAAUAAGUUGAGUCUUUCAUCGACGCGCUUAUAGUGCUAUUCUUUGGGAUGGUCACUCACGAGAUAACUAUCAUAUCCGGUGAAGUCGUUAAGGGAUUUUAACGCAAUAGAUUUGAGAAUUCGACCAGAAAUCGACUGCUUGACCGUGCUAAUUUGCAAGGGUCAUUGCAGCAUUAUCAAAAUCGAUUAGAGAUCAGGGAUAUGUCGAUUUGAGUGAGAUGUGUGAUCAAAGUGUGGAUGAUUCCACCUGAUUGCAAAAUUCUCGUCGAUUGGCAUUAGACCAAUUUUCUGUCGUUUUGGGUAUCAUGUGCUUGUAUUUGAAACCUUGAGAUUUUCACGACAAUCGAGAGUCGCCAAUAAGUCAACGAUGUACAUUGUGACUCGAGAUAAAUCGAUCAUUGGUCAAUUGUAUCAAAAAUUCUUGAAAUCUACUCGAUAAGUUAGGUCAUGCUAAAAUCGCGUUAGAUUGAAAUUAAUCGUGAAUUUAAACCCGAUUUUAGAAAUUAAAAGUUCUAUCAUGUCGCGAUUUAUUUUAGAGACGUCGACUCAUCUUUCGAGGAAUUUUCGGCGAGUUCGAAAUUUUUACGGAAAAUCAAUUCAAACGAUUCGAAAUCGAAAGGAAAUUCUGAGGGGCCAAAUUAAGUGGACGUUUGGCCUCCUUAGUGAGCUAUUUGGCGGAGGGAAGUUGUGGAUUUUGUGUGGGCUUCUUCCCCAGCAAAAUUGGAUAUCAAAUUGAAGAAAUGAAAGUCCAAUUGAGUGAAAUUCGUAGGCAUGGGGGCUGCAACUUAUGGACACCAACCUAACUAUUUGUGGAAUUUAUGUGCAUAAAAGCUUGGGGGACAUUAGGGAUGUGCAUGAGAGCUUGUGGGACCAAAACUUGGUGAAUAUAAAAUAUUUUAUCUAAUUUUUCCCCUUCCCCUCCUUCGUUCCCUCCAUUUCGCACGUCUCUCUCUCUCUUUCUUUUUCUUAUUUUCGCAUGUCCUCCCCUGCUGCCAACAAAACCCCCUGCAGCAGUCUUCAUUCAUGUUUUUAUCCUUUGACUUUCGGACCCCCCUCCUUAUCCAUCCACGCACGUCUCUCUCUCUCUCUUCCAAAUCUUUCUGCACGUUCUUUUCUUCUCCCCCCCCCCCCCCCCCAAAGCCGACAUCUCUCUUUCUCCUCCCUGCUCCUUCAUGCGGCCAACUCCUCCACGCUCUCUCUCCCUCCACCGAACCCCCUUCAUUCUCCAUUUUUGCGCCAGCGUUUCCCCCCAUUUCCCUGCCACAUGUCCGUCUCCUUCCCCCUUUCUCUCCCCCGCAGCUACCACAAAAGCCAACGACUUCGGUCAACUCUUGGCGCCUCCUCAUGUGUCCAUCUCGCUACAACGCCAACACCACCGAAGUCCUUCACGCCAGCAGCCCCUUCCGGUUGUUUGUUCAGCCAGCUCAGCCCAUCUAGCAUCCACGAGCUCAACAGCCCGCGUCUCUUCAAGUUCCAGCCGCCAGCUUCGCAUCUUAGCCCAGCCGCAGCCCCGUGUCCAGCCCUCAACCCCUGAACCAGCAAUGGGCAGAACUGAAGCAACCCAUUCAGCUCAAUCGUGAGCUUUGCGAGGCCGAUUUCAGCCUCGGUUUGGCCUCCUUUGGUGUCACCGCUUCGGAGUUUGUCGUCCGUCUCCGCGUCGUCAUCGCCAUGGACUCACCGGCCCACAUAUCCGGUGAGUUUACUCACUAAUCUCUGCUUAGGGAGUUAAUUAUGCUUAAUAGUUUAUUAGUUUAGAUUAAGCUUGGAUUAUGUGAUUAGUUAGAAUAGAUUAGCAAUUUAAUCGUUUGAUAUUACAUGUUAGGUGGUUAGAGUAGUGUAAUUAGCAAGUAGAUAGGUCGUAUUAUUUAUUUAGAUAGGUUCUUAUAUUUUCUAGGCCCGUUUCGGUAUUUAAUUAGGCUUUUCCGGCCUAAGUUUAUAUUUAUGGCAUUUAUUUGUAUUUAUUUAAUUAUUUAUUAUUUUUUGGAAAUUAUAACGGGAUAACCGAUGGCCGGAAUUUCGUGCUGAUUGUAAUGGUGUGUUCAGUUUAUUUAAUUGAAUGCUAGGUUGUGCAAAUUGAGUGAGAAUUAUAAUUUUGGGUAUUUAUUCCAAAAUUGAGUAAUUUCGAUAUUUAAUUGGAAAAUACUGGGCGUCGGUCUACAUCACCAAAAAUGUGAUUAUGGAUUAUUAUGACUAGUGAGAAUUUCUAAAGGAAAGAUAUUGAGGUUUUGACUCAGGCCAACCGUGUACCCACACACGACUAUUUUAUUGGGUAUUUUCAAUGUGGGGAUUUAUUAGCUUGAGUGAGCUAAGGUCGUUUUAUCAGCUUGAGUGAGCAUGAUAUAUAAUUAUCAACUUGAGUGAGCUAUCUAUUUAAAUAUCAACUUGAGUGAGCUAAGAUCAUAUUUUGCAACUGUCAUGAAUAGUGAUAGUAUCAGAGGAUAAAGAUAUGUGGUAUUGAAAGGAUAGAUAGUACGGUUGAUGUGGACUUGAGCUAAUUGACUGGUUGAUCGAUGGUUCGAUUUGAAUUGAGUAGAUUGGUUGAGUUUCUGUACUAUAUUGAAUUGCAGGAAGAAACUAAGGCAAAGGUAAGUCAUCUAUCUUACGUGUGCCUGGAUAGCCUUUAGGCAUAUUUCCUUCCUAGUCGGAGCAUAGGAGGUGAACUUGCUGAGACAUCGUCUCACCCCGUUGUGGGAUAACAUUUAUAGGUCCUUAAAUGAUUGUGCCACCCGAGCGUUUUGGCCAAUCGAAGAAGGUUACCGAGAAGCAUUCUGAGAUUCCACUCCCUAGGAGCCAAGAAGCCUGGGUCUAUGAACUCGUGAGAUCCACUGUCUGGGUUGAUGUGAGUCUACCCCAUAAGGUACCCCAUAAAUUCAUAUCGUGGUAUUGUCAUGGGCGAAAUGGACCCAGAGAAGGCCCUCUUUUGGAGUUUGAGAUUCCUAGGUCGGUGUUGGAGAUCGCUUUUGGUAAGGGGAUGACCGACCCUCCUGGUGGUUCAGAGGUAGACUUGGAUCCUUUAGAUCCAGAGUCCCCGGAGUAUUCAGUUGAAGACUCGAAUGCUUAAAGGAUCUGUAGCCCUCUACCCUCCCCUUUUUGUAGACCUUGUAUAUAUAGGCUAAUAUUGUAUAUGACAUAGUUUGAUAUAUGUAUAUAAGUGUGUUGUGAUUUUGAAAAUCUGUGGCCUUACUUUUCUAUCACAUCCGGUUAUUGUCUAGGGAUUUAUUUAUUCGCUUCCACAUGCACAUUAAAAUGAAUGGGUUGGCAACGCGUCUUGGGACGUCGCUAUUUAAUCGACCAUUGAGGGAUGAGCACGUGCUUGGAGGAUCGGGACGUGACAACCAUCGCCUAGGUCACGCGAACCUAGGCAACCGUCAACUGGCUCACACGAACCGAGGCGACCACCUCCUGAGGUCGCAUGACCUUAGACGGUGGCCGCAACCCUCAAGCGGCGGUUGCCAAGUCCAACGACCCCUCAGGCAACGGUUGCCAGCGCGAGCAACUCCUUGGUCAGUGGUUGUCGGCCUCCAUUUGUUUCCUUGGAGAAGAUGAACAGUACCUAUGGGACUCACAUUCCAAAUAUGCAACUUCCCAAAGUACCUCCGAAACUACUUUGGUUAAAAGCCCUUAGAGCCAUUUGGAGAUGUAAUUGUAUCUUGCCAAAGUCAUCCAAAAAAUUGAACCAAACACGUUUGCAUUUGGCCAAACCCCUUUAGAGUCCAAAAGCCCUUUCCAAAUGCCGAACCAAACGGGCCCAUAGACUCUUCCUCCCUCCCUCCCUCCCUCCUGUGGGUUCUUCAUUUUAUUAUGAAAACAAAAACCCACAAAACUAUUAUUUGUAUCUACUCACGACUAGCAAUUGAGUAGUUAUGGGCUAUGAGCUCCGUGGCUCAUGACUCGAGUGAAUGAAAACGCUGCAAUAUUAAAGCUCAUGCGGCAAUGCCAUAAGCUUGAAGAUCAAGUAGCCAUGGCUCAAGCUUUGCAACUCAAAUAGACAUCAUGGCUAUGGCCAUCCGUGAGCUUGAGCAUGAAUGGCCAUGGCCAAUGCUAACUUAGAGUUGGAGCCCACGGUAAUGGCGGGUCAUAACGGAGCUCUCUCUCAAUUGUGUCAUUUUUUUUCUUUUUAUGUUUAUGUUGUCUCAACACCUAUGUGGCAUCACGCUAUGUAAGCAUAAUAUGGCAGGAUACAUGUGUUCCAACAUCCAUGUUAGUAAAAUUUGAUUGGUAAGAGAAAAAAAGUACAAUAGAAAGAUUAACCGUGACACUUUCUAUGUAAUAUAAGAGCUUUGAGAAAAAAUAAAUAAAUAAAAGAAGAGGGUUUGAAAAGUCAACAAAAGAAGCUGAAGGAGAAGAGUGGAAGCUUGGGCUGUUUUUAAAGAGAAGAGAGAGGGAGGGCUUGGGUAGAAAUGAAACAGGGGAAAGGAAGAAAAAAAGGGAAGAGAGAAAAGAAGAGAAAGGAGAAAGAAGAAAGGAGCAAGGGAAAAUUUUUGGCGCGCUCAUGACCCAGAAGCCUAACUAAGCCAACUUAACUCCGUUUUGCAACGCUGGUAAGUGAUUGAAGCCUAUAAUCAUCUAUUCAAACAAAUCGUCACAAUUAGUGCUCAAAAUUUGGAUUUCUUGGAGAUUUGUGUGGCGAAGUCUGAUUUUUGAGUUAUUGAACUGCGUAAUUUUAUAGAAAUGAUAGUUUAUGGUGUUUUGAAGUUAUAGCAUUUUACGAAUUGUGAUUUGAGCUUACAGUUUGCCCAUAAUGGAAUUUUCAAUUUUGGCGUACAUUUUGGAAUAGUACCAAACGAUAUCGAACAAUAGCUUUGGCUCUAAAUUUUAGCAAUUUUCGGUGAGAUUUUGGGAUGGCUAAGUUGGGGUUGUUGUAGUGUAUCAAGAGAACUAUAAGAUGGCUUGAAACGGAAUAUUAUAGAGGAAGUUAUGGUGCGACAAAAUUUAGCACGCGAGCCAUGCCUAGCGGACAAUAAUAGGUUUCUGCUAAAUACGAGCUUUCAUUGGCAUGUAGGUGUUGUUUUAUCGACAAAUAGGCUUAGUAUAGGCAAGUCGUUGUAAGAAUUUUUUUUUUUUUUACGCCGCCUUUUGAUAUUGUUUUUCGGUUAAUUGUUAGGGAUCCAAGUGCGUCAGUUCAAGUAAGCGUCGUAGUUGGUUUUUGGGUUUUUCCUAGGUGAGUGACACUAUUUCUUCUUUGUGUUUUAAACUCAUGUUUUGAAAAAAAAAUUAUGGAUUAUAUAUGCCAUGAGUAGAUAAAUAGCAUCUUUUGUUGCAUAAAACGGGAUCAAGAUUUCACUGCCAUUUUGUUGUUGAAAGAGAUAAUUAUCAUUUGAAUUGAGUUUGAAUGAUUGUCUAAAAAUGGUUUGUGAAACCCUUUAUUAAAGAAUUUCGAAACGUCUGUUGUGACAUUCUGAUUUUCGAUUCUGUUUUCGACUAAAUGAAUUGGGUUUUUCAUCGACGCGCUUAUAGUCUUUUUCUCUAAGCUGAUCACUCAUGAGAUAACUAAUUUAUCAAGUGAAGCCGUUAAGGAAUCUAAAUGCGACCGACUUGAGAAUUCGAUUAAAAAUCGACUGUUCAACCAUGCUAAUCUACAAAGGUCAAUACGUCACGUUAAAAUUGACUAGAGACCGGAAAUGUGUCGAUUCAACAAAGGCAUGUAAUUAAAUGGUUCGUAGGAGUAAAAUAAUUCUCUCAUUAUUUUACUUAGGUGUCUAAUCGACCUACCAUAAACCGAUUAGUGGCAACUUCUAGAUAAUAAUCAUUUGUAUGUUAAAUAUUUGAACCUUAAGUCAUGAAUUGGUGUGGGGCUUAGGAGAGCCCGAGCUAAGUUUAAGGACUUAGUAGUACAAGAAUCCACUGUGAGACCACUAUUUGGACACAUAGUCCACGUACUGUAAUGCCGAACUUGAACCUGAAGAAAGAGAGGUAGAAGAAAAUUGAUUUGCCUGAUCAUCGGUAAGCUUUUGAUCGUUAUUAUCACAUAACGACCCCCUUGGUUCAGCAUCCAUUGAAGGACAGCGUUUCGUCAACAAUGAGUUUCGAACUGAACUACUUCUUUUCCGGUGGAUUGUCCGAGCCUGCGAAAAAAAAAAUGGAGAAAAAUAAGUACAUACAGAAACCACUAAAAUGUUCUCACGUAGUUCUCAGACCUAAAGUGACAUUUUCACGAUAAUAAUAGUUUCUUUCGCAACAUAAUAUGUAAUCCUCGUUGGACAUUUCUUUAAUGGCACAAACUAGAAAAACGAAAAUAGUGGGAUAACAAACCAAAGCGGUGUAGAAGAGAGCGGACUUCAACAUGCGCGAAAAGCUAUGCUUUCUCGAUCGAGCAUACGGUGGUUUCACGCUUACUCUCUCAUUGUCGUCCUCAUCGAUCAAAAGAUGCAUGAGCUGCUUCCGCCUACGCCUGGGCUCGAGCAUCAUGUCCUCGAUGACGGGCCGUCUAAAGCAAUGCAAGAACUUGAUCCUCGACACAUUCUUCAUGGUCUCUCUCUGACGUUUCAUGCGUUGCAAAUCGCAACCCACGUUUCGGACUCAAUGGAGAAAAGAAACGAGGCAGGAAAAGAUGGGGAGGCCACACGUUAUUUUUGGAUGGCUUCGAGUCGAAAGGCCAUAGAUUUAGUGUAGUUUUGGAUCACUUGUUUUCUUUUCCUUUGGUGCAAGUGUAAGUACAUGAAGACAUCUCUCUUUAUAUAAAUAUUUCUAUUUCCAGAGUGAGAAUUACUAUCGGCUGGUUCAAGGAUUUAAAUGCUCGAAUGAGAAGGUCAGAGAAAAGGGCAAAAGCGGAUAAUGGCUUACUGCCGCCGAUGGACAGACAAGUAGGAGGAGAGGGUAUGACUACGCACGUCUUGGCUUAUGGUUUUAGUGAAGAGAAAUGGCUUUAAAUUUAAUGUUCCUUAUGAUCGUCAAAACAUCUCUAGAUAAUUAAUCUCUGAGUGGGGUAAAAUGUGAUAGUCGUCCUCCAAGGAAUUCUAAACUUAUUCCUUUUGUUUAGGAGUAUCCAAAAAAAUCAACAAUUGCCCAGAAUCAGACCAAACCCACCUAGAACCAACGGUUCUCAUGGGAACCGGUCCGGUUCCAAGGAUGGAACCAUCCACCUAAACUGGACCGGUAUAUAUAUACCAGUCAAGUUUUCUAUCAAUUCUAAAGUCCUAGCCAUGGACUUGCUUCUUUGAUAUCUUAAUGAGGACAAUGAUGCUCUCUUCUUACUGUCCAAAUUGAGACCCAUCUCAACUAUUGUCAUCAUCCUCCCUUCUGUAUCUUUUCCUUCAUUAGGAUCACAUACUAGUUUGGUGUCCAUACAACACACAUUAGAAACAUUUUGGCUUUAUUCCUUCCUCUAGAAGACCGGUUCCAAGGAUCCACCCAAGAACUAGAUUGGUAACCAACGGAUGGUUCUUGGUUCUAGGGGGGGGGGGGGAAUAGCCCACUGCCCAUCUUGGAACCAACCACCCUUGUAUUCAAUUCGAGAAAUGUGUUGCUUCUUCAAAAUCCUAGGGGUGCCUUGCAAAUGCUUGUGCUAAUAAGCAUUUUGCUUGCAUGCUAGCUACAAGCCAAAAGUUCCACCUGCUUACACAAUCACAAGAAAUCGAAUCAUGCCGUUUCAGUGGGUGGAUAAAUGCAAUGGUGGUUUGUGGCCAUUCGAGCAGAGAAACUAUUGUCCGCUUUAGACACUAAGUCCUCACGGUUUUGUUCGAAAACGCAUAUUUACAGUUAACGCACCCUCGUUGUGGCCCCACAUGUUGCGGGAGUCAGCAUUGAUACCACCUGUAAGGACUCGGGCCUCCACUGUACACAUAUUGUCCAUCCGCUUUGGACACUAAAUUCUCAUGGUUUUGUUCUUCUUAGGGCAGUCCAUAUUACCCCAAGAAAACGCGUAUGUACAGUUAGAGGAAACCAAGUCUUAUAAGCUAGCCCAGGACUUCCCCCCUAAGAGAUGUGGGACGGGAGACAUGCCCUUAGCCUCGCCCACGUACUACCGAGGCAAUCUUAGUCCGUCCCUCCGUACUUCCCCGGGUCUAGGUCUCCAUACUGCCCCAGGUCUGGAAGAUGAUAAGGCUGAACAGGUUGAGAUUGUUAUCAGGCCUUGACCUAGUAAAGCAUCUGCUUAUGGAGCCAAUGACUCAAGGAUGAAAAGAAGCCCAGUGCGAAGUGUGGAAGAGAGGAAAGAGGAGUAUGAUAGAGCACGUGCUCGUAUCUUCAGUAGCACAAGUGGUUCUGAUUUAGAUGAUACAUUUUCUCAUACCUCAACUGACCGGAGGAAUAUAUCUUUGAACAGAGAUGAUAAUUGUUGGAAAAAUAUGGCUUCGAAAUGGGUUGAACAAUGAAAUCGGAUCGAGUAAAACAACUCGGACUUUGAGGGGUGAUAUCACUUUCUUUAAGGAUUUAUUUGCCCCACAACGUUGCUAAUGGUCACCGGAAAAAAUCCUCCAGGAUACAACAAAGUCUCGGAUGAGAAUACUAGAUAGCAAUUCUAGUAUUUCUCCAGGGUCUCUCUAGGAAAACAAUCAAAAAAUUGGCUGUAGUUUUUUCAUAAAGAAGACUCGAAAAAUGACCACUUUUUCUUUCCGAAAAAUGACAAGUACAUAUAUGAAACAGUCUUGCAACUCUUCGUGAAAAUUGCCAAAGAAUGAACAAACACAUCUUUUAGAAAAUUGUUCGGAUAAACAAAUGCGACUCUUCGGAAGAAGUCGAAAACUGAACAAUUACAACCUUUCAAAAAAAAUUGCAAAACCGAAUAAGUAAUUUUUUUCCAAAUGUUGUCUUGAAAAGACACAAAUAAAAUUCAGAAUAAUAGUUUUUUUUUUAAAUAGAAUUUCGAAUUUCGAAUUUUCGUUUUAUAUUUCAUUUCCGAAAAUUCUCAAAUUAAAAGGCAACCUUUGAAUUAAAUAAUAAAUAAUAAAUAAAUAGCAAGGGAUUAAUGCUAAUUAAACAGCGGGUGUGCUAAGUGCACCAAAUAAUCGCACACCCACACGCGGGUAUGGUGGGUCUAGCCCCACCCAAUCAUUCCUUUAAUUACAAAAAGGAAUUCCCACAUUUUUAAAUUGACCCAGUUGCUCCCACAUUUUCUAUGUGGGACAAAGUAAAAAGCACUCAUUUUGUUUUAACAAACAAAAUUCCAACAAUAAUGAAGUGUGCAAGAUUCCCAUGGUGGAUGUUGAUAAGAAUACAGGCAUUAGAGAUGGCAGCACACAAUCUAGGGUACCCAUUCUUAGAGAUAGAAAAAGAUCGUUCUGACCUAGAUUAUGAUCGGAGUUAUGAAAGGUAAGGUCUUUUUUGUUCCAUUGAUAUCCUACUUUUGGGUUAAUACCCUAAAAAACCCCAAACUAGUACACUUGUGACAAAUUUACCCCAAAUUAUUUUUUUGACCAUGAAAAACCCCAAAUUGGUACACCUCUGACAAAUUUACCCUGAUUGACUGUUAAAAAUCCUAAACUUGUAUAUUUAUGACAAAUUUACCCCAAACUAAUUUAUUCGGCAAUAAAAAAUCACAAACUGGUAAAUUUAUGACAAAUAUAUCCUCUCCUAAAUUGGAUUAAUACCACAAAAAAAAUUACAAAAAUUGUAAAUUGUGACAAACGGAGCUUAAAAUCCUAAAUUGGUAUAUUAAUUAACUGUCACGUGUCAUUUAACUUAAUAAUUUGAUAGUAAAAUCCUAAAGGUAAGGUCUUUUUUGUUCCAUUGAUAUUCUACUUUUUGAGCGUGAGAUCAAUGUGACUGGAGUUGAUCUCAGCCUCGAUUUAAUCCUUUGAUCAGCUGUUUUACUUCUCAUUCAAAACAAUUUAUCAUAAGAAGCACAGCAAAAGUGGUGACAUAUUUUAGUAUUCAUCACUUUGUUGUGAAAAGCUGUUGAUAAAGUUAUUUACAGGCAUAUGCUGUCAAUUUGAUGUGUAACUGUUACAAUGACACUUGUUUUGCUUAGCCUUCUCCCUUGACCCAAAAAUAUGUUUUUGUGUAGCUGCAACAUGGCAUUAUGCAAUGCUACCUCAAUAUUGGCGUUUUGUUUGAUGAAUUCCGUAUUGGAACAGGUACGUUAGGAAUGUCCCUGCUGGUCAAAGUUUUGGUUUGGUGCCCUUCAACAUGCAAAAGAUUCAACAUCCUUUUGGGCAUUUUGAUGCUGGAUUUACUCCUCUUGGUCAGAUGCCGAUGCCUCAAGCUUCACUUUGUUGGAGAAAUCUUCUUGAAGUGUUUUGAAGUUGACAAAACGUUUCUAUCAGUCUAGUCUGAAGGCUUGCAGACUCUGUUAUUUAAAGUCUGAAGACCUCCGGAUAGCCAGACUCAAGACUCAAAGUCUAUCCUCAUUGACAGUCUCUAAUCCAUUGAAGAAAGGUUAUCCAGAACUGAAUGUUUCGUUAAGGAUUUAACUUUAUCAACUGGAUAAGAUCUCGUGGCUGGAAAAGACAUAACGGAGUCCUUUGAUUGAUCGAAGAUUGACUCGAUAAUUGAAGAUCCGGUGAUUGUCUAAAUAUUAUUGGAAGGUGCUACUUAUGGAUCGAAGAUUGUAUGGGCGAACAGGAUUGAUGGGCUAUCAACACGUUCCUUUAAUAGCUUGAAUAAUCUUCCUAAUUGAUUCCAUCCAACGGGUAGAUUGGAGGAAUUCCUUUGGUAAGUGCCAAUGGGUAUGAUGGCAUAAAGGAGUAUAUAAGGAAGACGGUCUUAGUUGUUCAAGGUGUACGCUAUAGAAGAAUUCCAAAGUCUGAAGCUCCUUUUUGUUUAGACAAUUCAUUUGAGCGAAUACUUGUAUACAAAAGAGAGUCUAUAUUUGUGAGAAAUCUUGAGGAGGUGUGGUAGAACAUCUACACUGUGGAAUCAAGGCAAAGCUGUGCUGUAACUUCUCUUUUGUUCAUAGUGGAAUCUAGCCAAUAGGCUGUCAGUGAAGAAGAGUGGACGUAGGCUUGAUAUAAGCCGAACCACUAUAAACCGCGUGUUCAAUUUUCUCUUCUCUCAGUCUUACUUUGAUUAUCGUUUGUCUAAAAUCCAUCAACUGUCUAGUAUUGUGCGAUUGUUGAAGAAAAAUAUUUUAUAUACCUAUUCACCCCCCUCUAGGUACUCAUACUAGCAAUAUCACACUUAACUAUAUGCCUCCUUCUGGUGCUGUCAUGAACUCUUUUGGAGUGACGGGAUUGAAUCAAAAUACAAGUGAUGCUGGGUACAUGCAAUGGCCUACUGCUGCAAUGAUGUAUGCAUACUCAUAUGAUCAACUCCGGCAUGGUGUUUUCCAAGUAAAAAUAUCCUAUUAAUCUAUCGAUUUUAGUAGCCAUUUGAAGGGAAGCUUAGACUGCAAUGAAUUUACUGUUUCUUAGUCAUAUAAUCAGAUUGAGUUUGUUUUUCAAAGCUUUAUCUUUAUUUUUUUGGGUUCUCUUGGCAAUUCUUUCAUUUCCUACAUUGAUGCCUUGUAAGGACCCAGACUGGACCUCCACUGUACACAUAUUGUCCGCUUUAGACACUGUUGAUGCCUAAAUUUCAUUUUUUUAAUUAAUUAUGUUUUUUAUAUUUAUUUUUUCCUUUUUCGGAUAAUAAAUAAAAAAAAAAGGAAAACAGAAGCAGCAACCAAGGCCUAGCCCCCUUUUCUUUCUUUUUUUCCUCCACGCAGGCCUAGGGCCCGUCCCUCUUUUUCCCAAAUCCGGCCCAGCCCCCUUCUCUUCUUCUUCUUCUUCCUUCUUCCAUCUUCACCUACGCCUCUACAACUCACACACACAGAGGACACCGACGCGCAAAGGACGGCCUACGACCGAGGAGAGUAGGCCGACGUCGGCUGCAGAGGAUAAGAUCUCAAGCACCAUUAAUGCUGAGCGAGCUUCGCUGGAAAGCGUCGGAUGGGACACUGGUUCGGCCGUCGGGGGCCGCUUGGCGCGCGAGGGGGACCGGCGGUCGAAGUUCCGUCGACCGGCCACCCCCUCACCUAUAAAUAGCCCCCAAUGUCGACGACGAAGAAGACACAGACAGAUCGAGAGAGGGAGAGUCGAAUCCAGGGCUUGCAAACCUCGGACCACCCACUGAGAGACUUCAGGGGAGGUCCGAGGUCGAACGGCCAAGGAUCCGAGGCUCGCCAGAGGAGAGGGUAGAGAGAGAGAGGGACGAUUCGAAGUCGCAAGCCUCGGGCACCCCACCGAGAGACUUCAGGGGGGUCCAAGGACUCGCGGCCGCGGAUCUGAGCCUCGCCGGAGGAGGAAGUAGAGAGAGAGAGAGAGAGAGAGAGAGAGAGAGAGAGAGAGAAGCUGAAGGGAAAAGGGGGUUCACGUGGGUAUCGCCGCCCUCGUCACGCCGUUGCCAGGUAGCGUGCUGUCGCCGUCAUCGUCGCCGUCGCCAUUUCCCUCUCUGUAGCCCAGCCCUCGCUGCCGCCGCCGUCGUCGCCGCUACGCCUCAGCCCUCUCCCCCCUCGGCGCCGCGAUUCAGAAACCCUAGGGUUCUCGAUUUUCCGGGUCGUUGGGUCAAAUCCGGGUCGGGAACCGGGUUGGGAUUCCGCGAUUUCGGGGGCGGUGGGAAUCGGGUCGCGAGCCGGAGCUGAGUCCGCGUUCGGGUUGCCGGCCCGAGUCGAACCCAACCUGCAGAUCCAACCUGGGUCGGCCCUUUUUUUAAUUUUAUUUUAAAUAAAUAAUAAAUAAUUUAUUUAUUUUCCAAAAAAAUCAAAAAAUAUAAUUUAUUUUCGAAAAAUUUUAAAAAAUAUUUUAAUUCCCAAAAACCAAAAAAUAUUGAAAAAUAUUAAAAAAUAUUUUAUUUUCCGAAAAAAUCAAAAAAAUCAAAAAUAUUCCAUAUAUCUCCAAAAAAAUGCCAAAAAUCCAAAAAAAACCAAAAAUUCAUGAAAAAACCAAAAAAAUUUAGAAAAAGCCAAAAAGACUUGUAUUUUUCCAAAAUACCAAAAAAAAAUCCAAAAAAAUCCCUUUUGUCCAAAAAAUUAGAAAAAGACUCAAAAAAUGUUUUUCCUCCCAAAAAUGCAUGGAAAAUCCCUCGAGCAUCCAAAAAACCUCAGAGUUUAAACAAGAUUAGGUACCGAAAGGGCAUUAGUGAUUAACUAGUGUAAUCAAGUCCCCGAUCCUAAUUUCUCUGGUUGCGCAGGAGCGAGUAUUUCUCCCAAUAAUUCGCUUAGGUUUCUAAUCGACCCACCCCGAACCAAUUAGUGGUGACUCCGUUUUAAAAUUAAUUUACAAGUUAAAAAUUUAAACUAUUAAAGUCGUGAAUUGGUGGACUUGGGAGAAUCCAGGCAUAACUAAUUUCAGCCGAGCCAUUAGCCUCCGCCGACGCCCGUACCCAAUUGCGGGCGCCGAAAAAAAAAAGAGGUCACGACAGCUUGGCGACUCCGCUGGGGACUUUGAGGACUUAGGCCAUUUUAUCUUUGUUUAAAUGCUUUGCUGACUUGGAUUUUUUUUUUCUUUCUUUUGUGCAGGGUAAUAACUUAAAUUUUUUUAUUCUGUUAAAAUAAAAUGUUUCGUGAUUAUAAACUGUUGUGCAUCCUUAAAUGUUUUAGCACUACACAUGGCACACACAACCCGGCCGCCGGACCUGGGCCACCAUAGGAUAUCUAGGAUGGUGUCAAGAAAGAUACGACCUCGAACGCAAGACUGCGAUGUAGAGGUUGCCUUUCUUUUCCCCGAAUUUCUUAGCCGAAGUUAGGAGGGUAUGCUGCUAACGCGAGACUGCGACGGGCGGAUAUCCUUUUAAUCUCAACAAACCUUCUCAGUUAGAAAUCGAGCCACACGCUCCAUGCGCAUGUCUUUGUGCUUGCCAUUUUUCUUUAAAAGUAAAAUAAUUUCUUUACUUUUACUCAGUCUUUUUAUUUGGCCCAUGGCAAUUUCGGAUAAGCUUUUCAAGUCUCAGUCUAUAUGCAAUGGGAAAGACGAUAUCCAGUUCAUUCCUACUCCCAAUGCAGAGCUCUUCAAAUGGUGGGGUCAAUUAGAUUAGUUUGCCCAAAAGCGUGUGAAGGCCAAAGUCGGUCAUCUCCUAUCGUUGAUCCAAAUCACUGUUCGCCCUGAAGUCAUACAAGCCAUGGCACAUUUCUAGUGCCCGAAGACGGUUACUUUUAUGUUUGGUAGGUUUGAGCUAACCCCAACCCUGGAAGAAUACAGCAUCAUCACUGGAAUGCCUCUUGAGAAAAAGCUUGUCAAGCCAUCAACAGGCAUCAUCCCGCUGCGUGGGUUAGCGCGGCUUUUAAGAACUGAAGUCCAUACUAUGAUAUAAAUUCUUGAAGAUAACCAUAAUACCUGCCCACUAGAAUUUAUGAAUGCAUGUUUCCAAAAUCAGCCUAUGAUCCAAAAAAGUGAAAUUUUCCUCCUGGCAUUUUUCGGACUCAUCAUCUUCCCCCAUCAAAUAAAUGACAUAAGUCCUAAGAUGGCAUGGAUAGUUGAUCAAAUCUUGAGAGGGGGGAAUUAUGUCAACAUGAUUUUAACUGAGACAUUCUUAUCCUUUAAUCGUUUUAAAGACAACACAAAGAAAAUCAUGCGAGCCUCUCCUGAAAUUUUACAAGUCUGGUUCUUUUCUCACCUAAGUGAAUUUCGAGACUUCAUGCGAUCGUCUGAAAUGAAUGCUUUCGAAAACCCAUUACAAAAAUUUAUGGCUUUAGGACCAUACAUUCCCAAUCAAAGCUGUUUAAAUUAGGUAAACUUCCUAAGAGACCUAGCUCCUGAGGCAUUCCAAUGGUGUGCUAGUUGGUUCCAUGAAAAGAGAGCUUGUUUCGCUUACAAGCGUUGUCUCCCAAUUCUGUUGCUCGGCCUCACUGGCGCCGUUCUCUAUUACUCAUAUCGGGUGGCACGACAAUAUGGAGCCCUUCAGGAGAUCCCACCGCCUUUCAAGAGGAUGCUCCCUCCAAUUCUUUUCAACACAAGCCGUGACUACGCAUUCGAAAUUUCUACCGCUGAGGAAACCUGGGACAAGUGCCAUCACAAAAGGAUCGUGGUACCUAAAGGGCUUGAGGAAGAAGAAAAAGUCCACCACACCUCCAUGUCCUACAUCCACAACCAUCGUAUCCCGACAAAAUGGAAGCCAUCAGUCCCUCACUCAAUCAGCGAGAGCAACCAGCACGAGCAAGCAGAGCUCAUGGAGAGGGAUUUGGGAAUGGACUGGAUACACACCUCAGAGCCGGUCCAAGAAAGUAAGCAUCUGCGCAAGCGCAAGACUCCCCGUCGCAUAUAAAUUGGCAAUCAUGUGCCCCUUAGUGUUAAUAGUGUGAAAGUUUUGUCCCAUUGUUUAGAGACUUUUGUUUAAUAUCUAGUAUUUCAUUCUGUCAUUUCAAUUUCAAGUUUUAGAUGUUAGGAGUUGGCAGUCUAUAAAUCCUCUUUUGAUAAAUAAAAAAGCAGUUAGACCAUUGCCAUGUGUCAAUCUUUGUUUACUUUCGUACUCAUUCAUUGUUUUCGCAACGAACAGGUAAUUAUGAAUCGCCGGUCACCAAUAGCUCGCGAAUGGCCUCAUGCACUAGGGCCCGAUAAGAAUGAUGUACAAAAUUGCCUCAUUAACAUUGAAGACGGCGUAGGACAGAUGUCCAUUGUCCUUCGACAACUCUCAAGACAAAUGAACUCUACUCAAGCUGAGCCCAACUCUGUAGUUGCCCUAAACACCAUCAUGAUACCCGCAAAUUUGCCAGAAAAUAGCCAGUACCAUAGACAGUUUGAAAGGAUCAUGAAAAAGUUAAGCCAGCUGCAUGAACAGAAUCCCAUGGACCUGUCCAAGUACGCCGGCAUUGAGAUUCCUGAAGAGCUCAAAGCACCUGAAUGCGAAAGGUAUGUUGAUACCUCCCGCCCAGAGACCUACUUGCAGGCCUACCUGGUCCGAAGGAUGAUUCAAUCGUACCAAUUGAGCUUGACUGGCCCUGCCUUGCGAUGGUACAUUGUCAGGAAGAUUAGUCCCCUUAAAACCUGGAGGGAACUAAUUCAUGUUUUUCACCAAGAGUAUAAUAUUGACAUCACCCCUGACAUCAUCUUGCCCUACGAAGAGUCGAUGAUUGCGAAGCACGAGGAGCCGUUAGUCGCUGAGGUAAGAGAGGAGCAUGUCAAUGAAGCCUUGCAUAAUAAAUGGGUGACUGAGCAGCAUCUUAUUACUAAAAAGUUUCCCAGUAGGAAAGGCAAGGAGCCUUUGUACGAGAUCAAAGACGCAGAGCCUGUUCAAGACCGAGGCACGACAGGACAACUCCCCAAGCUUACUCCAAGAGCUAGGGUCCAAAGAAUACCAACCCCUAUCAACCUGGAAAGUGAAUCAAACAGUGAAACUCUAAUGUCUCUCACUUCCCUUGACAGAAUCGAGCUAGCAAAACGAAGGGCCCUACUCAAAAGAUCUAGACUAGAAGCCAAGAAAAGAAAGCCUAAGCAGAUCAAUGCAGCAUCUGUCGACGAGCCACCGCACCAAAGCUUCGAGCAUUCCCAAGAAUACAGCUUUGAAGGCUACCAUCCCCUAGAGUACAACCCUGAAGACUUCCCGGCCCUAGAAUACAAUCCCAAGGACUUCCAGCGUUAUUUCAACAAUGAAAAUGACGAUUCAUCGUAUAACUAUUUCCUACUCUCAUCCGCGGAUGAAGGCCCGUCAGAAGAGGAAGCAUAUGUCUUUAUCCGCUACGAUCCUAACGAAGUACUAAGCUCGUCCUCUGACCAUGAGGAUAGCUUCAAUACUUCAUCCUCAUUCGGAAAUUUUGACCAAGAAGAAAGUAAUGGGGUAAUCUCGGUAGAAUCCAACUUCCCUGAAAUAGAAAAAUUCACCACUACAACAGAUAUGCAGUGGGAAAACCAGUGGCCUAACCAAGAUACAUCAAGCCUGUCUUGCGCUCAUAGGAUCAUGACUCCUGAAGAGAUGUGGAUACCUAAUCUCCGUAAGUAUAAUAGCAACACUUGUCCAUUGGCUCAUUUGCAAUAUCUCCACGCUGAAAUGAAUCAGUACUAUAGCCCGAUGUCAUUCGCAACUCAGGCCUUUCAAGAAAGUCUUACGGGGUCUGCAUUACAAUGGUUCAUCACAGCAGACAUCUAGCUCAUGAGAGAUUGGAAUGAGCUGUCUUCUGCAUUCCUGCUUCAGUAUCAAAACCAGAUUGGGACCGAAGUGCUUUGUCAGAACUUGGUUCACUUCAGAAGAAGACCAAUGGAGGAUUUCCAAGCGUAUGCAAGGAGGUGGGAGGCUUUUAUGAUGCAAACUUACCAUCAACUGGCCAAAGAAGAAAUGAUAAAACUGUUCAUAGGGGCCUUACCUCGCAAGCAUCGUUGUUGGUUGCAUGGGUUGCACUUCCAUAGCUUUAAUGAAGUGGUCCUCUCAUGCGAAUACUUCGAGUCUACUGGAGGUGAGGAACUCAAAGGCGCUUGAUUUCGGAACUAACACUAUCAAAGCACUCCUUUACACAGGAGUUUUCAUGGGUUUUACUUGUUUUUAUAAUUUCAUGUUUCUUAUCUUGUCUAGUGUGCUACUGUUGUAUUUUCCAUUCCAAGUACUCUAUUGUACAGUUCUAAUAUUUUGUUUUGAGAGCAUGAAGUGGUACUCUAAACCUGCCCAGUGAUGCUAUCCAACCAUGAAAAGAAAAUAUCAUCCAAGGAGAAUACUGAGGGCCGGGCUUCCUCAUGCUUUUUUUUCUCCCCCAAAGACGUAUUUUGAAAAUAAAAAAUAUUUCAUCACUGAAAAGCUUUUGUCAAAACAAGAUGAUAAAUUUAAGUACGUUUGUCUUUCUAACCCUCUCACUUUAUGUUUCAGAACAUCAUCCCCUUUGAUUUAGUGUGACAAAAGGUAUUUGAAACUAGCACAUCGUGUGAACAAAUCAAAUUCAAAAGCACCCUUCCAAGAAAACGGGGGCAAACAGAAAGGAUCAUCACGUUUCAAAAUGGUAAGUCAUAUUCCCUGAACAUAAUGUUGAAAAUGACAUCCUCUCUCUUCCAUCUACAAGAGACGAAGGAUGGGACGUAAUAGGCACAUGCAUAUUAUCAAACUUGAAGCAUGCAUAGCAUGAUAACUCAAGGUAGGAUGUCGCGAGUUCAUUGACGGGACUUCCAGCUUCAACGAGCCAAGAAGCAUAAAGAAGAAAUUUCUUCUCUUCCUUUAAAGUGAUUACUGUCAACAUGAAGAAAAUCUAGACAUUCAAAGCGAUCUAUAGCCCCACACCCUGGACAAUGACUUUGGAAUCUAGAAACUUCACUCCAGACGCAUAUUCUUCCAAGGAGUAAUUGCCAUCAGAAAGCUUGAGAUUUUUGAUCUCAGAUUCCAUAGAAGCUUGAGGUACAUGACUUUUGCCCAAUGAUGCUAUAGUUAAAGACAGAAGAAAAAUUCCACAAAAGGAAGGCGUUGAAGAUGAAUCAACGACCAACAAUCAUGCAUACUGGUCACAAAAGAGGAAGGCCAAUUGAAGGAAAUAUUGAACUAUACCAAGACGAAGAGGCUGUCAUCAGUAUACAGAAACCCUUAGGAAUCAACAAAUACAAACUCUGGGGAAGGGUAAUUUGGUAUCGUUUCCAAUACUCCCACUAUCUGAACCUGCUUUUGACGUAUUUUCCCUAUUUAACAGGGAGCAUCACAACUCAAGAACCAAACUCAAUGGUUAGGUUUGGCAAAUCAAUAUUGGCCAAGCUAGUACGUGGAAAUGACCCACAUCAAAUUCACCUGGCUUCGUGUAAAAAGACAUGUCAUCCAGGAGUCAAUUCAGAGAAUAAUUGACCUAACAAAGCAAGGGACAUAGGACUUCGUGUCCCCCUCUCACUUCAGGUUCACCCAAUCAUCUGCAAACCAGUGAAGGGUAAAGUUGUAUCUCUUCCAGUUAUUCGACUCUUGAAAGAGUUCAUGACUAACACAUUCCCUCUUGUUUGUUGCAGGAUCACCUGACUGUCAAAAACAAAGAUAACAAAUCAAUGAGAAGCAUGUCAGACUCUAAGAGGCUCUCCAAAGAGAAAUGGCAUCCUGAGGGCAAAAAUAGAGAUGCCCGAUCAGAUCUCCAACCCCGGUUGAUCCUUCAUGUGUCAUAUCCCUAAUCACUAGGGAUAUCUAUCGACGCCCAUUUGCGAAUAACCCUUUUGAUAUUCAAAAUUUAACAUAUUUGGAAACACCAUUAUGUUAACUCCUAAAGUUGUCAAUAGAGUCUUUUUUGAGUCAAAACCAUUCACUUGUUUUGAAGAGUUCAAACUCCAUCAUAUUCAAAAUGUUGCAUGUCGUUUCCAGAUGAAUUCUGCAUGAUGAUUUUGCCUGUCUAAAUCACUAAUUCCACUAAGGAUUAUUAGAAUAGACAGCUAAGUGAAGAAUACAAGAUUAAUUGAGCAUGCUGGAUGAGGCGCGUCAGAAUGAUGACAGGCAAGCUAUAUCCUAUACACAGUUCCCCCCAUCUAUACACUUGUGAGAUGAGUGCAGAAGAUUCCGUGACUGCAGGGUAAAGAGUUCUCUCUCGAAUGGUACGAUAACCAAAAUAGUGAGAGGCAUUCCAUCGCUCACCCCAUUGAGCCCCAUACACUGACAAAUUUCUGCUAUACUCCCGUCAAAGAACCACCCCACACUGGGGCAAGUCGAAAGCAAGUCAGCAUCACAAGGUGAGAAAGAGGAUAGAAAUUUUCUUGCUUGCACUUGCAUCAAUCUUCGAGUGUCUUUAUUGCAUAUGAACACUCGCGUUAAUUUAAGUGCCCUAGAGUAAUGAAGAGCAAUUCUUUCUUUACGCACUUGUAUUCAUUGUACAACCCAAGUGAGUCUGUAAUUUUACCCUCACAUCAAGACAAAGCCAAAGUUAUUGCCAUAGCCUGAGCGCCGGUUGAAGAUGAAGACUCAAGAGUCUAAUAACGGUGCUUCGAUUAAACUUGCCUAGGCCAGUUCCUCCGACAACAAGAAAAAAAAAACAAGGGCAUAAAAAAGCAGUGUACCUAGUAAAAGCAAGGUCAAUGCCCAUGAAUGAAGAACUGGAAUAAAAAAAAAUAGGGGCAUUAAAAAAGCAAUAUGCCUGGUAAAAGCAAGGCCAAUGCCCCCCAGUCAAAAAUACAGCCAAGAAAAAGUUGUUGUGGUCCAUAGAACCUCCAUCUGACAAGAAAGACUAGUGACAAAUGCCAAGACAAUCACCAACUCUCACCCUCUUACAUGUGAGCCAAGUCUACGUUACAUCCCCAUUGUAAAAGUCUCUUCAGACUAUGGGCACUUCAAUUAACGUAGGAUUUCAUAUGUAUAUAAGCAUCGCUCGGAGAAGUACGAGCAAGAUUACUCUAUCUCUUUUCGCAGGAUUCUUGACUAAUAAACCCGGAGAUGAUCAUGCAACAUUUUUUCCAUCGGCUUCGACCUUGAUGGUCCCCUCUGAUGAGCCGCUGACCAAGACUUCAUCAUAGUUUCAACAAAGACCUCUCACAUUGGUAAAGUUGUACCGUUUGCGAGAAUACUCGAACCCCUGCUGACAUGAUGACAGUGAGAUAGUGUGGUCCUUAUAAAUCCUGCAUUAAUGGUCAGGAUAGCCUUUUCCAUGAGAGUGAGCGAAAAGUCCCUUCAGACUGAAAGUCCCUCAUCUGGCAUGCUCAAGACAUCUACAUUAUAAAUAAAAGUUGUCUUUCAAAAUCUUCCCCAGUGGAACUCAGAUGAUGCAAAACUAACAAAAUUGUCAUGCAUAAAUCACAUUUGAACUCAUGAAUUUACAGCAUACUGUGCAAAUAGUAGACAUACUCUCAGAGGUCAGAGAUAUUGCUAGGUAAGCAUAUCCCUAUCCCCAUUUGUCUUAAAGUACCUACCGCUGUCCAGGUACUCUCUUCUUGACACUCGACCUAUUCGAGUCGUCCCUUAAGUUUGGGUGCUUGCAACUGUCUAAGUAUCCCCUUGUCUUUAAGUACCCACCACUUGCCGAGUACUCCCUCUUAUUGACACUCGCCAUGUUCGAGUUGUCCCCAGAGUAUUGAUAUUUGCAACUGUCCAGGUAUCCCCCUAUUUUUGAGUGCCUGCCGUUACUCAAGUGCUCUCUCUGUUGACACUCGACCUGUUCGAGUUGUCUUUAAAGUUUGGAUGCCCGUGACUGUCCAAGUAUCCUCUUGUCUUUGAGUACUGGCCACCGUUCGGAUACUCCCUUUCCAUGACAUUCGACCUGUCUGAGUUGUCCUCAAAAUUGUAUCAUUGAAUACUAGUAGCCAUUCAAGUAUUCCAUCACAUUGCGCACUUGUGGUUACCCAGGUAUGCCUUCUUACACUUGGACCAGCCUGAGUGGUCCCAGAUCAUAUCAUUAAAUACUUGUAUUCAUCCAAGUAUUCCAGUACUUUGUACACUUGCGUCUAUCCCGGUGUUCCACCCCUUUUAAGUGCCUGCGGCAAUUCAGGUAAGCCUCAUACCACAUUCAAGUUUAUAAUACCAGGAGGUGAGAGACCUUCACGAAUAUGCGAGGCAUGCCCUCGAUAUUCUCAUUACCAGGAGGUGAGAGACCUUCACGAAUAUCUUAGGUACGCCAUCGAUAUUCCAAAUUACCAGGAGGUGAGAGACCUUCAUGAAUAUCCAAGGUACGUUCUCGAUAUUCCAACUGCCAGGAGGUGAGAGACCUUCACGAAUAUCCCAGGUACGUCCUCGAUAUUCCCCUUUACCAGGAGGUGAGAGACCUUCAUGAAUAUGUGAGGCACAUCCUCAAUAUUCCCAAUUACCAGGAGAUGAGAGACCUUCACGAAUAUGCGAGACCCAUCCUCGAUAUUCCCACUACCAAGAGGUGAGAGACCUUCACGAAUAUGCGAGACCCAUCCUCGAUAUUCCCACUACCAAGAGGUGAGAGACCUUCACGAAUAUCCCAGGUACACCCUCGAUAUUUCCCAAUUGCCAGGAGGUGGGACACCUUCACGAAUAUCCAAGGUAUGUUCUCAAUAUUUCCAAUUAUCAAGUACCCCUUCGAUACUUGUGAAUGUCCAAGUAUCCCCCAAGAAUUCAUACAUGUGAUCAUCCAAGUACCCCUUCAAUGCCUAUGGUCAGCCAAAUACCCAUUUUGACGCCUGCAAAUGCCCAAAUACCCUUCAGGUUAGUACUUGUGAAUAUCCAGGUACUCAUUGAUAUACCUGUGAAUGUCCAGGUAUCUUCCAAAAUCGAUGCCCUGAGAAAGGUCGGCGCAUCCUCCUGAGAAAGGUCGGGUUCCAACUGGUGUUUUCGACAGAAGUCAGACACCCCAAAAAUCGAUACCCUGAGAAAGGUCGGCGCAUCUCCCGAGAAAGGUCGGGUACCAACUAGUGUCUUCGAUAGAAGUCAGACACCCAACAAAUCGAUGCCCUGAUAAAGAUCGGCGCAUCUCCUGAGAAAGGUCGGGUACCAACCGGUGUCCUUGAUUAAGGUCAGGCACCCCCAACAAAUAGAUGCCCUAAGAAAGGUCGGCGCAUCUCCCGUCAAGGCGACCGAAGAAAGGUUUGGGUCCUAGACAAACCAACUUAUUGCUCUAACAAGCGACCGAAGAAAGGUUCGGGUCCUGGAAAAGAAAUUCCCCGUCAAGGCGACCGAAGAAAGGUUUGGGUCCUACACAAACCAACUUAUUGCUCUAACAGGUGACCAAAGAAAGAUUCGGGUCCUGGACAAAUCACUUAUUACUCUAACAGGCGAUUGAAGAAUGGUUCGGGUCCUGGAAAAGCAGCCUCCUCAUAUCACCAGGUAAGAUGACGCCUUGAUACUUGCCAAACUCGGGGUUCACACCCUAUCUCACUCACUCCCGGUAAGUAACUACAGGUAUCUUCUUAUCUGUCUUAGUAUGUGUAAAGUUAUAUUGCUCUUUUUCCAUAGAAUAAUAGAUCCCAAAUAAAAUACAAUCUGCUACGCAUGCAUGGAUAAAAUUUAGGCAUUAGUUUGUCUUUGAAUGCAACCUCUGCGAGCUCACCUUUAAAGAAGGGCAGCUGUUGACGCCUAAAUUUCAUUUUUUUAAUUAAUUAUGUUUUUUAUAUUUAGUUUUGCCUUUUUCGGAUAAUAAAUAAUAUAAAAAAAAAAGGAAAACAGAAGCAGCAACCAAGGCCUAGCCCCCUUUUCUUUCCUUUUUUCCUCCACGCGGGCCUAGGGCCCGUCCCUCAUUUUCCCAAAUCCGGCCCGGCCCCCUUCUCUUCUUCUUCUUCUUCCUUCUUCCAUCUUCACCUACGCCUCUGCAGCUCACGCGCAUAGAGGACACCGACACAUGAAGGACGGCCUACAGCCGAGGAGAGUAGGCCGACGUCGGCCGGAGAGGAUAAGAUCUCAGGCACCAUUUAUGCUAAGCGAGCUUCGCUGGAAAGCGUCGGAUGGGACACCGGUUCGGCCGUCGGGGGCCGCUUGGCGCGCGAGGGGGACCAGCGGUCGAAGUUCCAUCGACCAGCCACCCCCUCGCAUAUAAAUAGCCCUCGAUGUCGACAACGAAGAAGACACAGACAGAUCGAGAGAGGGAGAGUCGAAUCCAGGGCUUGCAAACCUCGGACCACCCACUGAGAGACUUCAAGGGAGGUCCGAGGUCAAACGGCCAAGGAUCCGAGGCUCGCCGGAGGAGAGGGUAGAGAGAGAGGGACGAUUCGAAGUCGCAAGCCUCGAGCACCCCACUGAGAGACUUCAGGGGGGUCCAAGGACUCGCGGCCGCAGAUCCGAGCCUCGUUGGAGGAGGAAGUAGAGAGAGAGAGAGAGAGAGAGAAGCUGAAGGGAAAAGGGGGUUCACGUGGGUAUCGCCGCCCUCAUCGCACCGUUGCCAGGUAGCGUGCUGUCGCCGUCAUCGUCGCCGUCGCCAUUUCCCUCUCUGUAGCCCAGCCCUCGCUGCCGCCGCCGUCGCCGCCGCCAUCGUCGCCGCUGCGCCUCAACCCUCUCCCCCCUCGGCGCCGCGAUUCAGAAACCUUAGGGUUCCUGAUUUUCCGGGUCGCGGCCUCGGGUCGUUGGGUCGAAUUCGGGUCGAGAACCGGGUAGGGAUUCCGCAAUUUCGGGGACAGCGGGAGUCGGGCCGCGAGCCGAAGCCGAGUCGAGUAGGGUUUCGCCAAGGGGAGCGGGUUGUCGGGUCGGGGUCGUCGGGCCGGGCCGGGUGUCCCCGAAUGCCCGGCCACGACACCGUUUCAAUAAAGUAAAAAAAAAAAAAGAAGAAAGAAAAAAGACAAAAAAAUCCGACUCAGGCACGCAUUGCGGGCCCGUCCGCGUUCGGGUUGCCGGCUCGGGUCGAACCCAACCCGCGGAUCUGACCCAGGUCGGCCCUUUUGUUUAAUUUUAUUUUAAAUAAGUAAUAAAUAAAUAAUUUAUUUUCCAAAAAAAUCAAAAAUAUAAUUUAUUUUCGAAAAAUAUUAAAAAUAUUUUAAUUCCCAAAAACCAAAAAAUAUUUAAAAAUAUUUAAAAAUAUUUUAUUUUCCGAAAAAAUAAAAAAAAAUAAAAAAUAUUCCAUAUUUUCCAAAAAAUGCCAAAAAUCCAAAAAAAAAACCAAAAAUUCAUGAAAAAGCCAAAAAAAUUCAGAAAAAGCCAAAAAGACUUGUAUUUUUCCAAAAUACCAAAAAAAAUCCAAAAAAAUCCCUUUUGUCCAAAAAAUUAGAAAAAAACUCAAAAAAUGUUUUUCCUCCCAAAAAUGCAUGGAAAAUCCCUCGAACAUCCAAAAAAUCUCAGGUUUAAACAAGAUUAGGUACCGAAAUGGCAUUAGUGAUUAACUAGUGUAAUCAAGUCCCCGAUCCUAAUUUCUCUAGUUGCGCAAGAGCGAGUAUUUCUCCCGAUACUUCGCUUGGGUUUCUAAUCAACCCACCCCGAACCGAUUAGUGGUGACUCCGUUUUAAAAUUAAUUUACAGGUUAAAAAUUUAAACUAUUAAAGUCGUGAAUUGGUGGACUUGGGAGAGUCCAGGCAUAACUAAUUUCAGCCGAGCCAUUAGCCUCCGCCGGCGCCCGUACCCGAUUGCGGGCGCCAAAAAAAAAAAGAGUUCGCGACAGACACUAAGUGCGUAUGUACAGUUAGAGGGACUCAAGCCUUAUAAGCUAGCCCAGGACUUCUCCCUAAGCGAUGUGGGACGAGAGACAUACCCUUAGCCUCGCCCACGUACUGCACCCUCGCUGUGGCCCCACACACUAUGAGAGUCAACUCUGAUACCACCUGUAAGGACCUAGGCCUCCACUAUACACAUAUUGUCCACUUUGGACAUUAAGUCCUCAUGGUUUUGUUCUUCUCAAGACAACCCAUACUACCCCCAAGAAAACGCGUAUGUACAGUUAGAUGGACCCAAGCCUUAUAAACUAGCCCAGGACUCCCCCCUAAGCAAUGUGGGAUGGGAGACAUGCCCUUAGCCUCGCCCGCAUACUGCCGAGGCGAUCUUAGUCCGUCCCUCCAUACUACCCCGGGUUUGGGUCAUUACAAAAUCUAACGAUUUUGCAUAUAUAACAUCUGCCUUUCCUAUCUACAUGUCGAGCAACCCUCUUGAGUCCACAAUUUAUGCAUCACCCUUUGAGCAUUAUCAUUAGAGUCUUCUAAAGAAAUAAGUCGGCUAAGCCUGUUAAAUGAGUGGGUUGAAUUGAGUCGAAAAAAUGUCUGACCCACUUAACCCGCAUUAACCCAUUUUUAUGCUAUACAAUUUUAGAGUUCUAUACCCAACCCGAUUAACACCUAACAUAUAACCGAUACAAUCCAUAUUACUAAAAAAAUCCAUAACUAACCCAAUUUAUGCAAACUCGUACCCAUUCGCUCAAACAACUUUAAGCCUUUCAUAUGAAUCUAUCAUUUAGAUAAAAUUUUAUAUCAAUUUAAAAAAUAAUAAACCAAAUAAAAAGUCGCCACUCGUUGUCGCUUGCCUAACCAACUCAGCUAACGUUAUCUCUCCUCCGUCCAAGCCCCACGCCGCUACUGUGGAGACCCCAAACAUAGUCGCCUCUCUCGCGCACGCGCGAUAUCGAAUAAGAGGUCGUGAACCUAUGUCUAACUUCACUGAUCAUUGUGGUUGUGGCAUCGCCAUGACCCAAGCCCAUCUAUAUAAUUUCUAUUUUGAAUGCAAUAACAAAGUAACCAAUGACAUUACUCGGUCAUCAUCGUAGCCAUUGUCAGCACAAUCACAUUAAUGUUGUUGGAAACUUUUGUAAAUUAAAAUUUUGAAUCUUAAGGUAAACAUUAAAUUAAGAAAAGAUCUAAAUUGUUUCCACCAAACGAUCUCCAAAGAUUGAUAAAAAUAAAAAUAAAAGUAAAUUAUAUUAAAGUUGCGCUCCAACAUCUCUUUAGAUGUGCAACAAUCUAUGUAAAUCACUGCAGAUAUGUACCGUGGGCCACAAGGGAGUACAACGUGCUUGUUGUUCAUAUUUAUUUGCUUCAGUUUUUGAACAAAAGCAAUCCAACCGAAUAUAUUAACAAAUUUGGACUUGCACUCUAUUCGUGGCCUGGUCUUUGGGCUUUUUUAUGCAAAGAAUGAAGAUGCAUUAUAUUCAGUGAGAUAUUGUUUGAUGCAGUGCAUAUUUUAUUCGGACCUGGAAAAAUGAUAAUAAUCCCCUGUCAAAUUUCAUUAUUUCUAUUGAAAAUCAGCCCAUACACUAGACAUUUUUUAGAUACAAACCAAAUAUCCUCCCAAGCGUACAUUCCUCCCAUCAAUUUUAUGAAAAACUUACAAUAUUUCCCAUCGUAGUUCAUCUCUCCAAGAGCUGCGCGUUUUGCUGAUUUUCCUUUCCAGUUUUCCUUUGAGUCAAGUCUCCAGACCUGUUUUCGUCUUAGAAGUCCAAGCGAGUAGAAACAUGGAUCGUUUAAGCGACCCAUCAUGACCCAUUUUACUAAGUCUUAACCCAUUUUGCCCCCACUUUGUUGCCAAACAACUUACCCAUUCUACAAGGGGCCAUUAAAUGUGAGUUGCAAAAUCAGUUUGUGAUUCAUUUUACCAGCUUUAGUGACCACACGGAUAAUUCUGAUCUAUGACCAAAGAUUUCGAUUUAUGGGUUUAUCAAUAUAGCUUCCUUUAAGACACAAAAUAAAGCAGUUUAACACGAAGUCACUUUUACCGUUUCCUAACUAGUAAGCUGAAGACCCUUUUCUGAUUUUAUUUGUAUCACCUUUUCUAAUGUAUAAAAUAAGUGACAGAAUCAUGUAAUCUCGUGCUGAAGCCAAUGUUUUGCUAUAUCAGGCUCAAUGUUAUAUGAUCCGACAGUGCCUAUAUCAUUGGGCCUCGCUUGGAUUCUGAUUAAUUUAAUACAUUGGCCCAUAGUCCUAAAUGGAUCCUACCAUCGUCAAAGGACGGAAAAAUAAGUGUUUAUUCCCAUGGAUUAAUGAGAUUUAAACAACGAAUUUUGGAACGGGCCAGCAACGACAGCCAUAUUUCUUUAUGACCGAUAUCUAUUGUUUCCACAAAAAAUAAAUAAAUAAAAUAAAAUAAAAUAAAAAUUGAAACCUUUCAAAAUAUCCAAACAUUGAAAAUAUAGAAUCAUAUGGAAUCUUUUCAAAGUAUUUUUGCAUUUAAAGUAAUUUGUUUUCAGUUUGAAAAUAUAGAAGUAGGGUCACGAAGACAAGUUAGAAGUAGGUGAAUAACACCACCAAAUAGCCCCUGCCUUCAUGAUACAAAACUUAAAUUUUGCUAGACUUUCAUCAAAGGUCACUGCAAUUUCCAUCUUGAUAAACCAGAUUGAAAAUGAAAUCGAAGCCGAGCUGCAAUUCUAGUGGUCCACUUGAAAGUGAGGAUAUAUGAUGUCAAGGAUGAUGUGAAGUACUUUCUGCAAGAUAAAAAUACCUUAAAUGAAAAAAAAGAAAUUCAGACGCAAGGGUUAGGACAAAAACAGAAAAUAGGAACUUGCAAAGCAUAUCAGGUUCACCUGUCUGGUCUUCAAUUUCCGUUCGGAAAGAACAAAAAGGAAAGAGAUUUUCCACAAAUAUAGGGUCAAAUUAACCUAAAUCUAUCAUUAGCACCAACCAAAAUUGAUAGUCAAGUGUAGCGAUGAAGCCACCAUAGUAAUGUUCCAAGCAUCAAGAGGACUACAUUGACACUAAUCCUGCAGAGAAAGUUACAUAUGUACGGAAAUUGAUAAAACCGUCAAAGCCUAUAAUGGACGCUACGCCAAGUACCAAUAGCUCCAAAUCCGGGAGGUCUCUUCACGCCAUCACCCGUAGCCAAGGGCCUAGGACCCACCGACACAGUCGAUAAGGCUUUUUUGAUAAAGACAUACAACCAAUGUGAUUCGUAUAUAUAGGGAAUAAAUCAACGCGGUAAUCUAGAGCUUAGUCCCUUGACUAACAAGUCGGUUCAGCAUCUGUGUGGAAUGAGGGCAUUUUGUUGAAGAUACUAACUUCAAGAUUAGCUUAGACAAGAGCAGGAAUAUCAAGAAAAUUGGACCAAGCAUCGUGAAAAGAAAAUCUUGUUGGUUCGGCUUUCCAAUGUAUGAAUGACUUUGACUCUUGGUUUCUUCCUUUGUUGUUGAAUAGAGCAGUUAAAACUGUGUUCUUGCUUUACCAAUGUCCAGUCCGCCUAUGUUUCAAGUCUAGCUUGAUCACUCAACGUACGAUCUUGAGUUGGAGUGCUCACUGCUCAGAUUCAUUGUAUGUUAUUUAGUUGGACCAGUAGCGUCUUCUUCACUCUAGGGUAUGCCCGUACUCGUCCAUUGGUCUCGGCAUUCGAACUUAAAUAAGACCUCUCGUAUGAUGCCGGCCUAAAUGCUUCUAUCUGCGUAUUCCAUGAAAAUGCCCUGGUCUCAGUAAGUUUCCACAUAUUACUCUGCGCGUUUUUUGACUCCUUCUUUGAGAUCUCUUACCUCACCCUCACUCCAAGCACACACAGAUAUAUACUUCCCCUGUGAAUUAUGUUUCUAAACCUGUCCGCUCGAACCUUGUUUGGUACAGCCUGGAUAGCAACAACGGUAGUCCAUGAUCGUUCACACGCCCAAUUUUCUUGCUUUGCUUAUCUCUCUGCACCACCCACCUCCGUCUUGGCUCCAACACCAUCUCCACCAACCAGUCCCUCUCCGGCAACCAAACCUUAAUCUCCUCUAGCCGCUGUUAAAGAGACAGAACAAAGAAGAGUAGAACAGAAGCUGAUAGAAGCAAAGAGGAGUAGAGCAAACUUGAAGAAAAGAUGAAAGAUGAGCUGGCCAACUAUAAAGAAGUUGAAGAAACAUAAGCUGACCUGGUGAUCCGUAGAAAAGCUGAGUUGGCAAUCCUUGUGAAGAAUCUGAAUAUACAAGCUGAUCAAAUGGAGCUGCACGUGUGUCACGUUUAAUCAUUCUGUUACUAAAGUUGUUAUUUCUGGUUUGCCCUUUAGUAUAAAAGGAUUUGAAGAAAACUGUUGUACGAGUAUGAUUCAUUCUGCUGAAAGCUUGAAUUACUCUGUUCUCUGAAUUUCCUCUGUUCUUCUCGAAGUUCUCUCUGUUCUUUUUGUAUCUUUGUUCUUCUUCAUAUAGCAGAACCUUGUAAGAUUGAAUGAGAAGAAAGGUUGAAGGAAAUAUUCAAUUGAUGUAUUGCAACUGAUUGUUCAGCAAUUACAGAAUACAGAAAUCUCUUGAAUACAGGUUCUUCUCUAGAUUCUGUUUCUUCUCAUGGUAUCAGAGCAUGUUUCCUGGGAGUUCUAGAUCUAAUAUGUGUUACUGAAAGUCUGUGUGAAAGAUCACAUGAACAAGACAUUACGAAGAUCUUGUUGAUUUCUCAAUAAGCUGAUUUUCGCAAUUUACUUGAUUGUUCCUCGCAUCUUCAAAGUUUCCUAAAGAAAUAGUAUGGCAACGAGAGUGCAGAAGUAUCCUUUUCCUAUCCAUGUGAAUAUAGCCAACUUUGUUACAAUCAAGUUGAAUGAAGAGAAUUUUCUGUUAUGGCAAGCGCAAUUUAGCAGGUUUAUGAAAAGUCAAGAUUUGAUUGGCUUUAUUAAUGGUGAAACAUUAUCACCUGCUCAAAUGAUGCAAACUGAGAUUGGAGAAGUGAUGAAUCCUGAUCACCUGGAAUGGACAAAAACCGAUCAACUAAUCUCAUCAUGGAUAAGCGGUGCAGUAUCAAAGAAUAUUUUAAGCUUGAUAAUUGGCUUAGAAACUUCAUUCGAGGUAUGGCAGGCUCUUAUAAACCGGUUUACUCAGAAGUCUGUAGCAAAAGAAUUUGAGUUAAGAUGAAAAUUACAGGCUUGUAGGAAGAGAGAUAGACCAUUAAGUGAAUACCUUCGAGAAUUUAAAACUAUCUGUGAUCAAUUGAAUGCAAUUGGAAAGCCUGUUGAUGAUAUAAUCAGGAUGUUUGGCAUACUUGAAGGGUUAGGUUCUGAAUAUGAAACCUUUAGAACAACCAUGUACUGUCUUAAACCCCAGCCAGAGUAUGAUGAGGUUAUCUCCCAACUUGAGAGAUUUGAAACUAGAUUGCAAACAUAUUCUAUGAACCAGUACAAUACUAACCUGGCAUAUUAUGGACAAAGAAAGACUGAAACAGGUCUGCAGAGGUUUAAUUCUAGUAAUCAAGGAGGAAGUAUUCAAGGGGGAUACAACUCUGGCAGAGGACAGUUCAUUAAUAGAAGAGGUCGUGGAAAUAAUUUUACUGGAACAGGAAGGAAUCAAUAGAAUACUCUGAACUUGACAAAGCAAUAUCAGGUCAAUAAGGGUAAUUGGUCUAACCAUGGACAAGGGUUUAGACCAUACACAAACUCUUCUCAGAGAUAUCAAGGUGUUAGAUCCUAUCCACCUCAAGGGUCAAAUGGUGAUAAGCUCGUACAAGAUACAAAGCCAAUGAAUAAUGGUCCUCUGGAAUGUCAAAUCUGUAAGAGAUCAGGUCAUACAGCACUUAGAUGCUGGUAUCGCUUUGAUAAUUCAUAUCAAGCAGAUGAAAUACCAACUGCUCUAGCAGCUAUGCAUAUUGAAGAACCAUAUGGCUCUGAAUGGUAUCCAGACACAUGGGCUACAUCACACAUUACAGCAGAUGCUGGUAUGAUUCAAAACUAUGUUGCAUAUAGUGGUAAUGAUACAAUUAUGAUAGGAGAUGGGUCCUAUUUAUCAAUCUCAUGUAUUGGUAAUGGAACCUUAAAUACAGCAACUAGUAUAUUACCACUAAAUGAUGUUUUAAUAGUCCCUGGUCUUUUAUAUUUGACAAACAUGGGGUAUAUAUGAAGGACAAUUACAAUCAUACAACAGUGAAGCUAGGAAGGAAAAUCAAGGGGCUGUAUCAAGUGGAAUCUAGAGGAACAGAAGCUUUCUUCACUCAGGCUCAACAUGAAGUAGGAGAAGAUGUCUGGCAUCAAAGACUUGCUCAUACCAGCUUAAAAACAGUAAAGAUUCUGCAGAGUCAACAUCUAAUUCAAUAUAAGUCGAAUGCUCCAAGUAUGUGUAGCAGCUGUCAAAUUGCUAAGAGCUCAGCUUUGCCCUUUCCUAUCUCAGAACAUAUCUCUAAUGUUCCUCUAGAAAAGAUACAUUGUGAUGUAUGGGGACCAUCACCAAUUUCAUCUGUUCAGAAGUUUCAUUACUAUGUCAUCUUUGUGGAUGAUUUCUCUCGAUAUAGCUGGAUAUAUCCAAUGAGACAGAAGUCAGAAGUAUAUGACGUGUUUGUUUUGUUUCAAAGACUAGUAGAGAAUCAACUCGAUCACAAGAUCAAAGUGUUUCAAAGUGAUGGAGGAGGAGAAUUCACAAACAUCAAAUUUCAUAAUCAUCUACAACAGUGUGGGAUUAAACAUAACAUCUCUUGUCCUUAUACACCAUAACAAAAUGGUGUCUCCGAGAGGAAGCAUCGACAUGUGGUUGAAUUGGGUCUAGCAAUGCUGUAUCAUGCAAGAGUACCAUUAAAAUACUGGGUAGAUGCCUUCAUGACAGCAGUCUAUGUAAUCAAUAUGCUCCCCACAACAAAACUGAAUAUGAACUCACCUCACUAUAAGCUGUACAAACAGAGACCAAAUUAUGCUCAUCUACGGGUUUUUGGAUCAGCUUGUUAUCCUUGCCUCAGAUCCUAUACAAAGCAUAAAUUUGAUCCAAGGUCUCUCAUGUGUAUAUUUCUUGGAUACAGUGAGAAACAUAAAGGCUACAUGUGUCUUUUGCCUACUAAUGGACGUGUCUAUAUUAGUAGACAUGUAGUUUUUUAUGAAAAAGAAUUGCCCUUUACUCGAAAAACUACUUCUGAAUAUCGACAAGGAUCUGAACUAUACAAGCAUUGGAUAAGAAGUUCAGCAUCUACUACAUCCAAUACUACCAAACAGAUUCAGCCACAAGCCAAUAAAUCAAGUGAAUCUUUGCAGAGUACUAGAUCAAGUCAGAUCACUCCAGAAAUACAGAACAGUGAGAUCAGCAAUGUAAAUCAUGCAGUUAUGCCACAAAUGAACAUAGUACCUAAUGCUGAGCUUCAGAUCACUCCUGAUAAUGCAUUCAAUAAUGUUGAAACACCUCAGAUAUCUCCAGAUAUUGAACAACAAGUGUCUAUCAGUCAGGAAUCUGACUCGACAUCUCCUGCUAACAUAGAACAACCACAAAUUAGUCCUAUAUCAGAAGUCACACAAGGUACAUUAUCUACUCAUCCUAUGCAGACUAGACUAAGAUCUGGGAUUAUUAAAGCAAAUCCCAAAUAUGCAUGUUUGGUUGAAUAUCAGGUUCCAAUUGAACCAAAGUCAGUAAAAUUUGCAUUAGCACACACAGGAUGGUGUCAAGCAAUGCAUGAAGAAAUGGAUGCUUUAUAUCAAAACAAAACCUGGGAGUUAGUCCCUAGAAAUGAUCAAAUGAAUGUUAUUGGCUGCAAAUGGGUGUUUAAAACUAAACUUGCACCAGAUGGCAGUUUAGAUAGACUGAAAGCUCGACUUGUAGCCAAAGGUUUUCAUCAAGAAGAAGGUCUUGAUUUCACAGAAACCUAUAGUCCUGUAGUAAAGCAUGCUACAACCCGAAUAAUUCUCUCAGUAGCAAUGGUAAAACAGUGGCCAAUUCAUCAGUUAGAUGUUAAAAAUGCCUUCUUACAUGGUAACUUGAGUGAAACAGUUUAUAUGGAACAGCCACUAGGUUUUAAAGAAUCACAGAGACCUCAUCAUGUUUGUCUUCUUAGAAAAUCCCUCUAUGGACUUCGACAAGCCCCUCGAGCUUGGUUUGACAAGUUCAGCAGUUUCUUACUAGAAUAUGGGUUAUUUUGUAGCUCAACUGAUCCUUCCUUGUUCAUUCUUCAUGCUGGUAAAGAAACAAUCCUCUUACUACUAUAUGUUGAUGAUAUCCUUUUAACUGGAAGCUCAUCUCAAGUUUUCUCUGGUCUCAUUACUGCUCUAAGUCUUCAGUUUCAUAUGAAGGAUCUUGGUUCACUACACUAUUUCCUUGGCAUUGAAGUUAAGCGUACCCCUGACCAUUUGUUCCUUUGCCAAGCCAAAUAUGCUAUAGAUCUUCUCACCCGAACCCAUAUGCUCGAGUCUAAACCAAUUUCAACUCCCCUUUCAUUAAGACCAACCAUUUUGAUCAAUGACUCUAUGGCCUUGUCAAAUCCUGCUAAGUAUAGAAGCAUUGUUGGUGGCCUCCAAUACCUCACCUUAACUCGGCCAGACAUUGCCUAUGCCACUAAUCUACUCUGCCAGAAAAUGCAGAAACCUACCAUUGCAGAUCUCCAUAGAAUGAAAAGAGUACUGAGAUAUGUUAAAGGUACAAUCCACUUUGGCUUAUUCAUUCAUUCACAAAGCACCAUGCAUCUCUAUGGAUUCUCAGAUGCAGACUGGGCUGGAUGUACUGAAACCAGAAGAUCAACAACUGGAUUUUGCACAUAUCUUGGCUCCAAUCUCAUCUCUUGGGCAGCAAAGAAACAGCCAACAGUUAGUAGGUCUUCUACAGAGGCUGAGUACCGUGCACUUGCAUUGAGUACCGUGCACUUGCAUCAACCACUGCUGAUCUCACUUGGAUCAGCUUUGUCUUACGAGACAUCGGUUGUUCUCUUACUCCUCCAAUUCAUCUAUACUGUGACAAUAAAUCAGCUAUCUCACUCACUGUUAAUCCUGUCUUACAUGCUCGAACAAAACAUAUUGAAGUAGAUUUUCACUUUGUUCGAGAAAAUGUAUCUUCUGGGUCGUUACAUGUAAAAUAUAUUCCCAGUAAUUACCAACUUGCUGAUAUCUUUACAAAACCUUUGUCAAGAAUAGCACAUUCUCAUCUACGAGUCAAAUUGGGAAUUUGUACUCUUCCCAUUCCCAAUUUGAGGGGGAUGUUAAAGAGACAGAACAAAGAAGAGUAGAACAGAAGCUGAUAGAAGCAAAGAGGAGUAGAGCAAACUUGAAGAAAAGAUGAAAGAUGAGCUGGCCAACUAUAAAGAAGUUGAAGAAACAGAAGCUGACCUGGUGAUCCGUAGAAAAGCUGAGUUGGCAAUCCUUGUGAAGAAUCUGAAUAUACAAGCUGAUCAAAUGGAGCUGCACGUGUGUCACGUUUAAUCAUUCUGUUACUAAAGUUGUUAUUUCUGGUUUGCACUUUAGUAUAAAAGGAUUUGAAGAAAACUGUUGUACGAGUAUGAUUCAUUCUGCUGAAAGCUUGAAUUACUCUGUUCUCUGAAUUUCCUCUGUUCUUCUCGAAGUUCUCUCUGUUCUUUCUGUAUCUUUGUUCUUCUUCAUAUAGCAGAACCUUGUAAGAUUGAAUGAGAAGAAAGGUUGAAGGAAAUAUUCAAUUGAUGUAUUGCAACUGAUUGUUCAGCAAUUACAGAAUACAGAAAUCUCUUGAAUACAGGUUCUUCUCUAGAUUCUGUUUCUUCUCAGCCGCAACUUCAAGCUCGGCUUCUUCACACCAGGUAACUCCUCGUACUCCUACAUAGGCAUCUGGUACAACAAAAUCAGCGUGCAAACGGUCGUCUGGGUCUCCAACAGAGACAACCCUGUCACCGAUAGGUACUCCACUGAACUUAAGAUCUCGGGUGGAAAUCUUGUAAUGGUCAACGACUCUGAAGUCCCCGUUUGGUCCACGAAUCUGACUCCUUCAUCUGGGUUGAGCUCCACGGUGGCGGUUCUUGGGGAUGAUGGCAACUUCGCUCUCAAAGACGGGCUGAAUUCUUCCGUGACUCUGUGGCGAGCUUCGAUCACCUGACGCACACGUGGCUUCGGGGUGCGAAAAUGGGAAUCGACAAGCGCACGAGCACGAGUCAGCUAUUGACAUCAUAGAAGAACGCCGAGGAUCCUUCGACAGGUUUGUUCUCUUUCCAGCUCGAGCCAUCUAGUGAGUACUACAUAUGGUGGAAUAGGAAUGAGCAUUACUGGACCACUGGGGUGUGGGACGAAAAUUUUCUCUUUGGUCCCUGAAAUGAGAUUGAACUAUAUUUACGAUUUCAAAGUUGUGGACAACGAGAACGAGAGCUACUUCACCUAAGUGUACACCAAUGCCAACACCAUAUCAAGGUUUGUGAUGGAUUUUCUGGGCAGAACAAGAUGGUGUCCUGGUUGCCUUCUUCACUAGCGUGGAACUUGUUCUGGUCUCAGCCCCAGCAACAAUGCGAGGUGUAGAGACUUUGCGGGCCUUUUGGUGUUUGCAGCGAGGGUACUGACAAUUUCUGCAGCUGCUUGCCAGGGUUUAGCAUCAGCUCUCUGAGUGAUUGGUCUGGCAGCUGCAAGAGGAUUCGGACUUGAAUUGUGCGGCAAAUGCUUCAAAUGCGGAGAAAGACCAUUUCUUGCUAAGGUCGAACAUGAAAUUGCCUGAUGAUCCCCAAUCUUUAGUUGUCCGGAGCAAUCAGGAAUGCCGAGCUGCUUGUUUGAGCAAUUGCUCUUGCACGGCUUAUGCUUUCAAGGAUAAUGCCUGCUCAAGUUGGAUUGGGGAUCUCUUCAAUGCACAACAGCUCGCACAAGGCGAUACCACUGGAAGUAGCUCCUAUCUCGGGCUUGUUGCCUCCACCGUUGAGGAUCCAAGCAAGAAGAGCAAUGUGAGUGCCGUGGUUGCUGGGUCUGUUAGCACCACGAUAGCCAUAUUAGCCAUUGUCUUGUUCGGCGUUUGGAGAUGGAGGAGAAGGGCAAUUGUAACAACAAAGACAGUGGAGGGUUCACUGAUAGCUUUUGUAUACAGGGACUUGCCAGUAGCAACAAAGAAUUUCUCAGAGAAGUUGGGUGGGGGCAGGUUCGGUUCAGAUUUUAAAGGAACAUUCCCGAUUCAAUUCACAUAGUGGUCAAGAAGCUUGAAAGCAUAAGCCAAGGAGAGAAGCAAUUCGGAACAGAAGUAAUCACAAUCGGCACCAUCCAGCAUGUGAAUCUUGUCAGGCUUCGUGGGUUCUGCUCUGAAGGUUACACAAGGCUGUUGGUCUACAAUUUCAUGCCAAAUGGUUCUUUAGACUAUCAUGUCUUUCGUAGAAAGGACUCGAAGACCUUGGAUUGGAAAACGAGGUACCAAAUUGCUUUGGGAACGGCUCGAGGUCUGGCUUAUCUCCAUGAAAAGUGCAGAGACUGCAUCAUAUAUUGUGACAUCAAGCCAGAGAACAUCCUUCUAGAUGCUGAUGUAUGUCCAAAAGUGGCAGAUUUUGGCAUGGCAAAGCUUGUUGGCCGAGAUUUCAGCAGGGUGUUGACAACCAUGAGAGGCACAAGAGGGUAUCUUGCGCCGGAGUGGAUCUCUGGAGUGGCCAUAACAGUAAAAUCUGAUGUUUAUAGCUAUGGGAUGAUGCUUUUUGAGUCCAGAGUGGAUCUCUGGAGUGGCCAUAACAGUAAAAUCUGAUGUUUAUAGCUAUGGGAUGAUGCUUUUUGAGUUUGUGUCGGGAAGGAGGAACUUAGAGCUAUCGAAAAAUGGGGCCAUCAAGUUCUUCCCAACAUGGGCUGCUAGUAAAUUAGCCGAAGGAGGUGACCUGCUUAAUCUUUUGGACCCAAACUUGAUGGCAAAUGCCAAUACUGAAGAGCUAACUAGGAUUAGCAGAGUCGCUUGUCGGUGUGUCCAAGAUGAGGAAACUCACAGGCCAUCGAUGGGGCAGGUUGUUCAAAUACUCGAGGGGGUGUUGGAUGUGAUCCUGCCCAGGAUACCGAGUCCUUCAACUGUUUCUUAGUAAUCAGGAGCAUGGAGUUUUUUUCACUGAGUCGUCAUCGUUGAACCAGAGUUCCCAGAUGAGGAGUAACAACCUAAAAUGCUUCCUUGCAGAAGCAAAAUAGUUCAUCUUCAACAAAGUCCAAGUCUUGAGGAUGAUAAGAUAAGAGCUUAGUACAAGAAGUGCUUCAGUUAGUGCAUAUACUCUUCUACUUUUUCUGUAGUCAACAAAGAAUCUCAGCAUUUGGGGAUUGGCUUUCUUGGGGCUUUUUUCCCUAGCUAUUUUUGUUACAUAUAUACAAGCAAGCUUGGAUGACCGGUUGUAAAGACCCUUCACCUGUAUAAUGAUCUGUUCUCUGCUUUUUGAGAUCCAAGGUGAUAUUGGAAAUUAGCAUCGAAAACUUUCUGAUAAUUUUGGCACUGGAAUUGGGAUCUAACGUAUUGGUAUCUCCUAGCUUGGAUCCCAGCUGGUGCCUCACAUGGUUCUCAAAUCUGCCCCCAUCGCAUGCAAAGCAAGCUGUAAGGCUUGGCAUUUCUAAUUUAUAACUCCUUUUGCUACUUGCUUGGUUUAUACAAUGAGUCAUGGUAUGAAAAUCACCCUUGAAACUACGGCUUGCUAGGACCGGAAUAUUAUAUCAUGAUAAUUUCCAACUGAUCUAUGUAUUACUAGCAGAUCCUAAUGUUGAAGCUGUAGGAUGUUAAUGCCCGCUCCAUUUUUCACAUAGCAUUUAUAUCUCUUCUAAGGUUGAGUUUUUUUAAUCACCUCAUCGCUUUAUGUUUCGAAUAUGAGUACUCGAACCUUUUAGCAAAACUGAUUUAUAACGUGAUGGAUGAGACUUUUGUUGGGUGCUCUUACUCAAUUUAUAAGUUCUGUAAAACCAAAUUCAGUAUCUCAAUGUUACUUGUUAAAAAUCUCUAUUGUUUGUUCUGGUGGGAAAUUGGUUGAGUUUCUCAUUUCAAUCGGGUUGAUUCAAACAGUAUUUUCCAUUGCAAGAGGGGAUUAAAUGCAAGUCCAAGUCCACUUUAAUUUAUCGUUGAAGAAGCCUGUUUUGGAAGGCCUAGCUUUUAUUUUUCAGUUCAUAAUCUAUUCAUAUCAAGGCUAAUCUUGUUCGGCCUUCACAAUACCAUAGUCCCCUCACUUUUGCCAAGCUUCGCCUCAUUUGUUUUUCCUUGUUGCCAUUACACCUUUUUCUUUUCCUUUCUCCUAUACACAAUUCUUUAAAUACUUUCAAUAUGAUGUGUUGUUUUUUUUUUUUUUUGGUAAGGUCGAUAUGAUGUGUUGUUUCACUUUUCUUGUGGUAAUUAUUUUACUCUUAUUGUUGAUCCUUCUCUAGUGAGGAAAAAAUACCAAAAAAGUCAUAAAUAUAUUACAUUGGUACCAAUUUAAUGUUAAACUUUUUCACAUUAGUACUAAUUCAGUCAAUCUGGCCAAUUUUGGUUGGCCAGUGUUGAUGUGCACGUCGACCAAAAUUAGGCUGAUGGACUGAAUUGGUACCAAUAUAAAAAAAAAUUAGGAUUGAAUUGGUCUAAUUAAAAGAUUUAGAACUGAAUUGAUUUCAAUGCAAUAGGUUUAUGACUUUUUUUUUUAUACUUUUCCCUUCUCAGAUGCUAGAGGUGCUAUUAUAAUAUCUUAACUUCCUUUAGCAAUAAAAAGACGUGUAAUCUGCUUAAAUCUUUAUUUAGUUGUGCUUCUACAAAAAUCAACCCUCUCUAUGAUCAUUUAUUUUAAAGUUAUAUCUCAAAUUUGAAUUCGUGAAAGAAAUCUGACUAGAGAUGAAUUGUAAGAAACUAGGUCAAUUAAGGAAAAUCCUAAAGCCGAAUAUUUCUGGACGUCGGUAAAGGAAAUCUAGAUUUCAUAUUUGGCGUCAGAGUCCAAAGUGCAAAUUUGGACCUUAAGUUGCCGAUUCGUUAACUCCAACAAAAGGCCAGAACUUGUAGAUUAUGAAAAUCAAUUUCCGCAUGGGAGUUGGUCAACACAACAACCGAACAAGAAAGAUCGGAGUUGGACUGGGUUUCCUUCUUCAAUCGGUCAACUUGGCUAUUAUAUACGGAAUAACACCUUGAAAAAUCCAAAAUUGACAUAUUUAUAACAAAUUUACCAAAAUCUAAAUUUAUUCAAAUUUGUACACCUACGAUAAAUUCACCUUAAAUAAUUUUUUUAACUAUAAAAAAUCUCAAACUAGCACAUUUGUCACAAAUAGAGAGUAAAAUCCAAAAUUGAUACAACAUUAAUUGUCAAAUGUCAUUCAAUUCAACAAUUUGAUAAUAAAAUUUGAAGGAAAUUAAUGGACGGUAAAUUUGUUACAAGUAUAUCAAAGUUUUAGAUAAAUUUUAUUACUGGUUCACGAUUUAUUAUGAAAUUACCAUAAAUAUAAAUAUACAAUUGUGGAUUGCUCCGUUGGUUAUGAAGAAAUAUUAAAGUGUAGUUCUUAGUGAAUGUCAAGGGAAGUUCUAUAUUUGUUAGUGACGGCCAAUUGGCACUGCAGGUUUGGUAGUGGGUUCUUCACGGAAUAACAUUAAUAGCUUAUGUGUUGGACUCAAUUAAAUCUUGUGAGGAUUUAUUUAAUUCAUUUUUGAGAUUGAGAUAUUAUUUCGUGAAGAAUUGUAAGUUUAAAUACUACGUGAAUUAUUGAGUAUAAUUGGAUCUUGGAAAACAUAAUAAUGUUUGAGUAAUUUGAGUCUGGUUGUACUUUUCAUUGGAUUUGCUCGAUCUAGAGUGAAUUCUUUGCUGCUCUCUCAAUUGACAUAUGUCACAUCAAUAGAAUCAUUUAAAUUUGGUGUCCAAUUUAUUUUCUUAUUUUGUCUAUUUCAUUGUUCGAUCAGUUAGAUUUCACAAUAAUUUAAAAGAUGAAGGCAUUGAUAAAUGGUCUCUCUACUUUUGCUCAACAAUCAAAGUCAUUCUUUUAAUAUAUUUUAAGAAAAAAAUCACAAAAACUCCAUAUUUUGUCGAUUGUGAUAUAUUUACUCUAAACUAUUUUUGGUGACACCAAAAACUCUAAAUUUAUACUUGUAUGACACAUUUAUCCUAAUUUUUUUUCUAUAACACCAAAGUUUUUGGGGUUAAUAUGUCACAUCAUACAAAUUUGAAGUUUUAGGUGGCACAUUAUAUAAGUUUAGAGUAAAUAUGCAAUAUAAGUAUGAAUUUGGAGUUUUUGGUGUCAUAAAAUAAGUUUGGGAUAUAUAUAUCACUCUAAAUAUAAUUUAGAGUUUUCGGUGAUUUUACAUUUCUUUGGAUUUGAAACCGUUCUUGCACUUAAGUGCCAUUGGUCGUCCCUGUGUUGGAACACUAUUAGCUAUUUUUUGGUGUCAAUUUUUAUUUUAUUUGUUGAGGAUUUUUCUUUCUUUCUCCAAAUGUAGGCUGUCUUUCUCCUUUUUAGGUUAUUCAUUUUACGAAAACUAAAACCCACAAAAUAUAUUGCCUACACUAAUGCAAAAACACGAUUAUUUGUAUAGACUCAAGACAAGCAAUUGAGUAGCUAUGGGCAGUGAGCUCUGUGGCUCAUGACUUGAGCAAAUAUGACUGCUACAAGAUCAAAGCUCAUGCGGCAAUGCCAUGAGCUCAAAGAUUAAGUAGCCAUGGCUCAAGCUUUGUGACUCAAAUAGACAUCAUGGCCAUGGCCAUCUGCGAGCUUGAGCUUGAAUAGCCAUGGCCAAUGCUAACUUAGAGUUGGAGCUCAUGGUAAUAGUGGGUCAUAAUGGAGCUCUCUCGUAAUUGUGCCCAUUUUUCUUUUUUAAUGUUUAUGUUGCCUAAUUUAGCACCUGUUUUUCCUAAAAUAAUUAUAUGAGCGGAGUACCACACAAUAGGUAUGCUGGCAUCUUGUUCAUAAAAAUUGAAUGGCAAAGUAUAACGGAAUGAUUAGUGGUGAUACUUCAAGCCACAAAAAAAUCUUAAGCUUUAUCAACUGUGACACAUUUAUUCCAAUUUUUUUUUGUAACAUCAAAAAUCCCAAACUCGUACACGUGUAGUAAUACAUUUAUCCAAAACUUUUUUUUUUUACACCAAAAAACCCAAACUUAUACUUUUGUAACAUCAAAACCCUAAACUUUUGUUUUGUAACAAUAAAAACCCGAGACUAAUAGUCAAGUCACACAUCUACCCCAAAAAUUUGGUGUCAUAGAAAAAAGUUUGAGGUAUUUGGUGUCACAAAAAGAAAAGUUUGAGGUUUUUUAUGUCACAAAACAAAAGUAUGGAGUAAAUGUGUGACACUGCAAUAUUUUGAGAUAAAUGAGUCACAUAGGUAAAAGUUUGAAAUUUUUAAUAUUACAAAAAAAAAAUAGUUUGGGGUAAAUAUUUCACAAUGGUCAUAAUUUAAGGUUUCUUGUGGCUUUUACCAUACUUUUAAAUAGUAGAGAGAUGCUUUAAAAAAAGUAGAGGGGAUUUUGAUUUUCAGGCUAAAAUAUAAGGGCCACCGGUAAAUCGAAUCCAUAAAGAAAGUGGCAUAUGUAUAGGAAUUGAUAAAACAGUAAAAGAUUAUAAUGGACACAUCGCCAAGUACCAUCGCUCCAAGUCCAACCAGAGAGGCCUCUUCACACCAACACGUAUGGCCAUGACAAAGUCUAUAAGGUUUUUCUAGUAAAGGCACACAACCGUGAUGUUACAUAUAUAUAAAUUGGGAAAAAAAAUCAAUGUGUCGCUCUAGAGUUUUCCCUCGACAAACAGGUCAGCUCAGCAUGCGUGGAACAAGCACAUUUUGUUGAAGAUAUUGGCCUCAAGUCUACCUUAGACAAUAGUAGGGACCAUAAGAAUAUUGGACAAUGCUACAUGAAAAUCAAACCUUGUCGGUCCAGCUUUUCAAAUAUAUGAAUGACUUUGACACAUGGAUUUGUUCCUUUGUUGUUGACUGAUGCUGGUAAAACUAUGUUUAAAGUCCUGCUUGAUCACUCAAAUGUUUGAUGUUGAGUUUGAGUGUUCUCAUUGCAUGUUAUUCCAGUGUAUGAUGAGGACAUGUCCAAGUUGCACCACUAGCGUCUUCUUCACUCUGGGAUAUGCUCAUCCUUGUCCACUGGUAUGAUGCCUGCUUAAACGCUUCUAUCUAGGUACUCCAUGACAAUGCGCUAGUCUCAGUUGAAGUUUCCCCACGGCACUUUGCGCGUUUCUUGACCCGUUCUUCUUUGAGAUCUCUUUCCUCACCCUUGCGCCGAGCACAAACGAGUAUAUAUACUUUUCCCUGUGAAUCUUGUUUCUACACAUGUAAUCCUAUAUGGUAAAGCCAUGGAUAGCAAAAACAGUAGUCCAUGGUCGUUCAUACUCCCAAUUUUCUUGCUUUGCUCAUCUCUGUACACCCACCUCUGUCUUGGCACAGACAAACUCGAUGCGAAUUGAUCUAUAUCUGGUAACUCAAACCUUAACCUCCUCGGGUGGCCACUUUACACUUGGCUUCUUCUCGCCGGGUAACUCCACGUACUCCUACAUAGGCAUCUGGUACAACAAAAUCAGCGUGCAAACCGUCGUCUGGGUCGCCAACCGAGACAACCCUAUCACUGACAGGCAAUCCACUGAGCUGAAGGUCUCGGGUGGCAAUCUUGUGAUUCUUAACAACUCCGAAGUCCCCGUUUGGUCCACGAAUCUGACUGCUUCUGCAUCUGGAUCGAGCUCCAUGGUGGCGGUUCUUGAGGACGACGGCAACUUCGCUCUCAAAGCGGCUCCGACUUCUUCCGUGACUCUGUGGCAGAGCUUCGAUUACCCAACGCACACGUGGCUUCCCGGUGCCAAAUUAGGGAUCGACAAGCGCAAAAACAGGAGUCAGCUCUUGACAUCAUGGAAGAACGCUGAGGACCCUUCGACAGGUUUGUUCUCUCUCGGUCUCCAGCCAUCCAGUGAGUGCUACGUAAGGUGGAAUAAGUCUGAGCAUUACUGGAGCAGUGGGGCGUGGGACAAUCAGACGAAAAGUUUCUCUUGGGUCCCUGAAAUGAGAUUGAACUAUAUUUAUGAUUUCAAGUAUGUGGACAAUGAGAACGAGAGCUACUUCACCUAUUCAAUCAAAAGCUCCUUCAACACCAUAUCAAGGUGUGUGAUGGACCUUUCUGGGCAGGUCAAGAUGGUGUCCUGGUUGCCUUCCCAGGUGUGGACCUUGUUCUGGUCUCAGCCCCCGCAACAAUGCAAGGUGUAUAGACUUUGUGGGCCUUUCAGUGUUUGCAGCGAGCAGAGAGAAGAUUCGUGCAGCUGCUUGCAGGGAUUUAGCAUAAGCUCUCCAAUAGAUUGGAAUCGGAGUGAUUGGUCUGGUGGUUGCAAGAGGAAUUCGAACUUAAAUUGUGCAGCGAAUGCGGAGAAAGACCGAUUCUGGCCUAUGUCUAACAUGAAAUUGCAUGAUGCUCCUCAAUCUUUAGUUGCAGGGAGCGAUCAGGAAUGCCGAACUGCUUGUUUGAGCAAUUGCUCUUGCACGGCUUAUGCUUUCGAGGAUAAUGCCUGCUCAAUCUGGAUUGGGGAUCUCUUCAAUGUGGAACAGCUCAAACAAGGCACUACCCCUAGAAGGAGUUUCUACGUCCGGCUUGCUGCCUCCGAAAUUAAGGAUCCCAGCAAGAAGAGUAAUGUAACUGCAACAGUGGCAGGGUCUAUCGGUGCCGUGGUAGCGAUAUUAGCCAUUGUCUCGUUUGCCGUUUGGAGAUGGAGGAGAGGGGCAACUGUAACAACAAAAAUAGUGGAGGGUUCACUGAUAGUCUUUGCAUACCGGGAGUUGCAAGUAGCAACAAAGAAUUUCUCAGAGAAGUUGGGUGGGGGUGGGUUCGGUUCAGUUUUCAAAGGAACAUUACCUGAUUCAAGUCACAUAGCAGUCAAGAAGCUUGAAAGCAUAAGCCAAGGUGAGAAGCAAUUCCGAACGGAAGUAAGCACAAUCAGCACUAUCCAGCAUGUGAAUCUUGUCAGGCUUCGCGGAUUCUGCUCUGAAGGUGACAAGAGGCUGUUGGUCUACGAUUUCAUGCCAAAUGGUUCCUUAGGCUAUCAUCUCUUUCAUAGAAAGGACUCGAAGACCUUGGAUUGGAAAACGAGGUACCAAAUUGCUUUGGGAACAGCUCGAGGUCUGGCUUAUCUCCAUGAGAAGUGCAGAGAUUUCAUCAUACAUUGUGAUAUCAAGCCAGAGAACAUCCUUCUAGAUGCUGAAUUCUGUCCAAAAGUGGCAGAUUUUGGCCUGGCAAAGCCUGUUGGCCGAGAUUUCAGCAGGGUGUUGACAACCAUGAGAGGCACAAGAGGGUAUCUUGCGCCGGAGUGGAUCUCUGGAGUGGCCAUAACAGUAAAAGCUGAUGUUUAUAGCAAUGGGAUGAUGCUUUUUGAGUUUGUGUCGGGAAGGAGGAACUUAGAGCUAUCGGAAAAUGGGGCCAUCGAGUUCUUCCCAACAUGGGCUGCUAGCAAGAUAGCUGAAGGAGGUGACAUGCUUGAUCUUUUGGACCCAGACUUGGAGAAAAACGCUGAUACUGAAGAGCUAAAUAGGAUAUGCAGAGUUGCUUGUUGGUGUUGCUUGUUGGUGUGCCCAAGAUGAGGAAACUCACAGGCCAUCGAUGGGGCUGGUUGUUCGAGUACUCGAGGGGUUGUUGGAUGUGAACCUGCCCAGGAUACCGAGAGCCCUUCAACUACUUCUUGAUAAUCAGGAGCACGUAGUUUUCUUCACUGAGUCGUCAUCAUCGAACCGGAGUUCCCAGAUGAGGAGCAACACCUCAACUGCUUCCUUGCAGAAGCAAAAUAGUUCAUCUUCAACAAAGUCCAAGUCUUGAGGAUGAUAAGAUAAGAGCUUAGUACAAGAAGUGCGUCAGUUAGUGCAUAUACUCUUCUGCUUUUUCUGUAGUCAACAAAGAAUCUCAGCAUUUGGGGAUUGGCUUUCUUGGGGCUUGUUUCUCUAGCUAUUUUUGUUACAUAUAACUACAAGCGAGCUUGGAUGACCGGUUGUAAAGACCCUUCGCUCUGUAUAAUAAUCUGUUCUCUGCUUUUUGAGAUCCAAGGUGAUAUUGGUAAUUAGCAUCGAAAACUUUCUGAUAUUUUUGGCACUGGAAUUGGGAUCUAACAUAUUCGUAUCUCCUAGCUUGGAUCCCAGCUGGUGUUUCACAUAGUUCUCAAAUCUGCCCCCAUCGCAUGCAAAGCAAGCUGUAUGGCUUGACAUUUCUAAGUAAUAACUCCUUUUGCUACUUGCUUGGUUUAUACAAUGAGUCAUGGUAUGAAAACCACCCUUGAAACUACGGAUUGCUAGGACCGGAAUAUUAGAUCAUGAUAAUUUCCAACUGAUCUAUGUAUUACUAGCAGAUCCUAUUGUUGGAGCUGUAGGAUGUUAAUGCCCGCUCCAUUUUUCACAUAGCAUUUAUAUCUCUUCUAAGGUUGAGUUUUUUUUAAUCACCUCAUCGCUUUAUGUUUCGAAUAUGAGUACUCGAACCUCUUUAUAAGUUCUGUAAAACCAAAUUCAGUAUAUCAAUGUUACUAGUUAAAAAUCUCUAGUGUUUGUUCCGGUGGGAAAUUGGUUGAGUUUCUCAUUUCAAUCGGGUUGAUCCAAACAGUAUUUUCCAUUGCAGUGGGUAUUAAAUGCAAGUCCAAGUCCACUUUAAUUUAUCGUUGAAGAAGCCUGUUUUGGAAGGCCUAGCUUUUAUUUUCAGUUCAUAAUCUAUUCAUAUCAAGGCUAAUCUUGUUCGGCCUUCACAGUACCAUAGUCCCCUCACUUUUUCCAAGCUUGCCCUCAUUUGUUUUUCCUUUUUGCCAUUACACCUUUUUCUUUUCCUUUCUCCUAUACGCAAUUCUUUAAAUACUUUCGAUAUGAUGUGUUGUUUCACUUUUCUUGCGCCAAUUAUUUUACUCUUAUCGUUUUUUUUUUCUUUAGUGACCCAGGGAACCUCGUGUGCUGCUUCGCGGCAGAGUAAACCCUGGGGAGGAGUAGAGUUACCACCACCCUUGCUCCCAGUGUAAGUUAGCAUGACGCAGCUGGGAUUCGAACGCUGGACUUUUUGCGAGAGGAACAAACGCUUAAGUCAACUACGCCGCAGCGCUGGGUGGUAUUUUACUCUUAUCGUUGAUCCUUCUCAGGUGUGGAAAAAUACCAAAAAAGUCAUAAAUUUUUUGUAUUGGUACCAAUUUAAUGUUAAACUUUUUUACAUUAGUACCAAUUCAGUCCAUCUAGCCAAUUCUGGCCGGCCAAUGUUGAUGUGCACGUCGGCCAAAAUUGGGUUGAUAGACUAAAUUAGUACCAAUGUGAAAAAACUUAGGAUUGAAUAGGUUUAAUUGAAAGAUUUAGAACUGAAUUGGUACCAAUGCAAUAAGUUUAUGACUUUUUUGAUACUUUUCCCUUCUCAAGUGCUAGAGGUGUUAUUAUAAUGUUUAACUUCCUUUGGCAAUAAAAAGACGGUGUAAUCUGCUUAAAUCUUUAUUUAGUUGUGCUUCUACAAAAAUCAACCCUCUCUAUGAUUAUUAUUUUUUUUUUUUGGCAAAAAACCCUCUCUAUGAUUAUUUAUGUUAAAAUUAUAUCUCAAAUUUGAAUUCAUGAAAGAAAUCCGACUAGAGAUGAAUUGUAAGAAACUAGGUCAAUUAAGGAAAAUCCUAAAGCCGAAUAUUUAAGGACGUCGGUAAUGGAAAUCUAGAUUUCAUAUUUGGUGUGAGAGUCCAAAGUGCAGAUUUGGACCUUAAGUUGCCGAUUCACUAACUCCAACAAAAGGCCAGAACUUGUAGAUUACGAAAAUCAAUUUCCACAUGGGAGUCGGUCAACAUAACAACCGAACAAGAAAGAUCGGAGUUGGACUGGGUUUCCUUCUUCAAUCGGUCAACUUGGCUAUUAUAUACGGAAUAACACCUUGAAAAAUCCAAAAUUGACAUUUAUAGUAUCAGAGCCAGUGGGAAUGUAUAGAUAGUCUUUGUACAUACUCAUAGAUCGAGAGCCAUUCGUUGGCAUCCUUCUUGUUUCUACAGAGUGGUCCAGGCCGUAAAUCCCUGAGUGGCUGUUAGACCGGCUCUGUAACGGUUUUGAAGAAGGGAUAGUUCCGAUCUUAAGUAUGAGCUUACAUAGAAGAUCUACAUCUUCCUCUAGUUCUCUAUCACAUAUGGACUCAGAUCCAAGUCCUAUACAUAGAGAAGAAGUAAGGAUAGAAGAUUUCAACAAAUCUAUAGAAAAUUGGGAAAUUCCUAAAAUACAGCUUAAGGAAAUAUACAAACAAUCAAAAUUGAAAUUUUUCAAAAAAUCAGACUAUGUCAUAACCACUGAAGAAAGAGAUGUUCCUUUUUUCUAAUUCUUAUGAAAAAUACAUCUUUUAAAUAAAGAGUCCAUCCAAAAGCAUAAACAAAAAUACAAUUACAUUCAUAUAGGACUAGUCCAAGUAGGAAUUAAACCUCUUACAAAAUAAGGUCUUAAUGCAUCCAUUCUCUUAGUUUUGCGAGAUUCACGUCUCUUGAACUAUGAUGAAUCCAUCCUUGGUACAGUAGAGACAAGUCUCUACAAAGGACCAAUACAUUUUGAUUGUUAUCCCAAUUUCUCAGUUUAUCUUAAGGAUAAAAAUAUUCUUAAAGCUCUCACACUCCAAAUCAAAACCCAUAAUUACAAAGUAGCAGAUAGAUCCAUUCCUCUAGCUCUUGUCUAUAGAAUCCAUUAUAAAGCCAUGUCCUCCGCCUUUGGAGAAAAUGCUUUUAAACAUAGUCCAAGAGGAGAAACACUUCUCCUCCAGACCGACAUUUCUAGAGCUAAUACAACCAUUCCUAGAUCCAUUAAUUGGAACCAAGUCACUUUACCAGAACAAUGGGAAUUAGAAAACCAAAUUCCUGAAUAGGUUGUUCAAAAUACUAGUCCGACUAAUGUCAUCCAACAUCCAAAAGGAAGAGUGACCAUUAGAUUUCCUAGAAGAUCAUUUGAUUCUAGAUCUAGUCCUUCUUUUCAUACUUCUUAUACAAGGUCGAUAGAUCUUAAUCCCAAUCUUCCGCAUAUAAUCACUAUCCCUCCAAGUACGCAUAGAGACACUCCUCCUCCUAGUAUGCAUAGAGACACCCCCACACGCGAUACAACACAUUUACCUCCUUCCACCAGUAGAAGUAAUCAUGAGACACCACUUGAACCAGAAAUUAGUGGUUUAGAUAAUAUAUCAGGGAUUUCUAGGCCAGUUUACCAACAAAACCAGCCUGAACCAGUCCUAGAAAAUACAAAUUCUCCUCAUUAUUCUCCUACUUAUUCGCAAAUGAUAGAUGCCGAGCUUAAUGUUUUAGAAAAACAUUUUGAACCAAACAAAUUUUUUCUUAAUAAAGAAUUUAAUUCUGAAAACAACAGACAAGUCAGAAAGUGGUUCUUCAAAAUCUUUGCUGAUAAAGCAAAAGACAUCAAACAAAAAUAUUACAACUACGUAUAUGAAUAUGAAGUCCAUAUAUUUUUCUUUGAUUGGUUAGAAGAACAAUUCCUCGAACCAAAAAAAAUAAUUGUUUUAGAUCAUCAUUAUAAGUGGAAACUUGAUAAUGGGGAAAUCAUAGAAUCCAACCAUCCUCCCCUUAGGAGAAUAAAAAUACAACAUGGAGAUAGUGAGGUUACAGCUACACCAUUUAGGCUUCCAGACAAAGGAGACUCUCUUUUCACUCACAAAGUUAUUGAACAAAACAAUUAUACUAAUCAACAUCUGGCAACCAUAGGAAAACAGUUGAAUAGGAUAGAAUCUACCAUCCAGAAUCCUACUCAACUCAUCACACCACAAAUUGAUACACUCAAAAAACCCAUUUUUAAAGCCUUUGAAUUUUUAAAAAAACUUUAGUCCGGAGUUUGCCAAAGCCAUAGAACAAAAUAAAAAACUCCUAAGGAAAUCAACGCUAGAACCUGCUCCUAUACUAGACACUCCUAAAUUCCAAGGACUAAUUAUUAAAGACACCAUGGACGAACCUACUAUUAGCACCCUGACCAAACCCUCUAGUGACUUUGAUAAUGAAUCAGUCUUGCUGAGGUAAACAGACUCAAUUGGAAACAACCCCAAAAACUUUAUUAUAAUAGAGCUACCCCACCUGACAUCGCCCAAGAAGAAUCAUCACAAAAAAUACAGAAUAAAUACUCUCCUGAUGCCAUUUAUGAAUGAAAUAUAGAUGGUAUUGCCGAAAGCAAUAUCAUGAAUAUUUUGAAUAACAUGGCAAUGCUUGCCAAUGCCUACAAAACACAGCAAGAUGUUCUAAUCAUGUUGUUGCUAAUCUUUUAGCAGCCGAAUUUACUAAACAACUAAAAGGUUGGUGGGAUAAAUAUUUGACCGAUGAAUAAAGAAUAUAAAUUUUAACUGCCUAUAAAAUCGAUGACUUUGGCCAACACAUGGAUGAUGAUCAAGGACAUCUCAUCUAAGAUGUAGUGAAUACUCUUAUCUAUUUCAUUUCACAACACUUCAUAGGAGACCCUUCACAUAUUAGAGAUAGGAACCAAGAUCUCUUAUCCAAUAUGCGCUGCAAAUCCUUAGGGAGAUUUAGAGAAUACAAAAAACUCUUCCUUCAAAGGAUUCUUAUUAGACCUGAUUGCAGUCAACCCUUUUGGAAAGAAAAAAUUUUAGCAAGUUUACCCCAAAUUAUAGGUGACCAAGUUAGAGAUAAAAUUAGAGAAGAAUACAAUGGCCAAAUACCUUAUGAUCUUCUUUCUUAUGGAGAAAUAGUCUCUUAUGUUUACAGGCAAGGAACACAAAUGUGUAAUACUAUCAAAUUAUAUAGAUAACUCAAGGAAGAACAAUCUCUCACCAAUAGAAGUCUAGGAGAUUUUUGUGCUCAAUACGAUCCCUCUUAUAAUGAAAAAAACAAAACCAAAAUGUAAGGAAACUUAUCAUUCUAAGAAAGAAACAAAGAAACAUCAGAACAAAUCUCAACCUCGUAGGAAUAAACAAAGACACCAAAAUAACCAAAAUAGACCUCAUACUGAUAGGAAAAAUUUUAAAGACAUUAAAUGCUAUUCUUGUGGUAGAAAAGGUCAUAUUUCAAAAUAUUGUAGGAUUAAUAUAAAAUUAAAUGAACUCUCUUUUGAUGACAAUACUCUUAACCAGUUAAACAACAUCUUCAUAGAAAAUGGUGAUACUUCUUCUGAUGAACUUCUUGAGGAAGAAGGUCUUCAGAUUAAUGAAAUAGAUUCCUCUUCUGACACUGAUUAUGAAAAUGCCUCUCCAGAAAAACCUGUUCCUGAAAUAAACAUGUUAACAAAAGAAGAAGAAUUUCUCCUUAGCACUGCUGAUAAGAUCACUGACCCAGAAGCCAAGAAAGAAUACCUAGAUAGACUACAUUCUUCCUUGAAUAUUACCUCCAACCCCAAUACUUCCUACAGUUUAAAAGACAUUUUGAAUCGAAACAAAAAACCUCAAUCCAGACAUGUUAAUAUAAAUGACCUUCAAAAUGAAAUAAAACAACAAAAAUUAGAAAUUCAAGCCUUGAAAGCAAUACAGUUAGAAAUGAAACAAAAGAUUUCUGACAUAAAAUCCAUUGUCAUAAAAGGUAAGACAAAAUUAGAAGACCAAAACAAAAUCACCAAUACUUCAUAUACGUUGGAUCUAGCCUUUCUUAUGUUAUUAACAGAAAGAACAUCUAGAAAAUGGAUAAUAAAUAUUUUGAUAAAAAUCAACAAUGAUUUUAUUAUUGAAACAACAACACUCUUUGAUACAGGAGCUAAUCUCAAUUGUAUCAAAGAAGGCCUUGUUCCAACAAUAUACUUUGGUAAAACUUCCAAAUCUUUAAAAUCAACCUCAAGAGAUAAACUUAAUAUCCAAUACAAAUUACCAGAAGCCUUAAUAAUAAAAGAUCAAAUGUUUUACAAAACAUCUUUUCUUUUAGUAAAAAAUAUGAGGCAACAGGUAAUUCUUGGAACACAUUUCAUACAAUUAAUCCAACAUUUUACAGUUACUAACGAAGGUAUUGAAACCCAUGCUCUAAACAGAAAAAUCACCUUCAACUUCAUAACAAAACCACAGAAGAGAAGCCUAAAUAUUUUACAAGAACAUUCUAUUUCAGAAAUAAAUUGCCUUAUAAAAGACAAAUAAAACCAACUUGAAUUCUUAAAAGAAGAUUUAGAAUUCAAAAGAAUAGAAGAAAAUCUUAUAAAACCAAACAUCAUAGAAAAGAUAGCUUCCCUACAAAAACACAUAGAAAAGACUAUAUGCUCUACUCUACCCAAUGCCUUUUGGGAAAGAAAGAAGUAUAUCGUUGAUUUACUUUAUGAACAAGAUUUUUCUGAAAACAAAAUACCUACCAAAGCUUGCCCAACACAAAUGAAUCAAGAAGUUUUGAAAUUCUGUCAAGCAGAAAUACAAGAUCUCUUGAAUAAAAAAAUUAUAAGAAAAAGCCAAUCACCAUGGAGUUGUUAUGCUUUUUAUGUCAAUAAAAACGCUGAACUAGAAAGAGUUCCCAGGUUAGUUAUUAAUUAUAAAUCUCUUAAUACAACCCUUAGGUGGAUAAGAUAUCCUAUACCCAAUAAAAAAGAUUUGCUAAACAGACUUCGUAGAUCAAAAAUAUUUUCAAAAUUUGACAUGAAGUCAGGAUUUUGGCAAAUACAGGUUAGUAAAAAGGAUAAAUACAAGACAGCCUUUACAGUUUCUUUUGGCCAAUAUGAAUGGAAUGUUAUGCCAUUCGGCCUCAACAAUGCCCCUUUAGAAUUCCAAAGAAUUAUGAACGAGGUUUUCAAUCCUUAUUCAGAUUACAUCAUAGUUUAUAUAGAUGAUGUUCUAGUAUUCUUUUCCAAUAUAGAACAGCAUUUCAAACAUUUAGCUACUUUCAUAAAAAUAAUCAUACAAAACGGUCUUGUAGUCUCUCCUACUAAAAUUGCACUCUUCAAAACCAAGAUUAGAUUCUUAGGUCAUUACAUUCAUUUAAGCACCAUCACUCCUAUAGAAAGAUCAAUCUCUUUUACUGAUAAAUUCCUAGAUGAGAUUAAAGACAAAACUCAAUUACAAAGGUUUUUGGGUAGUCUCAAUUAUAUUUUAGAUUUCUUUCCCAAUAUAAAUAUUCUUUGUUAACCUUUACAUAAAAGGUUAAGUAAGGAUCUUUACCAAAAAAAAGGUUAAGUAAGGAUCCUCCACCCUGGACCUCUGUCCAUACAGACAUUGUCAAACAAAUAAAAAUGCAUGUGAAAGAUAUACUAUGCUUACACCUUGCUAACCCUUCCACUUUCAAAAUAGUUGAAACAAAUGCUUCAGAAUUAGGAUAUGGUGGCAUUCUCAAACAAGUUAAUAAUAACAAAGAACAAGUUGUUCAGUUUAUAUCAAAAUAAUGGAAUUCCACUCAACAAAAUUAUUCGACAAUCAAAAAAGAAAUGCUUGCUAUAGUUUUGUCUAUAUCAAAAUUCCAAUGAGAUUUAUUAAAUCGAAAAUUUCUCUUGAGAAUUGAUUGCAAAUCAGCCAAAGACGUUUUACAAAAAGACGUUUUAAAUAUUGCAUCAAAACAGAUUUUUGCCAGAUGGCAAGCCAUACUUUCAGUAUUCGAUUUCGAAAUUGAAUUUAUAAAUGGUUCUUCAAAUUUAUUACCUGAUUUUCUCACAAGAGAAUUUUUACAGGGGAUACAAUCAUGCCAAGAUCCAAAAAAGACAAAGGCAAAGGCAAAGCCAUUGCCAAAACCUCCUCCAAUACACCACCAAAGCCAACAGGUUUGACAAACAUCAAGACAUGGCUCCAAAUGGCAGAAAAUAACCAGACAUUCUACAAUAACACCAAACACCUUUGAAAAUAGAACCCAUAUCAUCUGAACCCAUGAUAACCUUUAAUCAGCUAGCAAACAUACUACCAAAAGAAACAAUUUGUUACUUGCCCAGUCUUUACAAAAAAAACAGUAAAGAAAGAACCAUCUAGUACCAUCGAGGUAAGCAACAAUCCUUCUCCACUUACUACACAAAAACAAGUGGAAAACAAAAGAAUUUCGAAUGAGGUGGUCAUUAGGCCACAGGCAACCCCUUAUUCUCAAAGAUCAAAAUUUUUCCCCAAAAGAUCUUUUCAAAAAAUACUGACUGUAGAAGAUGGAUUUAACGAUGAAAAUCCAAACAAAUUCGCAAAAAACAUCUUCCCAAAAAACUGGUUUUUCAAACCACACAAUGCAAACAAAACUCUUGCUUAUUGUGAGCAAAUCUUAGUGAAGACAGAAUUAGUAAGGUUUACUCACUUUGCUGACAAAAACAAUACAGAAAACAUUCUAUACUCCACUAUAUCCAUCAGUAAAGUCAUUCACCCCUUACACCGAUGAUAUUCACCUCAUACACCCAAAAAAUUCCAAACUAGACUUACCCAAAUCCUACCAUAUUCCUCCUCGUAUACCUACUGGGACUACCAACAAGCCUGGUGAAAUGUCUUCUAUAGACAAAAUACAAAUUUCCAGCAUACCUGUCUAGUAUUCUUCAAAAACAACUUCCCAAGACAAAGCCUACCAAAUUGGUUCAGCUCCUGGUGGGAGUUCUUUGAUCCUUUGGACAUCAUACUACACCCCACAGUCAAUCAAGGAUACCAAACAUUUUGUAAACAUUUUGUACCAAAUCAACAUGAUUCAAGGUUUCAAUGCCUUAUGCAUUUCUUCAUAAUAUUUAAAAUAUCAUGGGUAACAGCUUGGGAGUUUGAAUAUAUUACAUCCAUCGAUUUAAUACCAAUUCUCGUCCAAAAAUACAAGACCAAAUGAUGGGAUGGAUUCAAUAGACAUGAACAAGGAUCUGAGACUGUGGUUAUGACAUGGCUAAAUAGCCAGAAAAAUCAAACAACCACAGUCCCAUCAAAUACAUAUUUUUUACAAGAAAAAUCCAAGUGUAGCACUGGCUGCAGUCCAGAGCAAGGAGGAAUACCACAACAUCCUCAGAACAAUGCUUUCUAAAGCGGAAGGAUCACAAUGUGGAUCUUUCAAAUCUCAAGACAAUCCAGACGGAUUCUCAUAGUCACAUUACAGUGGAAACACCAGUGAAGACGACUGCUACGAGAUCAACAUAGACAGAGAUUAAAAUUAAAGACAUCACAUGCCGGCACUGUUACAGCGGCGCAAAUGCUAUACACUGUAGCAAGAUAGGCAUACACUGUUCAUACAUUGUUCACUAUUCACUAUUUACUUUAUACUGUUCACUCAAUACUGUUCACUUUACACUGUUCAGCAUUGUAGCACUUUUACUGUAGCACCCAUUAUAAAUACACCCUCUCGACACAAGAGGAAGGGACUCGAAAUUUUCCAGAUUUCUCUCCUUUUCCUUCCUCUCUCACUUGUAAACCAUCAUCUCUUCCAUCUUCACCCUCAUCUCUUCCAUCUCCAAGCUCUCUUACCUUGUAUCCCUUGGUUUCAAAGUAAGUUAGGUUUUCAUAUACAUAGUUUUAUACAAGGUUACCAACUUACAUGAUAGUUGGUUAAUCAUUUCUUGUAAUACAAACAUCAAUACUCCCUGGAGUGUGGAUUACCGCCCUAGUGAAUGACUUGAUACUUUAGUUUCUGCAUCCUUCAAUACAUGUAAUUUCAGCUUUUCAGCUUUAUAUAAUACAAGUUCAUACCACCUUCAUGGUUGGUUUUUGUUCAUGCAUACUCUUACUUUAUAUUUUAUAUAUUGCCUUUGGUCUUUACAUUAUUUUUAAUUCUCACAAUUUUAUUUAAGUUUUUAUACAUUCUUCAUACAUUCUCUGUUUUUAUAGAUCUGUUAAUCUCUUAUACUUCCUUGUUCUCUCAUAUAAUACUCCGAUCAUAACAAAUUUACCAAAAUCUAAAUUUUUGACCAUAAAAAAUUCAAAUUUGUACACCUAUGAUAAAUUUACCUUAAAGAAAUUUUUUAACCAUAAAAAAUCCUAAACUAGCAUGUCCUUCGUAAAUAGAGAGUAAAAUCCCAAACUGAUACAACAUUAAUUGACAAAUGUCAUUCAAUUUAACAAUUUGAUGAUAAAAUUUGAAGGAAAUUAAUGGAGGGUAAAUUUGUUAUAAGUAUAUCAAAGUUUUAGAUAAAUUUAUUACAAGUGAACCGGUUCAUGAUUUAUUAUGAAAUUACCCUAUUCAUAAAUAUACAAUUGUGGAUUGCUCGUUGGUUAUGAAGAAAUAUUAAAGUGUAGUUUUUAGUGAAUGUCAAGGGAAGUUCUAUAUUCGUUAGUGACGGCCAAUUGGCACUGGAGGUUUGUGAUGUGGACAUCGAGUCAUAUCGAGGAGGAGGUGCUAGGGACCCAUUGUCUAUUCCUACUGGUUCGAUUACUCGAGCGCGGGCCAAACAAUUCAAGCAAGCUGUUGGCGUCAUGGUUCGUGAUCUUUGGCGUGAAGAUGACCUUGGAUCAAAUCUUGAAGAAUCUUGGAAAUCUUGGUGCAAUUUAAUUAUCUUGUCACCAAAUAAUUGACCAAGUCAAUUUAUAUAUAUAUUCUUGUUUAAGAAUAUUCUAAAAUAGGAAUAUUUUAGAAUAUAUCGCAUUAGAUUUUUAGGGUUGGUUUUUAGGGUUUGUGUGGCAGCCUAUAUAAAGGAUUUGCCAAAUUUCUUUGAGGACGGAAGAUAUUUUUAUGUUUGAGGAAAAGAAUUGAGAGGUUCUCUUUUUACUGUUCUUUUGAGGACUUGACCUAAUCAAGAUUCUCUUGUGGCGGUCAAUUUGACUUAUCAAGCGAGAUAGCGAAUUCUUUCGCUCGUGGCGUCUAUAACGUUGGUUGGUUGACACGUGUUCGUCAACAGGUCACGUUCAUACCGAGGUUGCCAAUCACGGGUUUGAUUGGAGGUCGAGGUUUGCAAUUCGCACCAUCUGGGCCUUCGUAGAACGAUCCUUCCGCAACGAUUCACAUCAGUUUGGUAGUGGGUUCUUCAUGGAAUAACAUUAAUAGCUUAUGUGUUGGACUCAAUUAAAUCUUGUGAGGAUCUAUUUAAUUCCUUUUUGAGACUGAGAGAUUAUUUCGUGAGGAAUUAUAAGACUAAAUACUACAUGAAUUAUUGAGCAUAAUUGGAGAUUGGAAAACAUGAGAGUGUUUGAGUAACUUUGAGUUUGGUUGUAAUUUUCAUUGAAUUGCUUGAUCAAGAGUGGAAUUCUUUGCUGCUCUCUCCAUGGACAUAUGUCACAUCAACAAAAUUAUUUAAAUUUGGUGUCCAGUUUAUUUUCUUAUUUUGUUUAUUUUAUUGUUCGAUUAGUUAGAUUCCACAAUAAUUUAAAAGAUCAAGGCAUUGAUAAACAGUCUCUCUACUUUUGCUCAACAAUCAAACUCAUUCUUUUAAUUUCUUUUGAGGAAAAAAAUCACAAAAACUCCAAAUUUUGUCGACUAUGAUACAUUUACUCUAAACUAUUUUUAGUGACACCAAAAACUCUAAAUUUAUACUCGUGUGACACAUUUACCCUAAAAAAAAAAUUCUAUAACACCAAAUUUUUUGGGGUUAAUAUGUCACAUCAUACAAAUUUGAAGUUUUAGGUGGCACAUUAUAUAAGUUUAGAGUAAAUAUGCAAAAUAAGUAUGAAUUUGGAGUUUUUGGUGUCAUAAAAUAAGUUUGGAAUAAAUAUAUCACAAUAAAUAUAAUUUAGAGUUUUCGGUGAUUUUACAUUUCUUUUUAUUCGAAACCGUUCUUGCACUUAAGUGCCAUUGGUUGUCGUUGUGUUGGAACACUAUUACCUAUUUUCUGACUUGAAUUUUUAUUUUAUUUGUUGAGGAUUUUUAUUUCUUCCUCCAAAUGUAGCCUGUCUCUCCUUUUAAGGUCCUUCAUUUUACAAAAACAAAAACCCACAAAAUAUAUUGCCUAUACUAAUGCAAAAACACUACUAUUUGUAUCGACUCACAACAAACAAUUGAUUAGCUAUGGGUCGUGAGCUCCGUGGCUCAUGAAUUGAGCAAAUAUGACUGCUACAAGAUCAAAGCUCAUGCGCAACGCCACGAGCUCAAAGAUUAAGUAGCCAUGGCUCAAGCUUUGUGACUCAAAUAGACAUCGUGCCCAUGGCCAUCUGCGAGCUUGAGCUUAAUAGCCAUGGCCAAUGCUAACUUAGAGUUGGCAUUGGCCAUGGCUAACUUAAUGUUUAUGUUGCCUAAUUUAGCACCUGUUUUUCCUAAAAUAAUUAUAUGAGUAGAGUACCACACAAUAGGUACGCUGGCAUCUUGUUCAUAAAAAUUGAAUGGCAAAGUAUAACAAAAUGAUUAGUGGUGAUACUUCUAAGGGAAAAAGCCACAAAAAAAAGGGAUAAGUACACUAAUGGUGACAUAAGUUGUGUACGGCGCUCACUUUGAUGCCAAAAGUUUCCGUCGGAUCAUUUAAGUGCCAAAAAAUUUGAAAAAUGCUCACUUUGGUGCCAAUGCCGAUCUGAUCGGCCAAAAAUUUGACGUGACAUUUUUUUUUAUUAAUUUCUUAUGCUGAUGUGGCUCGCCGGAGUUUCCAUUGGAUCACUUAGGCCUUCAAACGACGUCGUUUUAGCAUCCUAACACCAAAACGACGCCGUUUUGUGUCGUCUUCUUCCCCAAACAGAUCCAGCAACACCAACAGCGCCGAACCAGCAACGCCAGCAGCGCAGAACCAACAACACCAGUAAUUUUCCAAAAAAGAAACCAUGCAUUCGCCUCCGCCCUCCCCCAGUAGUUUUCCCCCAUUUUCAAUCACCUUAUCAACCUUUCAAAUCCUCGAAUCUCGACCCCACCACCGCAUUUUCCCAAGGAAUAUCGUUGGGUGCAGAGGAAACGCGAGCUCGAAGAAUCUCUAGAAGCACGAGCGAUCCGGCCAAUGGUAACCGCGAAGAUCUGGAACGUCACAGAGGUUAUCAGCGAAGCUAGUUGCUACGAAGGCGGCGGCCGUGGGCCCCCCAUCCCCUCCUCUGCCCUCAUUGUCGACACCUCCCUCUCUCUCGGGAUUUUCUAUUCAUUUUUUUUGUUUCUUUUGUCUUGUUGUGGCAAGCAACUAUCAUGGAGGUCGAGGGAUGGUGGUUGAGCGACGGUGGUCGAGGGACGGCGGCCAAGUGACAGUGGCCGAGGGACGGCAGCCAAGCGACGGCGGCCGAGCGACGGCGGACAAAAAAACCCUAAUUUCAAUCUCCAAAUUAAAAAAGAAAGGCGUCGUUUUUACGAGGCUAUCCACGUAGGACAGCAAAACGACGUCAUUUUCUUAAGGAAGAUGGAAAACGACGUUGUUUAAAAGGCUUCUUGAUUUUUUUUUUAAAUAUAAAAGCCACGUAAUCAUUUUGGUCGGAAUUUGUCGUCGGCGGCACCAAAGUGAUCGUUUUUUCUCCGAUUUGACACUUAAGUGAUCCAGCGGAAACUUUUGGCACCAAAGUGAGCGCAGUACACAACUUAUGGCACCAUUAGUGUACUUAUCCCACAAAAAAAUUUCGAACUUUAUUAACCGUGACACAUUUAUUCCAAUUUUUUUUGUAACAUCAAAAAUCCCAAACUCGUACACGUGUAGUAAUACAUUUACCCAAAACUUUUUUUUUCGACACCAAAAAGCCCAAACUUAUACUUUUGUUACAUCAAAACCCUAAACUUUUGUUUUGUAACAUCAAAAACCCCAUACUUAUAGUCAAGUCACACAUCUACCCCAAAAAUUUUGUGUCAUAGAAAAAAGUUUGAGGUAUUUUGUGUCACAAAAGAAAAGUUUGAGGUUUUUUAUGUCACAAAACAAAAGUGUGGAGUAAAUGUGUGACACUGUAAUAUUUUGAGACAAAUGUGUCACAUAGGUAAAAGUUUGGGAUUUUUAAUAUUACAAAAGAAAAGUUUGGGAUUUUUAAUAUUACAAAAAAAAAGUUUGGGGUAAAUAUUUCACAAAUGUCAUAGUUUAUGGCUUUUACCAUACUUUUAAAUAGCAGAGAGAUACUUUAAAAAAAGUAGAGGGGAUUUUGAUUUUCAGGCUAAAAUAUAAGGCCCACCAGUAAAUCUAAUCCCAUAAAGAAAGUGGCAUAUGUAUAGGAAUUGAUAAAACAGUAAAAGAUUAUAAUGGACACAGCGCCAAGUACCAAUCGCUCCAAGUCCAACUAGAGAGGUCUCUUCACGCCAACAUCUAUGGCCACGACAAAGUCUAUAAGGUUUUUCCAGUAAAGGCACACAACCAUGAUGUUACAUAUAUAUGAAUUGGGGAAAAAAAAUCAAUGCGUUGCUCUAGAGUUUAGUCCCUUGACGAACAGGUCAGCUCAGCAUGCUUGGAACGAGCACAUUUUGUUGAAGAUACUGACCUCUAGUCUACCUUAGACAAGAGUAAGGACCAUAAGAAUAUUGGACAAUGCUACAUGAAAAUCAAAUCUUGUCGGUCCAGCUUUUCAAAUAUAUGAAUGACUUUGACACUUGGAUUUGUUCCUUUGUUGUUGACUGAUGCUGGUAAAACUAUGUUUAAAGUCCUUGAUCACUCAAGUAUCUGAUGUCGAGUUUGAGUGUUCUCAUUGCAUGUUAUUCCAGUGUAUGACGAGGACAUGUCCAAGUUGCACCACUAGCGUCUUCUUCACUCCGGGAUAUGCCCAUCCUUGUCCACUGGAUGAUGCCUGCUUCAAUGCUUCUAUCUAUGUACUCCAUGACAAUGCGCUAGUCUCAAUUGAAGUUUCCACACGGUACUUUGCGCGUUUCUUGACCCGUUCUUCAUUGAGAUCUCUUUCCUCGCCCUUGCUCGGAGCACAAACGGGUAUAUAUACUUUUCCCUGUGAAUCUUGUUUCUACACCUGUCAGCUCGAACCCUAUAUGGUACAGCCAUGGAUAGCAAAAACGGUAGUCCGUGGUGGUUCAUGCUCCCAAUUUUCUUGCUUUGCUCAUCUCUGUACACCCACCUCUGUCUUGGCACAGACAAGCUCGAUGCGAAUCGAUCUAUAUCUGGUAAUCAAACCUUAACCUCCUUGAGUGGCAACUUUACGCUUGGCUUCUUCUCGCCGGGUAACUCCACGUACUCCUACAUAGGCAUCUGGUACAACAAAAUCAGCGUGCAAACCGUCGUCUGGGUCGCCAACCGAGACAACCCUAUCACUGACAAGCAAUCCACUGAGCUGAAGGUCUCGGGUGGCAAUCUUGUGAUUGUUAACAACUCCGAAGUCCCCGUUUGGUCCACGAAUCUGACUACUACUUCAUCUGGAUCGAGCUCCAUGGUGGCGGUUCUUGACGACGAUGGCAACUUCGCUCUCAAAGUGGCGCCGAAUUCUUCUGUGACUCUGUGGCAGAGCUUUGAUUACCCGACGCACACGUGGCUUCCCGGUGCCAAAUUAGGGAUCGACAAGCGCAAAAACAGGAGUCAGAUCUUGACAUCAUGGAAGAACGCCGAGGACCCUUCGACAGGUUUGUUCUCUCUCCAUCUCCAGACAUUCAGUGACGGUAAGUACUACGUAUGGUGGAAUGGGUCUAACCCUUACUGGACUAGUGGGACGUGGGACAAUCAGACGAAAAUUUUCUCUGGUGUCCCUGAAAUGAGAGAGAACACUUUUUACGAGUUAAAAUAUGUGGACAAUGAGAACGAGAGCUACUUCACCUAUUCAAACAAAAUCUCCUUCAACACCAUAUCAAGGUUUGUUAUGGACCUUUCUGGGCAGAUCAAGCAGGAGUCCUGGUUGCCUUCCCAGGCGUGGACCUUGUUCUGGUCUAAGCCCUCACAACAAUGCGAUGUGUAUAGACUUUGUGGGCCUUUCAGUGUUUGCAGCGAGCAGAGCGAAGAUUCGUGCAGCUGCUUGCCGGGAUUUAGCAUAAGCUCUCCAAUGGAUUGGAAUCGGAGGGAUUGGUCUGGUGGUUGCAAGAGGAAUUCCAACUUAAAUUGUGCAGCGAAUGCGGAGAAAGACCGUUUCUGGCCUAUGUCUAACAUGAAAUUGCGUGAUGCACCUCAAUCUUUAGUUGCUGGGAGCGAUCAGGAAUGCCGAACUGCUUGUUUGAGCAAUUGCUCUUGCACGGCUUAUGCUUUCGAGGAUAAUGCCUGCUCAAUCUGGAUCGGGGAUCUCUUCAAUGUGGAACAGCUCAAACAAGGCACUACCCCUGGAACGAGUUUCUAUGUUCGGCUUGCUGCCUCCGACAUUAAGGAUCCCAGCAAGAAGAGUAAUGUAACUGCAAUAGUGGCAGGGUCUGUUAGUGCCAUGGUAGGGAUAUUCGCCAUUGUCUCGUUUGCCGUUUGGAGAUGGAGGAGAGGGGCAACUGUAACCACAAAAGAAGUGGAGGGUUCACUGAUAGCCUUUGCAUACCGGGACUUGCAAGUAGCAACAAAGAAUUUCUCAGAGAAGUUGGGUGGGGGUGGGUUCGGUUCAGUUUUCAAAGGAACAUUACCUGAUUCAAGUCACAUAGCGGUCAAGAAGCUUGAAAGCAUAAGCCAAGGUGAGAAGCAAUUCCGAAUGGAAGUAAGCACAAUCGGCACUAUCCAGCAUGUGAAUCUUGUCAGGCUUCGCGGAUUCUGCUCUGAAGGUGACAAGAGGCUGUUGGUCUACGAUUUCAUGCCAAAUGGUUCCUUAGACUAUCAUCUCUUUCAUAGAAACGACUCGAAGACCUUGGAUUGGAAAACGAGGUACCAAAUUGCUUUGGGAACGGCUCGAGGUCUGGCUUAUCUCCAUGAGAAGUGCAGAGAUUGCAUCAUACAUUGUGACAUCAAGCCAGAGAACAUCCUUCUAGAUGCUGACUUCUGUCCAGAAGUGGCAGAUUUUGGCCUGGCAAAGCUUGUUGGCCGAGAUUUCAGCAGGGUGUUGACAACCAUGAGAGGCACAAGAGGGUAUCUUGCGCCAGAGUGGAUCUCUGGAGUGGCCAUAACAGUAAAAGCCGAUGUUUAUAGCUAUGGGAUGAUGCUUUUUGAGUUUGUGUCGGGAAGGAGGAACUUAGAGCUAUCGGAAAAUGGGGCCAUCGAGUUCUUCCCAACAUGGGCUGCUAGCAAGAUAGCUGAAGGAGGUGACCUGCUUGAUCUUUUGGACCCAGACUUGGAGAAAAACGCUGAUACUGAAGAGCUAAAUAGGAUAUGCAGAGUUGCUUGCUGGUGUGUCCAAGAUGAGGAAACUCACAGGCCAUCGAUGGGGCUGGUUGUUCAAGUCCUCGAGGGGUUGUUGGAUGUGAACCUGCCCAGGAUACCGAGAGCCCUUCAAAUGCUUCUUGAUAAUCAGGAGCAUGUAGUUUUCUUCACUGAGUCGUCAUCAUCGAACCAGAAUUCCCAGACGAAUAGUAAUACCUCAACUUCUUCCUUGCAGAACCCAAAUAGUUCAUCUUCG
Molecule: long non-coding RNA, 159743 nt
Filed under: Eucalyptus grandis
Lineage: Eukaryota; Viridiplantae; Streptophyta; Magnoliopsida; Myrtales; Myrtaceae
Description: long non-coding RNA (EGRA_LNC000244)
Source: RNAcentral